This 126009-nucleotide long non-coding RNA is filed under the name Cicer arietinum (chickpea). Its description in RNAcentral is "long non-coding RNA (CARI_LNC002472)". The record is from RNAcentral. Lineage: Eukaryota; Viridiplantae; Streptophyta; Magnoliopsida; Fabales; Fabaceae.
GUGCUAUCUGAAGUGUUACCUAGCGAUGGCCCCUUUUGUAAAUCUUCAUUUGUUGUAAGCUUUUAUGUGCCCAAAUUGAACCAAGCAAACCCACCACCUGCAAAGGGUCUUCAAGUUCAAAGAUGGAAAAAUGUGUAUGCAGCAGUUAGACAGUUUGACGGAUUUGUGAGUGACACAGAUGUUGGAAAAGAAGCUGCAGCUUUGAAGGAUAGUAUUGCUGCUACUAAGUGGUCUUCUUUUAUUGAUCAAAGCCGUAAAGCUGGUGGUCAUGCUUCUGUUUACUCUGUGGCUCAGUACAAUUCUCCUUUUGAAUUUGAUAAUAGAGUGAAUGAGAUAUGGUUCUUGUUUGAUUUGGAAAAUGGAUUGCAAGCUAUGUGAAAGCAAUAUGUUGAGUGCAGCUGGAUGUGUUAACAAGACACCUUUGAAUUGAUAAAUAAUGUGCAGCCUAUGAAGUGUUUCACAAGGUUGACUUUUUGGUUCAUUUGAUGAUAAUCAUGUUUAGUUGGCUACACUUGUUGCAAAAUAAAAUCAUUAGGAAAUGAUAUGGCUGUUGAAAUUACUGUGUUACUUUGUAGUAUUUUAAUAGAAAUAAUAUUAAUUUGUUUUUAAUGGAGACCUGUUGAAUUGUUUUCUGCAUUUGGUUCUAUUAGCUUUUGCAGUUUGUUGAUAGGUUCCUUGCAAUGAAUGUUUGAAGGUCAAGAAGUAUUACUGAAACUAGAAGGAGUUUCAAAUAGUUUUCACUACAAGUUUGAAUAAAGUCUAAAAUUAAGUAUGGUUAUGCAAAUUCAGUUCAAGUAUAUUUAUGCAAACCGAGUUAAAAUUACGUUAACCCAUUUGAAGUAUAUUUAUGUAAAUUCAGUUCACAUACUCCAUGUAGAUUAUGAAUUUUUAGGUUUUACAAAUUCAGUUCAGGUAUGGAUACGCAAACUUAGUUUAAGUAUAUUUACUAUGUUCAAGUACGAUUAUAAAAGAUUUGAAAAUUUGAUGAGUUAAGAAUAAUUUGAUCAAUUUGAACUUUUUAAAACAUGAUGGGUGUACCUAUGUUCGUACAUGUACGGAAACACCAAAUGGAUCUGAAUGGGGAAUCGUCCGAAGAGAAUGAGGUAAAGGCUUAGGAAGAUAUGAAUCAGAAGGCUGGGAAGACAACACAAAACUGGAGGAUCAUCCCCAAGAAGAAUGAUAGUGAUGAGAUGCAUAGUUAUCCACUCCAAUAUAAGACCAAAAUCAAUCAUGGUUUGCUUAAAGUUGUUGAUACUUUCAAAAAGUUUCUUUUGAUUCUUCCUCGUCUUCUUAAGAUUAUUUGUUGAAAAUCAUGGUUCAACCUAAUCAAAAGAGAAAUAUAAAAUUUGAAAUGAUAGUGUGAAGAAUUAUGAUACAAUUAGUGUCAGAUACACAUUUAUAUAAUAUCUCUAAAGUAACUUACACGACAAAUACUAAAUUUGACUAUAAAACUUAACCACCUAAAGAUGAAAACACCAAGAGAAAUGUCUAAUUACCAUAGAGUAGAAGAUCAAAGAAAAUUAUAAUUGUUUUACUACCAUAGAUAGAAGAAUAAAGAAAAUUAAGAAUAUUUAACUACCAUAUGGGAGGAACAUACAAAGUCAAUAAUGACUACGAUCAACAAAAUAAUAGAGAACCAAAACACCACACACUUUGUAUGUUUGACUUUUGCAGUAUCAUGAAGAACAAAUUCACAAACCCAAUCACCAUGUCUUAAUGUUACAAAGCACUUCAUUAAGAGAAUGGGAAAAUGAAUCUACCAAGAAAGUUGUGAAACAAAAAAAUUCACAAGGUAUAGAACCCUCUAACUCAUCAAUCAUUCCAUUAAAAAGUCUUCUUGUUUGUUGAGGAACAUGUAGACGGAACAUUGUUUAUUGGAGAAUUUCUUGAUAUAAGAGUUUCAAUCAAUAAUCAUAGCAACAUGAACAAGGGUAAAAAAGAAACUAGUUAGAAUCAACUAGAAUUUUAAUGGAAAAUCUCCAAAAUUUAAUAGAAAAUGGAAUUAUAAAAAUGAAUCAACGAAGUUUCAAUGAAAAUUUUAUUCAAGAAAAUAUUGAAAAAUAAUGUAGUGGAAUAAUUAUUGCUUUGAUAGCAUGUUGAGAAUUAUAGUUGAGUCUAAGAAAAAGAAAAAUACUUAAAAAGAAAUAUAAAACUUAAAAUGAUAGUGUAUAUAAUUAUAGUACAAUUAGUAUAAAAUAUACUUUUAUAUAAAAUAUCUAACUAAACCUAACAAAAUCUAACAUUCUUUCAUCCUCGCUUCCUUUACAUGUUUCCAUCCUCUUAUCAGUUACAAUAAUUGAUUGCUCUUUGAAUCCAAUUUUAUCAUUUGUGAUUUGAUUUUGAGAUCAAACUUCUCUCUCUUGAGUGGAGUUUAUUAUAUCAAUUUUUUUAUAUUAAAAUUUAAGUAAUAAUACUAUUUUAUGACAAGUGCUAAGAAUUUUUUAUUUAUUUUAAAAAUACAAUAAUAAUGAGUUGUCAAUUUAUAAAAGAUUGGUCAAAGAGUCAUAUAAUCUAUUUAGUAAAAUAGAUGAGAGUGAGAAUAGAAAAAAAAAUCAAUUUUACACCUUUGUCACUUUCACUUUCUUCCCAUUGUGUAUUUCUAUUAUUCUACUAUUUCUUUUAAAAAAUCACUAUAAUUAUAAUUAAUAGUUAAAGCAAUGUUUUUCUUGUCAAUGAAUUCUUCCCGUUUGAAUUCAAUUAAUCAUGUGUUGGUUUUCUUCUUUUUAAUGUUUAAGAGACAUAUCUUUAAUAGAAAAACAUUUAUUGUUACGAUAAAAUAUAUUAACGAAAUGCAAAUAAUUAUAUUUGUCAUUAUUUAAUUGAUUUGACUAUUUCAACUUACUAUAUAAAUACAUAGUUGAUUUCCCAACUUGACAUCUGACUUUCAUGAUUUAGUAAUGAAAAACCUAUCUUACUGUAUCACAUUGCUACUUUAAUAGUAUAAAAGUGGAUUUUAUAUAAAAAAAAGUAUAAAGGUGAAUUUACAAGUGUGUUUUGGGGCUAUACCUAGUGGCAUGCAUUCUUGCCGCUUAAUCUAAACUUAAAACCACAACGCUCGACGUUUAAUUCUGGUGUUAGUAAGUUGUUUUCCUUAGACGCAUGUUUAUAUCUCCCUAUCGAGCCAAGAUAAAACCAUAGUUUUACGCAAAAUCUAUAUAUACUGUAGAAAUAGAGUCUAACUCGAGGAUAAAACCACUAAAACAAUAAAUCUCUAUGAAAAAUAAAUUUUUGUAUUUAAUAAAAAUGUCUAAUUUUUUUUUAUUUAAUAAAAAGGCCUUAAAUUUUAAUAUUUUUAAAAUUAAAACAUAUAAGUUUUUACUAAAUUUAAUAUUAUCUCAACAAUAUCAAAUCAAUUGAAAAAGAAAUAUUACAUGACAUAAAUUAUAUUAAUUUAGUGAUGUCAAAUUAAAAUUUAAAAAAUUCACUUUAUUUCUUAUAUUAAAAUUCACUUUAGUUCUUAUAUUAAAAUUCGCUGUAGACCUCAAUAUAUAUAAUAAUAUAUAUAUGUUGGACCAACCAUGUAUAGAAGAUAAAUGUUCCAAGGUUGCAUACGAGUGUCAUCCAAGAGUUUUUAUUUAUUCCUUUAGAUGAGAGCAACCUUCACUGCAAUAGACCUAAAGUUGUAGUAUUUUAUAUCCAAAAAUGGUGUCAUAAGAACUAGGGAAAUGUUUUCAUUAGGAUGUAGAUAAUAGGGAUUGGAUGUGUUUGUUGUGAAAUAUUUGAAAUCCAUUGUUGCAUGUCAAAAAAAAAAAAAAGGGCAAAACCAAUAAGAAGAAAGGAAUAAAAAUAGAAAGAUUUUUGAAGGUGUUAGAAAACCACAUAUAUAGGGGUUGAAUUGUGUUUGACUAUUUUGAAAUUUAUUUUUUUAUAAACUAAAAUGUGUUCUUUAUCAAAACAUUAAACAUUGGUUAUAAAACAAUUUACAUAAAUUGAAGUUAAACCAUAGAGAACUAGUCAAAUUAAAGAGAUGAAGGAAGAGAGAGAAGACUCAAUAUUUUUAUACUAGUUCUUAAUAAACUGUUGUUACAGUUAGUCCUUCCUCUACGAAGAGAUUUUGUCUCAAUACAAUUGAAGACUUAAUCCACUAUAAUCCAAUAGCAAAUAAGUAUUCUUUACUCUGCCUCUUCAAGAUUAGAACAUUAUUCUUCUGCCUCUCCAGAUUUUACCACCAAAUUGUCGUUGAGGAUCCAACUAUUGUUAUACCUGUUUAGGUACCUCUUAUGAAUUAAAUAGUUGUUGUCACUAUUGAACUAAUUUACAUCAAUUUUAGUUUGUGUCUAAAUUGAAACAAAGUUUGUUUUAAAAUCUCUAACUCUCAUUGAGAGAAUAUUACAAUUAAUUCCUAUGUCUAGGGCUGGACAAAUGAGAUGGGCCCGCUUUUUACCGCCGACCCGCAACGGGUGAGGUAAAUUGGGCCGGUUGGAUUGGACCCAACGUGUCACAUGGGUAGAAUUGAAUGGUUCAAUAGGGUAGACUCGGGCGGGUUCGAGUCAUGGAUUUUGGUCCGGCGGUGAACGACCCGCCCGAUAACAGUUUAUAAUAUUUAUUAGUAAGUGUUGGAAUGGGUCUAUUAAAUCCAAUUUAAUUUGGCCCAUUAUUAUAACUCAACCCUAACCCUAAUUUCAAUCAGUCUCACAAUCCCACCCACAACCUAAUUUCAUUCUCUCAUCAUCAUCCUGUCACGAACCCUAGUUCUUCACACCAGCAAACCCUAAUUCCUUCAAUCCUCAACGGCGGCCAACGGCGGCCCACGACGGUUAGUGGCGGCCACAUCCAUUCCAGGUUAUCACUCUAUCUCUUAUUUCUCAACUCUCACCUUUUUCGUUCCAAACUUUUUAAUCUUGUUUUUCAAAACUAUCUUUUUUCGUCUUUGUUGUUUUAAAUCUGUUAGUUUCGUCUUUGCUAGUUUCGUUUAUGUUAGUUUUGUCUUAGUUUCAUUUUUGAUUGUUAGUUUCGUCUUUGUUGUUCUAAACAUUUUUCUCUUUGUGAGCAUUUUCAAUCUCGUGUUCAAAAAUAGCAUUUUUCAUCUUUGUUGUUUUAAACAUGUUAAUCUUUUUCUAAUUUAUUUUGCAUUGUGUUAUGGUUUUUAUUUCUUUUUAUUAUAAUUAGGGUUUUGAUUUAACUAUUGUUUUUGUUUUUGGAUUUUCUAGAGUUUGGUUUUUUUUGUUUUUGCAUGCUGUUUUAUAUAUUAGAUUUUUCAUUUUUCUUAAGUAUAAUGUGUUAUUAUGUAGUAAUCUGCCUCACCUUAACAUGCAGUUUGUCCUGUUCUUAACUCUGUUAUUUGUCCUACUAAUUGUUUGUCCUCAUCUUAAAUUAUUUGUUUUUUUUCUUAUGAAUAUGUCAGGUGAGUUGGUUUUGGUUUGUUUUAUUACUGUUAAGGCAAAGAAUCCAUUAUGUUCAAUUUUCCACAUUAAUUCUUACUUUUUAACUUUCUAUUUUGUUCUUAAUAUUGUUGAUGUCUUCAAUAUACAUCAUGAUAACAAAUUUUUUAAGGAUACUGUUUUGUUUUAUAUGGCAAGGUUAGAUUUUGAAAUUGAAAUUACUUUUUGCAUUGUUAGCAAAUAGAUUAAUCAAUUAAGAAAAAUUUAUUUUCGUUUGAGAUUAUAAGCUCUAAAUAGUUGCUGUUAAUUUGUAUCAGACUCUUUGUCUUCUUGUUUUAAAUUGAAGAAUGUGUCAUGUGCAUUUUCUUAGUUGUUUUAUUGUAUGCUAACCAUGAUUAGAAAGUAUAAACAUUUUCUGUUAGUUGAUACUUUCUGUUUCAAUCACUACCUUUAGACAUAUCUUAUUUGUAGUAUCAAAACUUUACUAGUAUAAUGCCAUGAUUCACUUGGUAAUUUUAUUAUUUAUAUACUCAUGACAAUACAAUUUGUUAAGUUAUUGUCCCCUAAUACUUCUCAUUUUAGUACAUCCAAUUUAAUUUUCCAUCACCUUGAAACCUUGCAGUUCCUCUAGGUAGAACAUUUGAUAUUUGAUAAUUUAUGCUCUUUCUGACCAACAUUUGAUAUUCAUACUCUUAUUAUUAUUAUUAUUAUUAUUAUUAUUAUUAUUAUUAUUAUUAUUAUUAUUAUUAUUAUUAUUAUUUUUUUGGUAUGAUGUAAAAAAACAAAGCUUUUUUUUAGUUAUUAGAUUUGUUGAUAUUAUUUCAUAUAACUAAUUUAUUUUUAUUCUUUUUGUUUCAUUUUCUCUGCUUAUCGGAUCUCAUAUCGUCAAGGUAAAUAUUCUUUUAUUUAUUUUUCUUUGAUUUUUUGCAUACUCUAGAGUUUCAAUAUUCUGAUUUUUGAAUUCAAACUCUAAUUUCCAACUCUAAUAAAUAUUUAUAUCUAGAAAACUCUAAUAUGCAUAUUCUGAUAUUUAAAUAUUCUUGUAUGAAUUCAAACUCUGAUGUCUAGAUAUGAAUAAUUAUUAGAUAUGAAUAUUCUGAUUUUUUCCCAAAAUACUUUCUAGAGUUUCAUUUUUUGAUUUUUUUUUGCAUAUUUUGGAAAAAAACAUACUUGAUGUUCUUGGCUUGUGGCUGGAAAAGAUGGAUCAACGAGCCAAUAACAGUAGCAAGCAAGGGGUGAUUAUAGAGCAAGAGCACUGUAAGUUUGUGCUUCUAUUUUUUCGUCUUCAGUUUGAUGCUUAUAUUGUUUCUAUUUCAUGUUUAUAAGUUUUUCAAAUGUAUACUAUAUUUUUAUGCCUAUAAAUGAAUGCUAUAUAUUUAAGUUGUAUAUUUCUUUUUAAGAUGUGUUUAAUUAAUAUGUGUUUAAAGUUUCUGGUUCUUUUUAUGAGUUCAAUUAACAUGUUAAAAAUGUGCUUUUUUUUUUUUUUAAGUGUAUCUUGUGCUUCUUUUUUACUAAAUGUAAUUAGUGCUUCAGUUUUUUUUUAAUGCGCGCUUCUGUUUAAUUGUAAUGCUUCAAUUUUUUUAAUGUAUGCGUAAUUUUUUUUAUGCACCCUUUUAAAUUUAUUUGAUUUUUUUAUUUAUAACUUGUAAUGUAUUUUAAUUUUUUUUUCUUAUACAUACUUUUAAAUGUAUUAUAUGCAUGCUUAAGUUUUUGUUGAUGCAUGUUUCUCUAAUAUAUACUUUUGUUUAUUAUAUGCUUUUUCUUUUUCUUAAUGGAUAUUUGUUUGAAUAUUAUUCUAAUAUUGUUUAAUGAGUACACUGUGCUAGUUACACACUAGAUACUGUAUUAUAGUUAACCUUCAAUGGGUUGAAUAAGUCUAGUGUGUGUGAAAUACACUGGACUCUUGAAUUAUAGUCACUUACAUAAGAAUUAAACUCCCUUAUAGGUUAAAUUAAAGUCUCUUAAAUAUUCAUAACUCCCCUUAAAUAUUUAAUUACAACCACUUAAAUAAUAGAGUAAUACAAUCCUUGGAUGUUAAAUUACAUUCAUUUAAAAGUUAAUACACCCCCAUAAAAUUUUAUUACAACCCUUUAAAAGUCAAUGAACUUACAAUAAAUAAUUCCAUAUGGUUGGUAUUUGGUUAUUAAUGCUCCUUCAUGAUUUCAGUGAUGAACCAACCUAGUCGAAAUUUACCAACUCCAAAUAUCAACACUACUGAAGCUGGUGCAGCAGCAACAACUAUAGUUGCUGGACCUGAAUUGGCUAACAAUCAAGUUAAAAAGAAGAGAAAAGCUAAUGUAAGUGGUCCUAGGCAAUCCUCUAAAUGUUGGGAACACUUUAACAAAAUUAAUUCUAGUGAAGAGGAGGUACAAUCUGCCGCAUGUAAAUAAAAUAUACUUGUGUGACUCUCGAACUCAUGGCACCUCUAACCUCAACUACCACCUUACUAGAUGUGCCAAAAAACCUUUGGUUGUAUAUGAUGACCCCAUCUAAGCUAUUCUUACAUUUCCUAAUGUAGAAGGAUCUGGUUUGGUUUCAACAAGUAGUAAAUUAAACCUUCAAGCUUGUCGUAGGGCAUUGUCUAUUUUUGUGAUUUUGGAUGAACAACAAUUCAAAACUGUGGAAGGUGAAGGAUUUAAGUAUAUGUUGAGAACAUUGCUGCCACAAUUUACAAUACUGUCUAGACGAACUGUAGCUAGGGAUAGUUUUCAGUUGUUUAUGGAGGAAAAAUAAGGUUGAAAGCUUUUUUUAAGUCUGAUUGCAAUAGGGUAGCUCUUACAAUAGAUUGUUGGACUUCAAUUCAAAACCUUAACUACUUGGCCCUUACGAAACACUUUGUUGAUAAUGAUUGGAAUUAUCAAAAAAGGAUUAUUAGUUUCACAGUAAUUCCAAACCAUAAGGGUGACACAAUUGGUAAGAAGAUUGAAGAGGUUUUAAAGGAUUGGGGGAUUCGAAAUGUGUCAACUAUAACCGUUGAUAAUGCAUCAUCCAAUGAUGUAGCUGUUGUUUUUUUGAAAAAAAAGAUAAAUAAUAUGGAUUGUUUGAUGGGGGAUGGGGAACACUUCCACAUGAGGUGUGCUGCUCAUAUUCUGAAUUUAGUUGUAACUGAUGGCUUGAAAGAAAUUUUUUUGGCAAUCUCUAGCAUUAGAAAUGCUGUUAGAUUUGUAAAAUCUUCACCUCAUAGGGCUGCCAAGUUUAGGGAAUGUGUCCAGUUAGCUGGAAUAUCUUGUAAAAAAUUGCUAUCUCUUGAUGUUUCAACUCGUUGGAAUUCAACCUACUUGAUGCUUGAGGCUACAAAGAAGUUUCAAGUAGCUCUUAGGAAGUUUGAGGUUGAGGAGUCAAGUUAUAAGGAUUUCUUUGGAGAAGCUGGUCCCCCAACUAGUUAUGAUUGGGAUACAGCUAGGGCGUUUGCAACAUUUUUAAAGUUAUUUUAUGAGGCAACUAGAGUGUUUUCCUCCUCACAACAUGAGAGUAUACAUGCAGCUUUUCACCAAUUGUCUACAAUCUAUUGUGCGCUGCAAAAUGCCUCUUUGAAUUUGAACACCAUUUUUGCAAGUGUGGCUGAGGAUAUGUUAGUAAAAUAUGAUAAGUAUUGGGGUAAUAUUGCAAACAUUAAUAAGUUGCUAUACUUUGGGGUAAUUUUUGAUCCACGAUAUAAAUUGAAAUGUGUCGAGUGGUGCUUUCAAGAUAUGUAUGCAACUAAAUCAGAGGUGGCUAUUGAAUUGAUCACAUUAAUUAAAGAAGAUCUAACUAAAAUGUUCAAAUGGUAUAAGAAAAUCCAUGACAAAAGAAAAUAAUUUACCACAACCAACUCCCAUGGCUGUUGACAGUGGUUCCCAUGAUGAAACCUCUGUUGUUGCUGCCCAUAAUUUACAAAUGGCCAGAGCACAAGCUUUUGAAGACACCAUUUGAAAGAGAAAGACUCAAUUGACCAACAAAAUGAGCUUGAAGGAUAUUAUUCUAGUAAGUGUGUGAAGAUGAGUGAAAAGUUUGAUAUUCUUGCUUGGUGGAAAUGUAACGCAACUCAGUACCCAAUCUUAUCUCUUAUAGUCAAAGAUAUUUUGGCUAUACCGGUGUCUACAAUUGCAUCUGAAAGUGCUUUUAGUACUGGUGGGAGAGUCAUUGAAACCUUUAGAAGCUCUUUAAAGCCAGAAAUGGAUGAAGCAUUAAUUUACACACAAAAUUGGCUAAAACCUUCACUCACUUGUUUCAAAGACUUAAAUCUUAGUGAAGAUGUUGAUCUUUCUGAAGAAAUUAUUAAAGGUAAAAUUAUUUAUGUAUCUUUUAACUUUUUGAACUGUCUCAUAUAUUUAUAUGUUCAUAAUAUAGUCUAAUGUUUAUUAUUUUGUUAGUUAUUUCAGAGUUUCAAGGAAUGUCAAUUGGAAAGGCAACUACUGCAGGUGGCUCAUCAUCACAACCACCUAGUUGUGGUUGAAUAAAAUUAUUGUAUGCAAUAUUCCUUUUUAUUGUUACUAAUUUGAAAUGAUUUUGUCAAUAUUGUGUUAGUACUAACUAAUUAUGCCAAACUUUUCAGAUUUAGACUUUUUUGAAUGUUUUGACCUCACACAAUCUUAAGUCAAAGACUAACUUGGCUCUAUGACAAUAUCAACACAAGCUUUUUGGGAUUUGUAUAAACUGUUGUUCUGCUUGGUAAGUUAUUAUUGUUAUAUCUUAUUGUUAUUUUAAUUGCCAAAAAUUGUUAGUAACCAAAAUUGUAAGUAGCUACAACUACAACUGUUACUCUCUUAGCAAUCUAAACUGCAUGUUAUAGAUAUAUGUUAGCAUAUAUUAGCAUAUUGUGUUAGUACUAACUAAUUAUGCCAAACUUUUCAGAUUUAGACUUUUUUGAAUGUUUUGACCUCACACAAUCUUAAGUCAAAGACUAACUUGGCUCUAUGACAAUAUCAACACAAGCUUUUUGGGAUUUGUAUAAACUGUUGUUCUGCUUGGUAAGUUAUUAUUGUUAUAUCUUAUUGUUAUUUUAAUUGCCAAAAAUUGUUAGUAACCAAAAUUGUAAGUAGCUACAACUACAACUGUUACUCUCUUAGCAAUCUAAACUGCAUGUUAUAGAUAUAUGUUAGCAUAUAUUAGCAUUUCUGUGAUAAGCAAGAACAUAAGAUUAAUUUGUUAUUCUUAUAUAAUUACCCUUUUAUUUCCCAACAGCUGGUGCAUUAGAUUAUGAGACUGAUUUUGUUGCAAGUCAUAGAAAAACAAGUGUUUGAUCAUAUGUAUGUUACCUUUUAUCUUAAGUCAAUUGUGAACUAUCAGAAUUUUAUUUUUAAUAAAAUUAAAGUACUGAGUAUAAUAUUGAUUAUGUAGGUUGCAGGAGUUCUUGCAGAUUGCUUGGUGUUAAAUCUUUAUUUAAUAUUAGCUAAGUUAGUAGCUGCAAUUUAUAUUAUUGUGAACAACAUAUAUAGGUAUGUCAACCUGAUUUCUUAGUUUGAUCUUAUUGUUGAUUCAAAAUGAAUGAUCUAAUAAUGUUGAUUGCAUUAUUUUUUAUUCAAACUAGGUUGCUAUACAUGAAACUAAGCUAAAGUAAAUUUGGCGUUAUCAAGUUUGGAAUUUUUUGAUGUUGAUUGCAAACAAGGUAUUGAAUUAUUUUUUCUAUGGUACACAUCAACAACAUAUUUUUACAAUGGUUAUUGGUUACUAAUUUUUGCUCUAAUUUUUUAGGUUCGCAAUGGGAACAAAUUGGAAAUAUAUAUUGAUAAUUGUAUUUUCAUAGAGUCAAUUAAAACUAUCAAUAUUUUCCAAGAAGUGUGUAUCAAUAUUAGACUUUAGUAUUAUGUGAAUGUAGUUGAAAAACUAAGCUGUUAUAAUCUGUUGUUGAAUAACUAGGCUGUGAUAAUCUGUUGUUGAAAACUAGGCUGUGAUAAUCUGUCGUUGAAAAAGUAAGCUGUUAUAAUCUGUUGCUGUGAAAAACUAAGCUGUUAUGUGAAUGUAUUAAUAUUACGUGAAUGUACUUGAGUUGUUGUUGAAAAACUAAGUUGUUAUAAUCUGUUGGACUUGAAAAAUAAGGAUUGUGUUAAACUUUUAGUUGUAAUCUGUUGGACUUGAAAAACAAGGAUUGUGGAAAACUUUUAGUUGUAAGCUGCUGUAUUUGUAUGUUAUGUGAAUUUAGUUGUAAACUGAGUUGUUGUAGUUGUAAGUUGUUGCAUUAUAGGAAUAUAAUUGUAUGUUAUGUGAAUGUUAGUAUCCCAAUUUUUUUUUAAAAAAGUACAAAUUUUGUCUUUAAAUGGCUCAAAAGUGGUCUUAUAUUUGAUAAUAAACUACUACUUUCCUAAGAAAUAACAAAAAAAAUAGUUAUUUUAAUAAACAUGUUAUUGGGUCAAAAAAAUUUGAAUGGCCCAAAAAAGUUUGAAUGGCCCAAACAAUGAUUCAACCCGGAUGUAACCACUCGAUUAACCCGCAACCCGGAUACCCGAUUUUUGUAUUGGGCAAAAAUGGGCUUGUAAUUUUCAAUCACAGAUUGAGCCGGUUGGUGUUUUUAGGCCCGAACCCGCCCUACCCAGCCUGUUGUCCAACCCUACCUAUAUCAACUCAAGUGUAUAAAAUAGCUUCAUUGUUUUGCAUCAAUAACAAAUAAAUCUCGUUGGAGAGAAUUUUUCAUUCAAUCUUUCUUUUGAUAUAUUCAAGGUAUUUUUAGAAUCAUUUUAAUUUGAACAUUGCUUUUUCUUUUGACACUAAUGAUAUCACUAAAGGUGGUGAUUUUCUUUUGAUUUUCAUGAUCUGUCAAUGAAUGAAGGUGGAUCAGACGAUCAUUGUUUAGAAACUUCUAGGUGUCUUCUUAUCGUGGAUGACUUUCUUGGAUCAUGGAUGAUGAACUAUUAGUCCUUUUCCAAUCAUCAUUGAUCAUUAUUCUUCUCCAUCAUGCAAAUUUACAAUUUUAAUUCCUUUAUUAUAAUAUCAAGAGAAAUGUAUCUAUUAGGAAUAGAGCCGUUGAACAUUUUGCCACGUUGUAGUAGUACAUUUUGCCGUUGAGAGAAAUGUGUUGUUCAUAAUAUUAUUAUAGGUUGUUUUUGUACAAUUUAGACAAUUAUAUUGUAUUAAUUAUAAGAUGUUGGUGAGACAUCAGUUGUAUUGAUUACAAAAGAAUGUUGAUAUUCUAGUGCCACGUCACUUGUACUUUUAGCUAGAGAAUCAAACUUCUAUCUCUAAUUAAUUUUGUAUCCAAACGAAUAAUGAUACUUCUUUGUUAACAUCGUCAUUCAUUGAUUGAUCAGAUGCAUUGACUUUAUCUAAAUAUAAACUGUAUUAGAAGACUAUGUGAUUUAAAUAUCAUUGUCUUUUUUUCCGGAGAAUCUUGCUUAGAAGAUCACCAAAAGUUUUAACUGAUUAUUGACUUUUGCCAGAGAGGUAUAUGAUCAUUGUAGUGCUUUUGCUUUGUGAUGAGAAGUGCAAAUGUUGACUCAAAGUGUAAGUUGUCAAAUGCUUGUUAUAAAGCUAGUUGGUCACAUUACUUUAGUGAAUUGUCUCUUGUGACUAAAUGAAGAUUUACUUUAUAAUGUUCUCAAAUACGUUCUUAAUUAAAAUAAUACAUUUAAUCUAGAAUGUCAUUUGCUUUGUUAAACAUUUCUUACACUUAUACGCUAUUUUGUUUAUUCAAUAGAACAACACAUGUAUUAUUAUUCCUAAUUUACUCAUAAUUUAUGUUACCUUAAAAUAAAUAGUCCUUAACAUAUAUUUUAGGGUUAUAUAUGCUUUUAUUGAAUGUGCAAAAAUACGAGAAAGGGGAGUUGAAUUGUAUUUUGCCUUAUUAACAACAUCUUUUCAAAAAUCUAGUUCAUGAUACUAGAACAAAUAUAACAGAACAGACACAUUAAUAAAACAAAGUAUCAGACAGAGAGAAAAACACAAGGAUUUAUACUGGUUCACUACCAACGUGGAAGCAACGUCCAGUCCCCUCACACAAAAGGAUUUAUCCGGUAAUUCAAAACCUAAACUACAUCAUCUGACCUUACAAUUCAGUCUUCUCAACUUCCAUCUUGAAACCUAGAUACCUUUGAGGCACUACAACACCUUGAUCCUACAAGCAUUUGACCAAAAGGAUUUAUCCAGUAAUUCAAAACCUAAACUGCAUUAUCUGACCUUACAAUUCAGUCUUCUCAAAUUUCAACUUGAAACCUACAUACCAGUGAGGCACUACAUCACCUUGAUCCUACAAGUCAAGUCUUCUCAACUUCCAACUUGAAAACCUACAAGUCAUUGAGGCAGAAUAACCACUAUUGGUUUGGGUUACAAAGGGGUGAAACUAAGUUCUAUUUUGCUUCUUAUAAGCGGAUUGAUGACAAUUAACUUUACACUAAAACAUAGAACUAAGCAAUUAUAAUAUAAAGUUGAACGAGUGUCUUCGAUAAAACUAGAACCUUGAAUUCUUAAUACUUAGAGACUUUUGAGUAAAUAAGGUUUUCUGAGUUGUUAUGUUGUUUUAUCUUCUUUAGAAUUAAUCCCUAUAUAUAGCAUAAAUUAGGAUUUCAAUACUGUCUCAAACAAAUUCUAAAUGUGUCUUCCUUGUGCAAGGUCAACAUAGAUCUUAAAAAAAAAGUAAACCUUGAUAGAUACAGUUUGAGACUAUGACCGUUGAAGUUUGAUUAAUUGCAAAUCAAAUCUUCAACUAAAUUUUCUAGAAUGAUUAUGUGCGAUAAUUUCUAAAUAAUGCUAGAAAACAAUUCUCCUUGAAUCUUCUGAGCGUAUCUUCACAAAAAAUUAAAUCUUGAUAGAUAUGAUUUGGGACUGGUAAAGCUUGAUUAAUUCCAAAGCGAAUAUUCAACCAAUUCUUCUAGAAUGAUUAUGUGUGAGAAUUUCCAUAUAAGGCUUGAAAAUAAUUUUUCUUGAAUCUUAUUUCAUAUGCUUGUUUAAGAGCAACAAGAACAUAUAAGAAUAUGUUCUUGGACCUUCAGAAUUAUGAAACAACUCAUUCACUAUCUGUAAGACCCAUAAUUUUAAAGUACACUUUAUGUAUUUUAUAUGUUUUGGAUUUUGGCUCGGAGGCUUUUUAGCCAAAGUUAAUAAUAUUAUGCAGUGUAUAGGAUCAAAAAGUUAUUUUGACCCCGUUUAGAAUUACUCGUCGAUAAAUAAAUUUAAAUUAAGUGCGGUAAAUCCUUUACGGAGAAUUUAAUGCGUUACGGGUAAAAUGGUAAUUUAACAAAUAUCUAGAUAUUUUGAGAUAUUUGUUAAGUUAUAUUUAAUAUAUAUAUAUAUAUAUAUAUAUAUAUAUAUAUAUAUGUUUGCUUGGAGAGAAUAGAAAGAAAGGAAAUUAGAAGGAAGGAAAAGGAAACGAAAAGGUUAUAUAAAGGAAAGAAGGAAAUAGAAAGGAAGGAAAAACAAAGAAAGGAAAAAGGAAGGAAGGAAAAUUCAGAAUUCCAUCUUCUUCCUCCCUACGCGUGACCCCCCAUUUUCCCUUCUCCUCCAUUUUCGUCUUUCGUUGCUUUCUUUCUUCAAGACUAGUAACCCAAGGUUGGGUGAGUGUUAGAACAAGGAUUUCGCAACUCCACUCUUCCUCUUUGAUUCGAAAACGAAGAAAAACGGUAUUUGAGAUUCAAACACAAACCCCUCCGUUUCUUCUAGAUCCAAGCUUCAUUUCGCGAAGAGUUAGAAGGGAAAGUUGCUCACUACCACGCCACGGUGCUAGGGGACCAAUUUGGAGGCGACGUUGCGAGCGGAGAUUUUUACCGGAUUUGCUCGCGGUACCAGAAACGCACGUUAGAGCUAACGCGAAGGUAAGGGCUCCUUCCAAACUUUUAGUUUGCAUCUAGGGCCUUAUAUGUGGUUGUGUGGAAACGAAUUUUGUUAGGAUGGGAGUAUUGUUUUGGGAAAAAUGAAUUUACCUCACGUAUGUAAGAUUUUGAGUAAAUGAAACUUGUGUGUUUUGAGUAGUGGAUUGUGUCGAUUUGUGUUCGUUGUUUUUGACAUGCUCUUAAUUGAUAUUGAUGAAAUUUGAUAUGUGUAUGGUUGGAUUUGUGAAUAAAUGAAUUGAUAUGUUUUGAUGUGAGAAUUUGUUGAGUUUGUGUUGUGUGAAAUUUGAAAACCAUUAAGUUAAAUGAGUAUUAAGAAUGGGGAAUCUCUUAAUGUCUCGUUUACUUAAUGUGCGUUUGUUUGUGAAAAAUCGUUUAAGUUAACUGGGCGUUAAGAAUGGGGAAUCUCUUAAUGUCUCGGUUACUUAACAUUUUGUUUUGAAAACCGUUUAAGUAAACUGGGCGUUAAGAAUGGGGAAUCUCUUAAUGUCUCGGUUACUUAAUAUUUGUUUUUGAAAAUCGUUUAAGUUAACUGGGCGUUAAGAAUGGGGAAUCUCUUAAUGUCUCGGUUACUUAAUAUUUGUUUUUGAAAAUCGUUUAAGUUAACUGGGCGUUAAGAAUGGGGAAUCUCUUAAUGUCUCGGUUACUUAAUAUUUUGUUUUAAAGAAAAAUCGUUUAAGUUAACUGGGCGUUAAGAAUGGGGAAUCUCUUAAUGUCUCGGUUACUUAAUAUUUUGUUUUAAAGAAAAAUCGUUUAAGUUAACUGGGCGUUAAGAAUGGGGAAUCUCUUAAUGUCUCGGUUACUUAAUAUUUUGUUUUGAAAACCGUUUAAGUAAACUGGGCGUUAAGAAUGGGGAAUCUCUUAAUGUCUCGGUUACUUAAUAUUUUGUUUUGAAAACCGUUUAAGUUAACUGGACGUUAAGGAGAGGGAAUCUCUUAAUGUCUCGGUUACUUAAUAUUUUGUUUUAAAGAAAAAUCGUUUAAGUUAACUGGGCGUUAAGAAUGGGGAAUCUCUUAAUGUCUCGGUUACUUAAUAUUUUGUUUUAAAGAAAAAUCGUUUAAGUUAACUGGGCGUUAAGAAUGGGGAAUCUCUUAAUGUCUCGGUUACUUAAUAUUUUGUUUUAAAGAAAAAUCGUUUAAGUUAACUGGGCGUUAAGAAUGGGGAAUCUCUUAAUGUCUCGGUUACUUAAUAUUUUGUUUUAAAGAAAAAUCGUUUAAGUUAACUGGGCGUUAAGAAUGGGGAAUCUCUUAAUGUCUCGGUUACUUAAUAUUUUGUUUUGAAAACCGUUUAAGUAAACUGGGCGUUAAGAAUGGGGAAUCUCUUAAUGUCUCGGUUACUUAAUAUUUUGUUUUGAAAACCGUUUAAGUAAACUGGGCGUUAAGAAUGGGGAAUCUCUUAAUGUCUCGGUUACUUAAUAUUUUGUUUUAAAGAAAAAUCGUUUAAGUUAACUGGGCGUUAAGAACGGGGAAUCUCUUAAUGUCUCGNNNNNNNNNNNNNNNNNNNNNNNNNNNNNNNNNNNNNNNNNNNNNNNNNNNNNNNNNNNNNNNNNNNNNNNNNNNNNNNNNNNNNNNNNNNNNNNNNNNNNNNNNNNNNNNNNNNNNNNNNNNNNNNNNNNNNNNNNNNNNNNNNNNNNNNNNNNNNNNNNNNNNNNNNNNNNNNNNNNNNNNNNNNNNNNNNNNNNNNNNNNNNNNNNNNNNNNNNNNNNNNNNNNNNNNNNNNNNNNNNNNNNNNNNNNNNNNNNNNNNNNNNNNNNNNNNNNNNNNNNNNNNNNNNNNNNNNNNNNNNNNNNNNNNNNNNNNNNNNNNNNNNNNNNNNNNNNNNNNNNNNNNNNNNNNNNNNNNNNNNNNNNNNNNNNNNNNNNNNNNNNNNNNNNNNNNNNNNNNNNNNNNNNNNNNNNNNNNNNNNNNNNNNNNNNNNNNNNNNNNNNNNNNNNNNNNNNNNNNNNNNNNNNNNNNNNNNNNNNNNNNNNNNNNNNNNNNNNNNNNNNNNNNNNNNNNNNNNNNNNNNNNNNNNNNNNNNNNNNNNNNNNNNNNNNNNNNNNNNNNNNNNNNNNNNNNNNNNNNNNNNNNNNNNNNNNNNNNNNNNNNNNNNNNNNNNNNNNNNNNNNNNNNNNNNNNNNNNNNNNNNNNNNNNNNNNNNNNNNNNNNNNNNNNNNNNNNNNNNNNNNNNNNNNNNNNNNNNNNNNNNNNNNNNNNNNNNNNNNNNNNNNNNNNNNNNNNNNNNNNNNNNNNNNNNNNNNNNNNNNNNNNNNNNNNNNNNNNNNNNNNNNNNNNNNNNNNNNNNNNNNNNNNNNNNNNNNNNNNNNNNNNNNNNNNNNNNNNNNNNNNNNNNNNNNNNNNNNNNNNNNNNNNNNNNNNNNNNNNNNNNNNNNNNNNNNNNNNNNNNNNNNNNNNNNNNNNNNNNNNNNNNNNNNNNNNNNNNNNNNNNNNNNNNNNNNNNNNNNNNNNNNNNNNNNNNNNNNNNNNNNNNNNNNNNNNNNNNNNNNNNNNNNNNNNNNNNNNNNNNNNNNNNNNNNNNNNNNNNNNNNNNNNNNNNNNNNNNNNNNNNNNNNNNNNNNNNNNNNNNNNNNNNNNNNNNNNNNNNNNNNNNNNNNNNNNNNNNNNNNNNNNNNNNNNNNNNNNNNNNNNNNNNNNNNNNNNNNNNNNNNNNNNNNNNNNNNNNNNNNNNNNNNNNNNNNNNNNNNNNNNNNNNNNNNNNNNNNNNNNNNNNNNNNNNNNNNNNNNNNNNNNNNNNNNNNNNNNNNNNNNNNNNNNNNNNNNNNNNNNNNNNNNNNNNNNNNNNNNNNNNNNNNNNNNNNNNNNNNNNNNNNNNNNNNNNNNNNNNNNNNNNNNNNNNNNNNNNNNNNNNNNNNNNNNNNNNNNNNNNNNNNNNNNNNNNNNNNNNNNNNNNNNNNNNNNNNNNNNNNNNNNNNNNNNNNNNNNNNNNNNNNNNNNNNNNNNNNNNNNNNNNNNNNNNNNNNNNNNNNNNNNNNNNNNNNNNNNNNNNNNNNNNNNNNNNNNNNNNNNNNNNNNNNNNNNNNNNNNNNNNNNNNNNNNNNNNNNNNNNNNNNNNNNNNNNNNNNNNNNNNNNNNNNNNNNNNNNNNNNNNNNNNNNNNNNNNNNNNNNNNNNNNNNNNNNNNNNNNNNNNNNNNNNNNNNNNNNNNNNNNNNNNNNNNNNNNNNNNNNNNNNNNNNNNNNNNNNNNNNNNNNNNNNNNNNNNNNNNNNNNNNNNNNNNUUUUGAAUUCAUGGAUUGAGAACUUUUUCCGCUGCUUGAAAAUUAUAAUGACUUAAUUACUUAUCCAAAGGUGUUACCUUGUUUAUUUCUCUGUUUUAUUUUAAUUUCUUUUAAAAAAAAAAUACACGCUCGCUUUGAAAAACAGGGUGUUUCAUUGUGGUAUCAGAGCUUUGGUUUGGUUUUCUUUGGGGGCUGUGGAACCUCUAGUUCUAGAUUGUAGGUUAGGAGUUGUUGUCUGAUCAUGUGUCGGUUUAGGUGGUUUGAGUUGUCAAGUUCAUAACAAUUAUUAUGUGCGGUUGUGGUCGGAAGUUAUUCUUAGAAUUAUUGAAGUAGUGUUAAGACUCUACUUGAUGAUGGUUUUAUAGGAGAACCAUGCUGCCAAGGAGGAAUGACGUUCCGAGAGCCAAUGUCAAUAGGGAUGAUCGAAUGGCGGAGGCUAUGAAUAACCUGGCUGCUUCUGUUGCUGCACAGACUGCUGCCAAGACUCAACGUGAUCUCGAAAAGAGGGGAAGAGAGAUCCGUGCUGCAGAGUCAAGAGGAUUAAAGGACUUUCGUCGUUACAAUCCUCCCAAGUUUGAGGGGGCUGAGGAUUCAGAGAAAGCGGAUCAAUGGAUCCAAGAAGUGGAGAAGAUCUUCGACAUGAUCAACUGUCAGGCGGGAGUGAGGGUCAACUAUGCCACUUAUAUGCUACUAGGAGAUGCUGAGUACUGGUGGAGGAGUACAAGGUUGUUGAUGAGAUCAGCUCACGAGGAGGUGAACUGGGAAUCUUUCAAAGGGAAGUUUUUCGACAAAUACUUCCCGAUGAGUACCAGGACUAGACUGGGUGAUGAUUUCCUGAAACUACAUCAGGGGAACAUGACCGUGGACGAAUAUGCUGCUAAGUUUGAAUCACUAUCAAGGCAUUUCAGAUUUUUCCGUGAAGAGAUUGACGAGCCGUUCUUGUGUCAUCGUUUCCAAGACGGGCUAAAGUGUGAGAUUCAAGACUUUGUCUUACCCUUGGGAAUUUAACGUUUCCAAUUUCUUGUGGGAAAAUGUAGAGAAGUUGAGGAUAUGAAGAAUAAAAGAGCUAGCCGAGGAGGGAAUUUUAACUCAGGAGGACCUAGUCGGGUGAAGUAUCAGAACAAGGGAAAACGAGUUGUCAAACAUGAUAAUCGACCACGUGAUAACAACGGGGGGCUAAAUAACCCAGGGAACCAAGACUUUGGGAGGCAAAUGGGACAAGGUAUACGAUGUUUCCGAUGUGGAGAAGAAGGACAUUAUGCUUAUGCUUGUACCUUUGACAGUACUACUUGCUACAAUUGCCAUAAACCAGGGCACUUUGCAAGGAAUUGCGAGGCUCCGAAGGUGGAACCAAUGGUGGAUGUAGCUAGGAUUACUCUUCCUACUGCUAGAGGACAGGUGUAUUGCGUCGGCGCUGAUUUAUCUAGCGAUCUGAUUCAAUAUGACUGUGCGAUUACAGGUAACCUCCUAACUACACUUUCUGAUUCAGGGGCAACCCAUUCCUUCAUUGCUAUGGAUUAUGUAAAUUGUUUGAAGUUGUCCGUGUCUACUUUACUGCUAAGACUUUGACAGUAAAUUAUGCAUGUUUACUUUGUCAAAUAACCAUUCAGAAUAGGGACUUCUCGAUUAAUUUGAUUGUUUACCUCUACAAUAACCCAAGAUCAUUCUUGGUAUGGAUGGGAAGCCCUAUCAUUAGGUAAUGAUACAUUGUACUCAAUGGGUCGGUGUCAUACUUAGUGUUUAGAUUUGGUACUAGUUGGAUGUUCCGUACAAGGUGGAACAUCAGCGACCUGCUGGGGUGUUGCGACCUUUAGAGAUUACACGGAGUACCAUCGAGUAUUGUAUCAUACAGACUGUUGUAUUCGAAUACAGACAUGCUGUUUUUGCCACUGACUUACUGUGUAGUCGAAUACAGACUGCUGUAUUCGAAUACAUUUUGCUACUGACUUGCUGUGUAGUCGAAUACAGACUGUUGUAUUCGAAUACAGACAUGCUGUUUUUGCCACUGACUUACUGUGUAGUCGAAUACAGACUGCUGUAUUCGAAUACAUUUUGCUACUGACUUGCUGUGUAGUCGAAUACAGACUGUUGUAUUCGAAUACAGACAUGCUGUUUUUGCCACUGACUUACUGUGUAGUCGAAUACAGACUGCUGUAUUCGAAUACAUUUUGCUACUGACUUGCUGUGUAGUCGAAUACAGACUGUUGUAUUCGAAUACAGACAUGCUGUUUUUGCCACUGACUUACUGUGUAGUCGAAUACAGACUGCUGUAUUCGAAUACAUUUUGCUACUGACUUGCUGUGUAGUCGAAUACAGACUGUUGUAUUCGAAUACAGACAUGCUGUUUUUGCCACUGACUUACUGUGUAGUCGAAUACAGACUGCUGUAUUCGAAUACAUUUUGCUACUGACUUGCUGUGUAGUCGAAUACAGACUGUUGUAUUCGAAUACAGACAUGCUGUUUUUGCCACUGACUUACUGUGUAGUCGAAUACAGACUGCUGUAUUCGAAUACAUUUUGCUACUGACUUGCUGUGUAGUCGAAUACAGACUGUUGUAUUCGAAUACAGACAUGCUGUUUUUGCCACUGACUUACUGUGUAGUCGAAUACAGACUGCUGUAUUCGAAUACAUUUUGCUACUGACUUGCUGUGUAGUCGAAUACAGACUGUUGUAUUCGAAUACAGACAUGCUGUUUUUGCCACUGACUUACUGUGUAGUCGAAUACAGACUGCUGUAUUCGAAUACAUUUUGCUACUGACUUGCUGUGUAGUCGAAUACAGACUGUUGUAUUCGAAUACAGACAUGCUGUUUUUGCCACUGACUUACUGUGUAGUCGAAUACAGACUGCUGUAUUCGAAUACAUUUUGCUACUGACUUGCUGUGUAGUCGAAUACAGACUGUUGUAUUCGAAUACAGACAUGCUGUUUUUGCCACUGACUUACUGUGUAGUCGAAUACAGACUGCUGUAUUCGAAUACAUUUUGCUACUGACUUGCUGUGUAGUCGAAUACAGACUGUUGUAUUCGAAUACAGACAUGCUGUUUUUGCCACUGACUUACUGUGUAGUCGAAUACAGACUGCUGUAUUCGAAUACAUUUUGCUACUGACUUGCUGUGUAGUCGAAUACAGACUGUUGUAUUCGAAUACAGACAUGCUGUUUUUGCCACUGACUUACUGUGUAGUCGAAUACAGACUGCUGUAUUCGAAUACAUUUUGCUACUGACUUGCUGUGUAGUCGAAUACAGACUGUUGUAUUCGAAUACAGACAUGCUGUUUUUGCCACUGACUUACUGUGUAGUCGAAUACAGACUGCUGUAUUCGAAUACAUUUUGCUACUGACUUGCUGUGUAGUCGAAUACAGACUGUUGUAUUCGAAUACAGACAUGCUGUUUUUGCCACUGACUUACUGUGUAGUCGAAUACAGACUGCUGUAUUCGAAUACAUUUUGCUACUGACUUGCUGUGUAGUCGAAUACAGACUGUUGUAUUCGAAUACAGACAUGCUGUUUUUGCCACUGACUUACUGUGUAGUCGAAUACAGACUGCUGUAUUCGAAUACAUUUUGCUACUGACUUGCUGUGUAGUCGAAUACAGACUGUUGUAUUCGAAUACAGACAUGCUGUUUUUGCCACUGACUUACUGUGUAGUCGAAUACAGACUGCUGUAUUCGAAUACAUUUUGCUACUGACUUGCUGUGUAGUCGAAUACAGACUGUUGUAUUCGAAUACAGACAUGCUGUUUUUGCCACUGACUUACUGUGUAGUCGAAUACAGACUGCUGUAUUCGAAUACAUUUUGCUACUGACUUGCUGUGUAGUCGAAUACAGACUGUUGUAUUCGAAUACAGACAUGCUGUUUUUGCCACUGACUUACUGUGUAGUCGAAUACAGACUGCUGUAUUCGAAUACAUUUUGCUACUGACUUGCUGUGUAGUCGAAUACAGACUGUUGUAUUCGAAUACAGACAUGCUGUUUUUGCCACUGACUUACUGUGUAGUCGAAUACAGACUGCUGUAUUCGAAUACAUUUUGCUACUGACUUGCUGUGUAGUCGAAUACAGACUGUUGUAUUCGAAUACAGACAUGCUGUUUUUGCCACUGACUUACUGUGUAGUCGAAUACAGACUGCUGUAUUCGAAUACAUUUUGCUACUGACUUGCUGUGUAGUCGAAUACAGACUGUUGUAUUCGAAUACAGACAUGCUGUUUUUGCCACUGACUUACUGUGUAGUCGAAUACAGACUGCUGUAUUCGAAUACAUUUUGCUACUGACUUGCUGUGUAGUCGAAUACAGACUGUUGUAUUCGAAUACAGACAUGCUGUUUUUGCCACUGACUUACUGUGUAGUCGAAUACAGACUGCUGUAUUCGAAUACAUUUUGCUACUGACUUGCUGUGUAGUCGAAUACAGACUGUUGUAUUCGAAUACAGACAUGCUGUUUUUGCCACUGACUUACUGUGUAGUCGAAUACAGACUGCUGUAUUCGAAUACAUUUUGCUACUGACUUGCUGUGUAGUCGAAUACAGACUGUUGUAUUCGAAUACAGACAUGCUGUUUUUGCCACUGACUUACUGUGUAGUCGAAUACAGACUGCUGUAUUCGAAUACAUUUUGCUACUGACUUGCUGUGUAGUCGAAUACAGACUGUUGUAUUCGAAUACAGACAUGCUGUUUUUGCCACUGACUUACUGUGUAGUCGAAUACAGACUGCUGUAUUCGAAUACAUUUUGCUACUGACUUGCUGUGUAGUCGAAUACAGACUGUUGUAUUCGAAUACAGACAUGCUGUUUUUGCCACUGACUUACUGUGUAGUCGAAUACAGACUGCUGUAUUCGAAUACAUUUUGCUACUGACUUGCUGUGUAGUCGAAUACAGACUGUUGUAUUCGAAUACAGACAUGCUGUUUUUGCCACUGACUUACUGUGUAGUCGAAUACAGACUGCUGUAUUCGAAUACAUUUUGCUACUGACUUGCUGUGUAGUCGAAUACAGACUGUUGUAUUCGAAUACAGACAUGCUGUUUUUGCCACUGACUUACUGUGUAGUCGAAUACAGACUGCUGUAUUCGAAUACAUUUUGCUACUGACUUGCUGUGUAGUCGAAUACAGACUGUUGUAUUCGAAUACAGACAUGCUGUUUUUGCCACUGACUUACUGUGUAGUCGAAUACAGACUGCUGUAUUCGAAUACAUUUUGCUACUGACUUGCUGUGUAGUCGAAUACAGACUGUUGUAUUCGAAUACAGACAUGCUGUUUUUGCCACUGACUUACUGUGUAGUCGAAUACAGACUGCUGUAUUCGAAUACAUUUUGCUACUGACUUGCUGUGUAGUCGAAUACAGACUGUUGUAUUCGAAUACAGACAUGCUGUUUUUGCCACUGACUUACUGUGUAGUCGAAUACAGACUGCUGUAUUCGAAUACAUUUUGCUACUGACUUGCUGUGUAGUCGAAUACAGACUGUUGUAUUCGAAUACAGACAUGCUGUUUUUGCCACUGACUUACUGUGUAGUCGAAUACAGACUGCUGUAUUCGAAUACAUUUUGCUACUGACUUGCUGUGUAGUCGAAUACAGACUGUUGUAUUCGAAUACAGACAUGCUGUUUUUUUUGCUGAAUGCUGAAACAGCCUUGUAUUCGAAUACAGAGAUGCUGUAUUCGAAUACAACAAUGUUGUUUUGUUAAAAACUUCAUUUCUCAACCUUGUUUAUGCAUGUUUGGCAUAUGGAAACCCUUUUAAGGUGCAUGCUUAGUUGAAAGGUUAUUUUGAGCAUUUAAAAUCUUAAUUGCUAUGUGUUAACUGUUAUUUUUUUUGGUUGGUGACCCUUUACAAUUAUUGUGGAAAUCUGGGCUUUGCCCUCAGAUGAGAGUCAGGACGAUCCUACCGGUUCGUACCCUACGGACGGGAAUGGAGAUGGGAACGCUUGACUGCAGCUACGUUAGGAGGAUCUCACGGGGCGCGUGGAGAUCACUCAGGGUGUUUAGUUGUUUUGUAAAAUGAUCAGACUAGGUUGUCACAGAGGGAACGGAUGUCUUUCUUUUGGGGUUGCGUUUAUUUUAAACCGGAAGACUGUACUGUUACUAUUAUUGUCAGUACGACACCUUAGUUGAAUGGGUUCCUUGUAUCUUCUAGUUGUUGCUUAAAUACUUUGGAUGUAUGUAUUUGAGAAACUUUUUCCGCUGCUUGUAAAUUUUAAUGACUCAAUUAUUUAUCCAAAGGCAUUUCCUGAUUUAAUUCUCUGUUUUAUUUUAAUUCCUUUUGAAAAAAAAAUACACCCUCGCUUUGAAAAACGGGGUGUUACACUAUCAGAACAUUGACUUUCCAUUAGAGUCGUUGACUUUCGCCAUCAGAACAUAACUUGAUCAUUAGAUUCAUAUAUUGUGUUGCUUGGUUCAGGUAGUUAGAGGCAAAACUGCAUGAUUUAGAAUUAGUGGCAUGAGUAAUGUCAUCUUGUUGCAUCUUUAGAGCAAACGACAACAACAUCUUGGAACAAGAUGCAGUCUUCAGAACAAGCGAAACACGAGCUUCAGAUGCAACUCAAAUAGAAACUUAAGAUUUAUUAUAGUGGGCGCUUAAGAUGCAUGCUAAAUAGAGACAUGCUCCAGUCUUCACAUACAUACGCACAAAAGCUUCAUCGAGGCAGAUGUGCACACACAACAACGCAUGUAAUAACCAAAGUCUGAACGUUGCGUUUACUUCCUUUGACUUCACUUGACUUUGAUGUUUUUGUUUCCUCUGACAUUUUCGUUUCCUCUGAUGUCUUAAUUUCCUCUGACAUCUUUACUUUUGAUAUCUUCCUCUGACAUCGUUUCUUUCGUUUCCUGAUUCUAUUUACUACACACUCAAUGAAAUCAUUAGUGCAAUAAAUUAUUAUCACAAAGUAUAUUUGUUAUCAUCAAAACAUGACGAAGGAAUUGUUCCUAGAAUCAACAUGGUUCCAACAUUUAGUCUUUAUAAAAUUUCAACAUAUCAAAUUUAGUCCUUGUAAAAUAAAAAUACACUUUUUAUUCCCUACAAAAUUAUCAUUUAUGCAGUUUUAGUCUCUACUAUUAACACAUAUUUUUGAAAGAAUUUUUCCAUGCAUGUUCACAACAUCAUAAAAAGUACCUCCAUAAAAAAUGAGCUAAAAAUUCGAUUUGUAGGUCCAUAUUUUGUCCUUUUUAUCUGCAGCUUUUUCACAUUUAAAAAAUUUAUAUUUUAUUCAACCUAAGUUAAAAAAUUCUAAAUAUUUGAAUCUUUUAUAAUGUUCUAAACCUUCUAGAAAAAGAUCAUUCAAAAUUUCUAUGUUGAAGGACAAUUAAACACAUUUUAUUUCAACAGUAACUAGAAUAGUUUGUUGGAUAGUUUUGUAAAAACUAAAAAUUAUAUUUUUAUUUUAUAGGAACUAAAAUUAGAAUGUUAAAAUUUUAUAGAGACUAAAAAUAUACUUAUUUCUAUAUUUUAUCUUCUAACUUAAUCUACUCACUCAUGAAACAUAGAUCAUCGAUAACUAUUAUAUUGUUUUUUUAUUAUCAAAACAUUAAUCAAAGUACGGUAAUUUUGAAGAAAUCCGGUUCUUACGGUUCUCAUCUAAUUGAAAUCUCAUAGCACGUUCAUGUGAUAAUAACACAAGAAUUAUUCUGGAUAUGUAUCAUCUCACUCAUGAUCAAAAGGUAAAAUUACAAUAUACAAAGAUUAAAAGAUAAUAUAGUUCUCUUAUAUGAGAAAGAGAAACAUCUUAAAAGCACAACAAACCUAUAACAAACUCUAACUAAUUAACUAACUAGAAACAACUGAAAACAUAAAAUAAGCUUAAGUAGGUAGUCUAAUAUAUGUGUUUAUUUGAAUGACUAGCCUCCUUCUUCAUAUGAUUAAAAAACACCUUUACCAUUUGCUAAUAAUAUUUUCCGUUGUUUAUUUCAAACGUAUCUUUUGAAUAUAAUUAACUUAUUUCUUUGUUGAACUCUAAAUUUGUAAGACAAAAAAAAAGAAUUUUUGCAUCUUGAAAGAUGAAUGCACGUUAUUUAAGGUGUAAUAAAUCAUGCGUUUUCUAAACACAUUAAAAUCAUGUUUGGAUUGCAUUAUUGUAUGAUUACAUUGUGGUUUUUCUAUUUAUUUAUUUUAUUUUAUUUUAUUUUAUUUUAUUUUAUUAUAUUAUCAAAGUUUUACUAUUAUCUAAAUGCAUACUAAGUAUGUGUUUGGUAGCAAUGAAAAGUAUGAGAAGAGAAAUGACAUCAUGAAACCCACAACAAUAUAUCAUGCACCAAACACCGUCUUUAUCAUCACCACCACAUCUAUAUAAAUAUACAGAUAUACUGACUCAAUACUACGUUCCUUUAGUGUCAACAAUACCAACUAUCGUUAAUCCGACAUAGAGUGAAAUUUUCUAUAAUUUGUUUAGUAUUCAUUGCACAACUCCUGAGUCGGCUUAUGCUGUUUUUGAUUCCAUGUAUAACGUUGAAACUCAAAACUAUACGAAAACAGGUGGUAGUGGUUCUAAUCCACAGACAGAUUAUAACGAGAAUAAUGAUCAAAUUGAGAAUCAACCACAACAAUCUCAAACCGUACAAAGGACUAGACGAGUUCGACGACCGCAUAUAUGUGGAUCUGGAGGCCAUUUAGAUGGAAAUAAUUAAUUUAAUUUUGAUGUAUUUUUUUUCUUCAAUUUGUGGUAUUUUUUCUUUAAUUUAAUGUAUUUUUUCUUUUAAUUUAAUAUAUUUUUAUUUUAUUUUAUUUUAUUAAUAUAAUUUUAUUUUUAUUAUUAAAAUUAUUAUUCUUAUUAUUAAAAUUAAUAAUAUUAUUAAAGUUAUUAUUAUUAUUAUUAUUACUAUUAUUAUUUAUUAAUAGUAUUUUGAAUUUUUAAAUAUUUUAAUCAUUUAUAAUUUAUUAAAUAAUAAUUAACGGUAUUAAUAAAAUGGAAAAAAAAUAUAUACCAGAUCUAUUAAGGAUAAAAAAAAUUUAUUUCACAUCGUCGAAUCUUCAGAUUUGCGAUCAACAACUGAGCUUAAAAAGUAGGACAUUUCUAUAUUAUCUUUUGACAUACAUUUUGAUCAAAGAAAAAAAGAGAAUAUUAAAAAAAAAGUCUUAGUUUGAAUAUGUAUUCAUAUAAAAUUUUGAGUCAUUAACUACACAGAUUGCUAUUAAAAUCAUAAUAUGUUAAAUGAAGAUAAAAUAUAAUUUAAGCAAAAUUAGUUAUUUCAUAAUAUAAUAGUAAAAAAAAUUAAUUAAUUUUGAAACAUAAAUUCAAUAAUAAUAUAGUAUAUUAUUGUCUUUCUUUUACCAUAAAAAACAUACUUUCUUUUUCCAUCAAAGAUGCAGUUAAUAAAAUUAACUAAAAAAAAACUAUGAUCUCAAUUAUAAGAGAGAAAAUCAAAACACAUCAAAAUUAAUCAACUAAUUUAUUAUUUUAACUUUUUGAGUGAUUUUCAAUAUAUAUACCUUUACGACUCAUUGAAUAUGUCUAUUAAUAUUGAAAAGAUAAAUAUCAUAAAUAAAGAUAAAAAGUACUAACUUAAACAAUAGAAAUACAUUAAAAUUUGAAUCUUUUCAUUAUACAUAAUAUAAUCUUUUUUAUUUAUUUAAAAAUAUUAUAAAUAAGAUGAGAUAUUACAUUUUUUUUAUCAAUUCGACUCUCUCCUCUUGUGUAGAAUUGAAUUGACACAAGUUUGGACAUGGGUGUUACAACAACAAUGAAGAUUUCACUAUUUUUGAGUGUCUUUGCAGUUUCAAUAUUGGGAAUAUAUUCAGAAGUUAACUUUCCAGCACCAUGCAAGCAAUUUGAGUGUCCGGUAUAUGACGUCAUCGAAGAUGGAAAAGACUAUCAAAUCCGACGCUACAAUUCAUCUGUUUGGGUUUCCACUCCUCCCAUUCAACAAAUUUCUAUUGUUACAGCUACAACAACUGGUUUCACGAGGUAACUUUUUAAAUCGUAAAUUAUAUAAUCAUUUUCUACUUAAGUAAUCGAAUUAUUAUACUCUCUCAAUAUUUUGUGUUUGUUUUUUACAAUGUUGUGUUUUUUUUAGUAAAAGACUUCAAAUAUAUGAUUGUUUUGUCGGUAAGUAUGUGUUUUUUAUUUUAGUUCGUAAGUUUUUAUUUAUUUAUUUAUAGAUUUUUGUCUUUUUAAAUAAUUUUUUAUUUAAUCUUUAUUAUAUUGUUUUAGUAUUAAAACAAAAGAACAUUGACAGAAAAUAUACAAAAGAGGCAAAAAGUAAACAAAGUAUAUUUAUAAGGACAAAAAAGAUUAAAAAAAUAUGUGAUUAUAUUGAUGGAUCGUAUAUUUCAUUAUUUUUAAAUAUUUUUUUUUUGUUUUACAAAAUUUUGCAGUGAGUAAUUCGAUUAGUAUAUUCGAAAGAAAUUAUUUUUUGGUAUGUUAUUUGAAAGAUUUUAUAUAUCUAUAAAUAUACAAUAUAAAAUUAUGAAGCGUGUGUUUAGAUUCUUAGUCAGGAAUAUUAAAUUAGACCUGCUUUAAAUUAUUGGAUUGUACGAGUAAAUUUAAUAAUUAGAGUUUGACUUUAUAUCAUUAGGAGAUGAAGGUCAAAUGUCUCUUAUGUGAUGGUUAUAAAAUGAUCAUGAAUGUCAUUGUAAUAAAUAAAAAAAUUCUCAUUCACCAAUAAUAACGUCUCACAUUUAAAAACUAAAAUGGAAGUUUCAUCCUAACUAAACUUGAGCUAUCUUUUACUUUUUUUCUCAGCCUAUUUAAUUAUAAAAAAGGUAAUAACGACUACAAGCAGAAAAUAGAGAUGACAGCACCAGUGCUCUCGGAAGUGUUACCUAGUGAUGGUCCCUUUAUUAAAUCUUCAUUUAUUGUAAGCUUUAAUAUACCUAAAAAGAACCAAGCAAAUCCACCACCUGCAAAGGGUCUUCAAGUUCAAAAAUGGAAAAAUGUGUAUGCAGCAGUUAGACAAUUUGGUGGAUAUGUGAAUGACAAAAAUGUUGUAGAACAAGCUGCAGCAUUGAAGGAUAGUAUCAAUGAUACUAAAUGGCUAUCUGCUAUUCAAAAAAGCCAUAAAGCUUCUAAUUUCUCUGUGGCACAGUACAAUAACCCUUUUCAAUUAUUUAAUAGAGUGAAUGAGAUAUGGAUCUUGUUUAAUUUGGAAAAUUAAUGAUAUGUCAAAUAUAAUAGACACUAAAAUCAUUAUGAAAUAAUAUGGCUGUCGAAAUAAGAUGGAUUCUUGUAGUUUUUGCUUUGCACCGAUUCUUUACUUGUAUGUUGGUGUUGGAGGAAGGGUUGUGCAUGAUUGGUUUUAAAAAAAAAAUAUAAACUAUAUCUAUUUUAAAACCAUUAUAUGAAUUUAAAUUAAUAACCAAAUCCAUUAUUUGGAUUAAAAUCGGUUAUCAAACCAAUUGUAAAAUUGGUUAUGGUUAAAUAACCGGUUUCGAAUUAAACAAUCGAUUUUGAAAAAUUCAAUUUUAAAAUCCAUUUUUUCUCAAAAGCGGAUAAAAUUUGAUUAUUUUUUAAUAUUAAUUUUUUUAAAAAUCAUUUAUUCAUAGUUUAGAAACCACUUAUUUAAAAAAAAAUCGAUUAUUCAUAUUUAAAAAUCGACUAUAUUUACAAAAUGAAAGCUCAAUAAAAAACAUACAUGAAUCAUACAAUUGCUUUCUCUUGUGAUUAAAAUUGAACAUGUUCAAUUGCUUAUAAUAAUUUGUGAUUAAAAUUGAUUUAUUACUAACUUCAUUAAGACCACCGAUUCUGAUUCGUACUAGUUCAAUAAAUUGCUUAUUACUAAAACCGUAUAAAAUACAAAUACUUGAAAGUUUAUUCAAUCAAAUUUAACAAUUACUGCACCAUAAUAAAACCGUAGAAAAUACAAAUACUUGAAAUUUUGUUUCCAACACCGAGAUGGACACCAUCACCACAAGAUUUAGUAAAUUUAAAAUAUCUAAUGGAUUUAAUAUAUUAAUUUUUGUCUUGAGCAUUUAUAAUUAAGAUAUGUCUGAGCAACACCAAAAUCUCAAUAUCAUUUUCAACCUAACAUAUUAAUAUAACAUUUUGAAAAAAUUCAUCCUUUAAAAAGUAAUUUAAGAAAUUUUACUUAAAAUAUUUAUUCUAUCAAAUUUUAGUCUUCUGGCCUCAAUAAAUAUUAAAUAUCUUAAUUCAUUAACUAGUUAUCAUAUGUAACACCCCGAUUUUCAAAGCGAGGGUGUAUUUUUUUUUUCAAAAGAGAUUAAAAUAACACAGAGAAAAACAAUUAAGGAAAUACCUUUGGAUAAAUAAUUGAGUCAUUAUAAUUUACAAGCAGCGGAAAAGUUUCUCAAAAUAUGAAUCCAAAAUAUUUACACAUCAAAAGUUGGUACAUGUAACCCAUCGAAAAUAACAUGUCAAGCUGACAAUAUUAGUAUAGGUACAGUUUUCCAUUUUAAAACAAAUACAAAUCAAAAGAAAGACGUAUGAUCCCUCUAUGUCAACCUAAUCUGAUCAUUCUCCAAAACAAACUAAACACUCUGGGUGAUCUCCACGCGCCCCGUAAGAUCCUCCUAACAUAGCUCCAGUCAGGCAUUCCCCUCUACAUUCCCAUCCACAGGGUACGAACCGGUAGGAUCGCCCUGGCUCUCAUCUGAGGGCAAAGCCCAGAUUUCCACAAUAGUUGUAAAGGGUCACCAACCGAAAUUAACAGUUAACACAUAACAUUUAAGUUUUUAAAUGCACAAAAUAACCUUUCAACUAAGCAUGCACCUUAAAAGGAUUUUCAUACGCUUAAAAGUUCAUAUAACACUUGCCAAAUAAAAAUGAAGUCAAGAUAAAGUUCUCAAUCAAUCAAGUAAUACAUAACUGACCAAGACUUUGAUAAAUCAAUUGAGAAAUCUGUUAUCUAACUCAAAAUAAGAAUUUCUACUAAGCCAAUCGAUUUCCAAAUCGAUUUCCUGAAGAAUUUUAGUGAAAUUUGAACUCUGGGCUCAAUUCAAUCGAUUGGGAAAUCGAUUGAAUGAAUAACUGAGCCCCUGUNNNNNNNNNNNNNNNNNNNNNNNNNNNNNNNNNNNNNNNNNNNNNNNNNNNNNNNNNNNNNNNNNNNNNNNNNNNNNNNNNNNNNNNNNNNNNNNNNNNNNNNNNNNNNNNNNNNNNNNNNNNNNNNNNNNNNNNNNNNNNNNNNNNNNNNNNNNNNNNNNNNNNNNNNNNNNNNNNNNNNNNNNNNNNNNNNNNNNNNNNNNNNNNNNNNNNNNNNNNNNNNNNNNNNNNNNNNNNNNNNNNNNNNNNNNNNNNNNNNNNNNNNNNNNNNNNNNNNNNNNNNNNNNNNNNNNNNNNNNNNNNNNNNNNNNNNNNNNNNNNNNNNNNNNNNNNNNNNNNNNNNNNNNNNNNNNNNNNNNNNNNNNNNNNNNNNNNNNNNNNNNNNNNNNNNNNNNNNNNNNNNNNNNNNNNNNNNNNNNNNNNNNNNNNNNNNNNNNNNNNNNNNNNNNNNNNNNNNNNNNNNNNNNNNNNNNNNNNNNNNNNNNNNNNNNNNNNNNNNNNNNNNNNNNNNNNNNNNNNNNNNNNNNNNNNNNNNNNNNNNNNNNNNNNNNNNNNNNNNNNNNNNNNNNNNNNNNNNNNNNNNNNNNNNNNNNNNNNNNNNNNNNNNNNNNNNNNNNNNNNNNNNNNNNNNNNNNNNNNNNNNNNNNNNNNNNNNNNNNNNNNNNNNNNNNNNNNNNNNNNNNNNNNNNNNNNNNNNNNNNNNNNNNNNNNNNNNNNNNNNNNNNNNNNNNNNNNNNNNNNNNNNNNNNNNNNNNNNNNNNNNNNNNNNNNNNNNNNNNNNNNNNNNNNNNNNNNNNNNNNNNNNNNNNNNNNNNNNNNNNNNNNNNNNNNNNNNNNNNNNNNNNNNNNNNNNNNNNNNNNNNNNNNNNNNNNNNNNNNNNNNNNNNNNNNNNNNNNNNNNNNNNNNNNNNNNNNNNNNNNNNNNNNNNNNNNNNNNNNNNNNNNNNNNNNNNNNNNNNNNNNNNNNNNNNNNNNNNNNNNNNNNNNNNNNNNNNNNNNNNNNNNNNNNNNNNNNNNNNNNNNNNNNNNNNNNNNNNNNNNNNNNNNNNNNNNNNNNNNNNNNNNNNNNNNNNNNNNNNNNNNNNNNNNNNNNNNNNNNNNNNNNNNNNNNNNNNNNNNNNNNNNNNNNNNNNNNNNNNNNNNNNNNNNNNNNNNNNNNNNNNNNNNNNNNNNNNNNNNNNNNNNNNNNNNNNNNNNNNNNNNNNNNNNNNNNNNNNNNNNNNNNNNNNNNNNNNNNNNNNNNNNNNNNNNNNNNNNNNNNNNNNNNNNNNNNNNNNNNNNNNNNNNNNNNNNNNNNNNNNNNNNNNNNNNNNNNNNNNNNNNNNNNNNNNNNNNNNNNNNNNNNNNNNNNNNNNNNNNNNNNNNNNNNNNNNNNNNNNNNNNNNNNNNNNNNNNNNNNNNNNNNNNNNNNNNNNNNNNNNNNNNNNNNNNNNNNNNNNNNNNNNNNNNNNNNNNNNNNNNNNNNNNNNNNNNNNNNNNNNNNNNNNNNNNNNNNNNNNNNNNNNNNNNNNNNNNNNNNNNNNNNNNNNNNNNNNNNNNNNNNNNNNNNNNNNNNNNNNNNNNNNNNNNNNNNNNNNNNNNNNNNNNNNNNNNNNNNNNNNNNNNNNNNNNNNNNNNNNNNNNNNNNNNNNNNNNNNNNNNNNNNNNNNNNNNNNNNNNNNNNNNNNNNNNNNNNNNNNNNNNNNNNNNNNNNNNNNNNNNNNNNNNNNNNNNNNNNNNNNNNNNNNNNNNNNNNNNNNNNNNNNNNNNNNNNNNNNNNNNNNNNNNNNNNNNNNNNNNNNNNNNNNNNNNNNNNNNNNNNNNNNNNNNNNNNNNNNNNNNNNNNNNNNNNNNNNNNNNNNNNNNNNNNNNNNNNNNNNNNNNNNNNNNNNNNNNNNNNNNNNNNNNNNNNNNNNNNNNNNNNNNNNNNNNNNNNNNNNNNNNNNNNNNNNNNNNNNNNNNNNNNNNNNNNNNNNNNNNNNNNNNNNNNNNNNNNNNNNNNNNNNNNNNNNNNNNNNNNNNNNNNNNNNNNNNNNNNNNNNNNNNNNNNNNNNNNNNNNNNNNNNNNNNNNNNNNNNNNNNNNNNNNNNNNNNNNNNNNNNNNNNNNNNNNNNNNNNNNNNNNUGAGAUUGUGACCAAAUCGACUCCGUGGUUUUAUACAUCGACUCUGAAGUUUGGCAAAUCGAUUGAGUAAUCGAUUGAAAUUAGUUUUAUUAAAACAGUUUCCCAGAAAUCGAUUAGGCAAUCGAUUUAUACAGGUCUGGACAUGUUUUACUGAAAAGUGUUGUUUUAAAGAAUCGAUUGGUAAAUCGAUUAGCUUGUAUAGUUUCAAGAUUAAAGAAAACCAAGAUCGCGAUAAUCGAUUGGCAAAUCGAUUUAGCUCAUUUUAUAACUUUACAAAAUCGAUUGGGAAAUCGAUUUCGUAGUUGGUUUUUCAGAAACUAUAUAAGAUGUCUUUCAAUCUUUAUUCUCAUAACUUCUAAGAACUUUUACAUAACUUUUUCAUAGCUUUCAUAAUUUCUCUUAUGCUCUCAAAAACGGUUCAUGGCAACAAACUAACAACUUCAUAAUUGUGAUUACAGAUCUCAAUACAGUUUGUUGACAAUCUAAGAGAAAUGAUAAUGUGCUCAUGAACAAUCCUUGAAUAUCCAGAUUUGUGAGGAGCAACAUUCAUAAAGAUUGAAGACUCUUUUGUUUUACAUCUUUUAUUCAUUCUGUAAUAAAUCUUUGAAAGGAAUAGGACGCAAGAAAAGCCAGCUUGAAACUGGUGGCUACUUUCUUGGUUGAGAGGGCUCAACAAGAAAGAGUCGUACUUUGAUUCUGUGAUAGGCUGCUGAGUGUCUACAAGGAUCAGAGGGUAUUCAAUAGGAAAGAUAUAAUUAGAGAUUGAUAGGUUUCAGGGAGGAAACUGGACAAUCUGUAAUUGAUUCUUUCUAUUGAAGGAGAAGAAAAUCUGAAAUCCGAUUGGAUUUUCAGGACUGGACGUAGGUUGUUGUUGACAACCGAACCAGGAUAAAUCUCUGUGUUUUCUUCUCUAACUCUCUCUCUUUAAUUUUCUAUAUUGCUAACUUUGCAUGCCUCAAAAUUUAAAUUCCGCUGUGCGCUUGAUACUGAUUAAUUUGGUAACGAAAACUGAUAUAUUUUCUGUUAUUUCGAGGUCAAGAUACCAACAGUUUAUCUCUAAUGGUUUUCAAAUUCCACACAAAACAACUAAAACUUAUUAUCAGAUCCAAUCCACAACUCAUACCAAAACACAUAGAUUCAUUCUCCACAGAAUCCAACCCUACACACAACAAAUUUCAUCAGUAUUAAUUAAGAAAACGUCAAAUACGACGAACACAAAUCAACACAAUCCACCACUCAAACACAACAAGUUUCAUUUACUCAAAAUCAUACAUAAAUGAGUUUAAAUUCAUUUUCCACGAAACAUUCAUCAAUAUAACCAAAACCUAACUCUAAGAUUUUACCCAUAAAGCCUUAGAUUCAUUUUCCCCCAAAUCAACACUCUAACCCUAACCAAAAACCUUUCCACACAACCACAGAUAAGUCCCUAAAUGCAAACUAAAAGUUUGGAAGGAGCCCUUACCUUCACGUUAGCUUUAACGUUCGGUUACGGUACCGCGAGUAAAUCCGGUAAAAUCUCCGCUCGCAACGUCGCUUCCAAAGUUGGUUCCCUAGCACCGUAGCGUGGUAGUGAGCAACUUUCCCUUCUAUCUCUUCGCGAAACGAAGCUUAGAUCUAGAUGAAACGGGGAGGUUUGUGUUUGACGGUUUUGAAAUCCCUAAUACCGUUUUUCUUCGUUUUCGAAACAACGAGGAAGUAUGAAGCUGAGAAGUCCUUGAUUUCUUACCCACUAAUCCUUGGAUUUCUAUUUUUGAAGUCAAAGAAAGAAAAAAGAAGCAAAACCAAUGAAAGAAGAAAAGAGGAGAUGGAGGUGUUCGCGCGGUCAGAGGAAGAAGAAUGAGUUUAGAUUUCUUUCUUUCCUUCCCUUUUCCUUUCUUUCUUUUUCCUUCCUUUCUAUUUCCUUUCUUUCUAUUUCCUUCCUUCCUUUUUAUAUCCUUUUCUUUUCUCUCCAAACAAAUAUAUACAUAUAGAUAUAUAUUUUAAUUACUUUUAACAAAUAUCUCAACAUAUCUAGAUAUUUGUUAAAUUACCAUUUCACCCAUAACGCAUUAAAUUAUUUGUAAAAGAUUCACCGCAGCUAAUUUAAUUUAUUCAUCGAUGAGUAAUUCUAAUCGGCAUCAAAAUAUCUUUUUGAUCAUAUAAACUCCAAAAUAUUAAUAACUUUGACUAAAAAAAAACCUCCGAGCCGAGCCAAUAUCCAAAUUACACAAAAAUACAUAAAGUAUACUUUAAAAUUAUGGGUCUUACAUCAUACAAUAUGAUUGAUUAGUAAUAGUAUUGGCCCCAAUCCACAUGUUAGAGGAGUCAAAUAUUUCAUAAUUAAAAAGCCCCCCUAAAAAGGAAGCUCGCGACACUAAAAAAACCCUUAAAGUUUUGUGGGCUAAGUGGACUUUUUAAAAAUAAAAAAAUCGAUACUUUUUCAAAAAAAUUUUGACAUUUUUUUAGUUUUUUAAUUCGAGAAAAAAAUCGAUUUAAAUUUUUUUUGAGAAAAAAAAAAGUUUAAUGAUUUUUUUCGAGAUCUUUUUUCAAAAUUAACAAAAUAUUGGAGAGCUAUGAGUUCCCUCCCUUAAUAUUAAGGGAUUAGUAAAAGAAAAAUUAAAGGAUGCUUUGGUGUUUGGGUUUUUUGUUGUUGUUGACAAUUCUAGUAAUAAACAAUUGAUUAAAUGAAAUUAGUAAUAUAUCAAUGAAGUUAAUAAUAUAUUAUUGGAAAACGCAAAAGUUGGAAGGUCGGUUGGGUGAUGGCAAAAUUAGAAUCAUUUUAGAGUUUUGGGAAUUUAGGAUUUUUAGUAGUUGAGUGGAUAAAAACCAAAUCCAAAUAUAAAACAUAAGUGGAUAUUUGUAACACCCUUUUUUUUAAUUAAUUAAUUUAAAAUCAUUAGUUUUGUUUAUCCUUGUAUUAAUUUAGUGUGACGAUAGUAAGAUAAUUAUUCUUUGAAUGUUUAAUUAUUUGAUAAAGUAUUUUCAUAUUAAAUAAUUUAUUAUUUGGAUUUUUAUUAUUGACUAAUUAAAACUCGUAGAAAUAUUUGUCUUAGAGUGAACAAUGACCAAGCCAAUUUUGACUAAGUCAAAAUUUAAUCACUCACACUACUAUUUUUAUAACUAUAUUUUAUAAAAUUUAGUUUAUAUUGUGUCCAUUCAAAUGAGUAACUAGCAAGAAUAAAUACAUGAAUGCCAAUUAAUUCUUAACGGUUGGUCAUUGAAUGGCAUUAUUCCAAUUUAAUUCCCUAUUCAUGUGUGCAAUUAAACUCAAUGAAGAUAAUUAUUCAUUCUCUCUGAUAAGCUUUAUGCCUCCUUUAUUAGUCACAUACGCCUCUCCUUCUUAGGACACAAUUAAACUUACAGUAGAGGAAAAUAAGUCAUAAUCACUCACACGCAUUACCAACACCACAUUUAUCUAAAAUAUUUUCUAAGCCACUCAAACAACCAUCCUUACAUUCCCUAGCUUUUUGAUCGAAGCUAUAGACUUUUAUUCAUCUUGGUGAGAUUUUCGAGGGCUAUAUAGUGGUACGGGGAAGGAAAGCGUCCAAGGUAAGGGCUUUUUCCCCAUGCAGAUUUAGGUUAGAUAUUAAAUUAGCAAUUCGUAAGAUAUUGAUAUGAUGUCUGGAUGUAUUAAAAGAAAAAUGUCGAUUUUAUUUUCGUCGUAAAGAAAUUAACUAUCAUGCUUUGAUGGUUUCUUUUGAGUAAUAUCUCUAUUUUGAUGAAUUAAUUAUAUAAUUAUAUUUUAUUACCAUACCUUCAUCUAUAUGUUUGUUGUGAAAACGUUCAAUGCCAUACAUGUUUUAGAGUACUUAAUUAUAAAGUUAUAAUUUUUAUAAUGAUGUAGUCAUUAACAUGUUUAUUACGAUGUAUUUAAUUUUAAUCCUUGAUUCUUGAGUAUUUAAAUUUUAAAACUUGACUUUUAUGAACAAUAUAUGUGUCUUGAUGAAAUUGAUGAGAAUUUUAUUUUUCAUUUAACAAUAUGAGGAAAUUGAUUUUUGGAAUGCAUUAAUGAAUAGUUUUCUGUGUGGUUGCCUAAGUGGCUGGUUAUUUGUGUAUGAUUUUUCUUUGUGGUUGCCUAAGUGGCUAGUGAUUUGUACAUUUCGAACAUCAUUAUCAUUGUCAUGACAUACCAUAUGCAUCUUUGUGGACGCCUUAGUGGCUGGUUUAAUUUUUCCCCAUUGGUAUGGGUGACUUCUAUGUGGACGCCUUAUGGCUGGCUAUAUUUUGCUACUGACUUGCUGUGUAGUCGAAUACAGACUGUUGUAUUCGAAUACAGACAUGCUGUUUUUGCCACUGACUUACUGUGUAGUCGAAUACAGACUGCUGUAUUCGAAUACAUUUUGCUACUGACUUGCUGUGUAGUCGAAUACAGACUGUUGUAUUCGAAUACAGACAUGCUGUUUUUGCCACUGACUUACUGUGUAGUCGAAUACAGACUGCUGUAUUCGAAUACAUUUUGCUACUGACUUGCUGUGUAGUCGAAUACAGACUGUUGUAUUCGAAUACAGACAUGCUGUUUUUGCCACUGACUUACUGUGUAGUCGAAUACAGACUGCUGUAUUCGAAUACAUUUUGCUACUGACUUGCUGUGUAGUCGAAUACAGACUGUUGUAUUCGAAUACAGACAUGCUGUUUUUGCCACUGACUUACUGUGUAGUCGAAUACAGACUGCUGUAUUCGAAUACAUUUUGCUACUGACUUGCUGUGUAGUCGAAUACAGACUGUUGUAUUCGAAUACAGACAUGCUGUUUUUGCCACUGACUUACUGUGUAGUCGAAUACAGACUGCUGUAUUCGAAUACAUUUUGCUACUGACUUGCUGUGUAGUCGAAUACAGACUGUUGUAUUCGAAUACAGACAUGCUGUUUUUGCCACUGACUUACUGUGUAGUCGAAUACAGACUGCUGUAUUCGAAUACAUUUUGCUACUGACUUGCUGUGUAGUCGAAUACAGACUGUUGUAUUCGAAUACAGACAUGCUGUUUUUGCCACUGACUUACUGUGUAGUCGAAUACAGACUGCUGUAUUCGAAUACAUUUUGCUACUGACUUGCUGUGUAGUCGAAUACAGACUGUUGUAUUCGAAUACAGACAUGCUGUUUUUGCCACUGACUUACUGUGUAGUCGAAUACAGACUGCUGUAUUCGAAUACAUUUUGCUACUGACUUGCUGUGUAGUCGAAUACAGACUGUUGUAUUCGAAUACAGACAUGCUGUUUUUGCCACUGACUUACUGUGUAGUCGAAUACAGACUGCUGUAUUCGAAUACAUUUUGCUACUGACUUGCUGUGUAGUCGAAUACAGACUGUUGUAUUCGAAUACAGACAUGCUGUUUUUGCCACUGACUUACUGUGUAGUCGAAUACAGACUGCUGUAUUCGAAUACAUUUUGCUACUGACUUGCUGUGUAGUCGAAUACAGACUGUUGUAUUCGAAUACAGACAUGCUGUUUUUGCCACUGACUUACUGUGUAGUCGAAUACAGACUGCUGUAUUCGAAUACAUUUUGCUACUGACUUGCUGUGUAGUCGAAUACAGACUGUUGUAUUCGAAUACAGACAUGCUGUUUUUGCCACUGACUUACUGUGUAGUCGAAUACAGACUGCUGUAUUCGAAUACAUUUUGCUACUGACUUGCUGUGUAGUCGAAUACAGACUGUUGUAUUCGAAUACAGACAUGCUGUUUUUGCCACUGACUUACUGUGUAGUCGAAUACAGACUGCUGUAUUCGAAUACAUUUUGCUACUGACUUGCUGUGUAGUCGAAUACAGACUGUUGUAUUCGAAUACAGACAUGCUGUUUUUGCCACUGACUUACUGUGUAGUCGAAUACAGACUGCUGUAUUCGAAUACAUUUUGCUACUGACUUGCUGUGUAGUCGAAUACAGACUGUUGUAUUCGAAUACAGACAUGCUGUUUUUGCCACUGACUUACUGUGUAGUCGAAUACAGACUGCUGUAUUCGAAUACAUUUUGCUACUGACUUGCUGUGUAGUCGAAUACAGACUGUUGUAUUCGAAUACAGACAUGCUGUUUUUGCCACUGACUUACUGUGUAGUCGAAUACAGACUGCUGUAUUCGAAUACAUUUUGCUACUGACUUGCUGUGUAGUCGAAUACAGACUGUUGUAUUCGAAUACAGACAUGCUGUUUUUGCCACUGACUUACUGUGUAGUCGAAUACAGACUGCUGUAUUCGAAUACAUUUUGCUACUGACUUGCUGUGUAGUCGAAUACAGACUGUUGUAUUCGAAUACAGACAUGCUGUUUUUGCCACUGACUUACUGUGUAGUCGAAUACAGACUGCUGUAUUCGAAUACAUUUUGCUACUGACUUGCUGUGUAGUCGAAUACAGACUGUUGUAUUCGAAUACAGACAUGCUGUUUUUGCCACUGACUUACUGUGUAGUCGAAUACAGACUGCUGUAUUCGAAUACAUUUUGCUACUGACUUGCUGUGUAGUCGAAUACAGACUGUUGUAUUCGAAUACAGACAUGCUGUUUUUGCCACUGACUUACUGUGUAGUCGAAUACAGACUGCUGUAUUCGAAUACAUUUUGCUACUGACUUGCUGUGUAGUCGAAUACAGACUGUUGUAUUCGAAUACAGACAUGCUGUUUUUGCCACUGACUUACUGUGUAGUCGAAUACAGACUGCUGUAUUCGAAUACAUUUUGCUACUGACUUGCUGUGUAGUCGAAUACAGACUGUUGUAUUCGAAUACAGACAUGCUGUUUUUGCCACUGACUUACUGUGUAGUCGAAUACAGACUGCUGUAUUCGAAUACAUUUUGCUACUGACUUGCUGUGUAGUCGAAUACAGACUGUUGUAUUCGAAUACAGACAUGCUGUUUUUGCCACUGACUUACUGUGUAGUCGAAUACAGACUGCUGUAUUCGAAUACAUUUUGCUACUGACUUGCUGUGUAGUCGAAUACAGACUGUUGUAUUCGAAUACAGACAUGCUGUUUUUUUUGCUGAAUGCUGAAACAGCCUUGUAUUCGAAUACAGAGAUGCUGUAUUCGAAUACAACAAUGUUGUUUUGUUAAAAACUUCAUUUCUCAACCUUGUUUAUGCAUGUUUGGCAUAUGGAAACCCUUUUAAGGUGCAUGCUUAGUUGAAAAGUUAUUUUGGGCAUUUAAAAACUUAAUUGUUAUGUGUUAACUGUUAUUUUUUUUGGUUGGUGACCCUUUACAAUUAUUGUGGAAAUCUGGGCUUUGCCCUCAGAUGAGAGUCAGGACGGUCCUACCGGUUCGUACCCUACGGACGGGAAUGGAGAUGGGAACGCUUGACUGUAGUUACGUUAGGAGGAUCUCACGGGGCGCGUGGAGAUCACUCAGGGUGUAUAGCUUUUUGGUAGGAUGAUCAGAUUAGGAUGAUGUAUAGGGACUAGGUGUCCUUCUUUUUGGAUUGGAGUAUUUUUAGUUUGGAAAACUGUACUUAUACUAAUAUUGUCAGUUUGACAUCUUCUUUGAAUGGGUUCCAUGUACCAUUUAAUGUUGUGUAAAUGUUUUGGAUUUAUAAUUGGAGAAACUUUUUUCGCUGCUUGUAAAUUAUAAUGAAUCAAUUAUUUAUCCAAAGGCAUUUCCUGAUUUAAUUCUUUGUUCGUUUUUAAUUACUUUAAAAAAAAAAAAUAUACCCUCGCUUUGAAAAACGGGGUGUUACAUUACGAGUUAUAAAAAUCAAUUUCUCAAAAUCUUUUAUUACAAAAAGAUUUUAUAUUUAUAUUUUAUGGUUGUUAACUUAUUAUUUGGUCUAAUUUUGCCGUGGGAUGAAUUGACCCCUUACACCAACAUUUAGGUACUAACGAUAUUGAAGGGUUGCAUGAAUGACGUUUGCUUGGCGCGCACGCGUGGGAAAAAUGGGUACUUUAAUAAAAUAAUAAUAAUAAUGUUUGUAGUGAUAAAACCGUUGUGAUACAAUUUUUAAGUUUAUUUAUUUUUCAUCGUUGAUUUUUAAUAGAAAUGCGGAGGCGAGGUCCUUCUGCUAGGAAAAACUUGAAUUAUUCUAUUUUUAAGCGAACAUUUUCUACAAUUAGUAAAUUGUCUUUACAAAUAAUAAUAUCCGAUAAAUCGCAUUAUGAUAUUUUUUAAAAUAAAAUCAAACUAUUUACUAGAGAAAUUUUAUUUAUUAUAUGAUGAACUACUUAAAAAAAAAAAAUAAGUCGUUUUUGAAAGAAAAUAAAUAUUUUUAAGUAAUGUCUGGGAUCAAAAUCCGGGGCGUUACAUUGUAAUAUCAGAGCACUAUUUCUCGGACCUUGGUGGGAUGGGAGGCUUGGUGUAUGUUGCAUGUUUUUUUCUUGUGAUAUGUUAUUCAUGUCAAUUGUAUAAUUUCUAAUUAUUUGAGUUUACUAAUUAUUUAAAUGUCUAUUAUGUGUCAUUAACUAUGUAACCUUCUUGAAAUUGAAUUUUAUUAAUUACUUAAACUUUUAUUAAGUUAUUAAUCGUGUAACUUUCUUGAAUUUGAAUUUUUAAGAAUUACUUAAAUUCUUAUUAAGUGCCAUUAAAUAUGUUAACUGAUUGAUUUUCUAAUUAUUAAAUUUUACUUAAAUUUCUAUUAUGUGUCAUCAAUUGUAUAACCUCCAUGAUUUUUGUCAUUAAAUAUAUGUUUUAAAUAUUUGGUUUAAUACUGUUAUUUAAAAUUUUCAAACCUGAAAUCUCUAUAACUACUUGAAUGCUUUUAUUGGCAUUGUCUUUUAUAUUUUAUUUAAGUUGUUACAUUUUAUAAUCUUUAUGAUUUUUACUUAUUCAUCGUAUGAUUGUUUUAUUUUAUUAAUUUUAAACUCUCUACUUCUUUUGUACUAAGGGCUUGAUUUUCUAACUAUUUUAUGUCAUUAAUGACUUAAAUUUCAAUUAUGUGAAUUUAAUUGUCUAAUUUCUUUGAAUAAUUAUGAUGAAAAAUAUGUUUUAAAUUCUUGAUCCUACGAUUAGAAAUAAUUUUAAUCAAGCAAUAAACAUUUAUGGUUGUAUGAUAUUGUGAAUUAUGAGUUUAUUACCACGAUUUAAAAUUAUUUCAAUCUAAAUUACAAAGUAACUGUUGAGCUUUCAUCAUGUGAUCUAAAUGUAUUUAAUUAAAGACAAUAUUCUAAACCCUAUAUUAUGUAUAGUUGUAUGAUCCCCAAAAUAGAAGGGAAGGAUAAUACAAAAAGGUUGUAUUGGAGGGAUUCUGGCUAAGGAAAGACUUGGUUAUUAAGUGGUCCAUUGACCCACCUCUCUUUCCUGGGAACCCCUCCAAAGAACGACUUGCUGUAUAACCCGAACCUACUAUAUAGUGCUCAAUAAAAGACUUCCGUACUACCCAAAAGUUAAAAUUACGUUAUAAUAUUUUACUAAUUAGAUAAUUUUAGGAAGCGUUAUGGCUCGUCGCACAAACCGAUCGGUUCCCCAAGGAAGAAACGACAUGACUGAAGCAAUCCAAGCCAUGAAUGCUAUGGCCGCAGCAAUGGCCCAACAAGCUGCGAUCCAGGCUCAACGAGAUGCACAGAGGGAUCAGAGGGAUGAAGCAGCCAGUGCAGCAAGAGCAUUGAAUGAAUUUCGUCGACAAGAUCCGCCUAAAUUCAAAGGGGAACAUGACCCCGACAAGGCUGAUCUUUGGCUGCAAGAAAUCGAGAAGAUCUUCGAGAUCUUACACUGCUCUGACAAUGCGAAAGUAGAGUAUGCAACCUAUUUGAUGAUUGGUGAAGCUGAAUACUGGUGGCGAGGUGCGAAGAAAAUGAUGGAGACAAAUCAUGAAGAGCUAACCUGGGAGGCUUUCAAGAAUAAGUUCCUAGAAAAAUACUUCCCGAAAAGUGCUAGGGCUGAGAAGGAGGCCCAAUUUCUGAAGUUGUAUCAAGGGAAUCUCACGAUAGCGGAAUAUGCGGCAAAGUUCGAGUCCCUAGCAAAGCACUUCCGCUAUUUCCUAAAUCAGAUAGAUGAAGAAUACAUGUGCGAGAGGUUUGAAAGUGGGCUUAGGUAUGAAAUUAAGGAGUUAGUGGGGCCCUUGGAGAUACGCCAAUAUCAAGUACUAGUGGAGAAAUGCAAGAAAGUGGAGCAGAUGAAACAGAGCCGUCUGAAUAGGGGUGUUGUAGGUGGACCCAUCAGACCUCAGGUAGAGAUUUAAAUCCAUCCAUAUCAUUAGAGUCAUAAGUUUGGCCUCUAAAUGUGAAUAUCUACCUCUAAAUGUUAAUAUUUGAAAACAGGGGCAUAACGACCAACAUAAUAGGGGCAAGCAGCAUCAACAAUACAAGCCAUAUGCCCGACCACUGGGGAAUGCUAGAGAUCAACCUCGACCUCAAAACGGGGAAGGUCAAGGGCCAAAAGUUCCAAGUCAGAACCAGGCGUACCCUGUUAAGUGUUUUCGCUGCAACAGAGAAGGACACAAGAUAUCUGAGUGUCCAAUCAGACCAAGGGUUUGUUACAUUUGUCAGAAACCAGACCACUUUGCAAAUGAAUGCCCUGAUCGGAAGGACGAUAGAGCUGUCAACCGCAACAAUGUCAACGACAAUGCUGUACGCCCUACUGCCAAGGGACGUGUCUACCACAUCAAUGGAGAGGAAACUCCAUCUUCCUCUGAGCUUAUCCAAGGUGAGUGUUUAAUUGCUGGAAAAUCACUUAAUGUAAUUUAUGAUUCGGGGGCAACACACUCAUUCAUUUCAUUGGAUUGGGUGGAUUCGCUCCAACUUACUAUUACUACUUUGCCGUUUGAUUUGGUGGUUACCCUACCUUCUACCGAAUCAGUGAAAUGUAAUACGGCUUGCUUGCAAUGCCCGUUGAUUGUGUUCGAUAUGAGAUUCAACGUUGAUUUGAUUUGUAUUCCCCUCAAGCAUGUGGGAGUGAUCCUUGGAAGGGAUUGGUUUUCAAGCCAUUAUGUUCUAUUGGAUUGUGCUCGUAAGUCUGUGAUAUUCCCAAACCCAGGUGUUUCUCGAUUCCUCGAUACCAAUAAAUUGAACUUCUCUUUGAAAGAGGGAGUUCGGAAGUGUGUUUCCCUCAACUCAGUCAGUACGAAGCUAGAGGUGGAGGUAGACAAGAUACUUGUGGUCGAAGAUUUUCCAGAGGUAUUUCCGCCGGAUGUACCAGGAUUGCCCCCAGUUCGUGAUAUUGAAUUCUCAAUUGAUGUGACUCCGGGUACAGGACCUAUAUCUCUUGCACCAUAUAGAAUGUCUCCAUUGGAAUUGUCAGAGUUGAAAAGUCAGUUGGAGGACCUUUUAUCUAAACAGUUCAUACGACCGAGUGUCUCACCUUGGGGAGCACAAGUACUCCUAGUGAAGAAGAAGGAUGGAAAGUCUAGACUCUGUGUCGAUUACCGUCAGCUUAACAAAGUCACCAUCAAAAACAGGUAUCCAUUGCCACGCAUUGAUGAUUUGAUGGACCAACUCAAAUAUAUCUAUUGCACCAUAUAGAAUGUCUCCAUCGGAAUUGUCAGAGUUGAAAAAUCAGUUGGAGGACCUUUUAUCUAAACAGUUCAUACGACCGAGUGUCUCACCUUGGGGAGCACCAGUACUCCUAGUGAAGAAGAAGGAUGGAAAGUCUAGACUCUGUGUCGAUUACCGUCAACUUAACAAAGUCACCAUCAAAAAUAGGUAUCCCUUGCCACGCAUUGAUGACUUGAUGGACCAACUCAAAGGAGCAAUGAUAUUUUCUAAGAUUGAUUUGAAGUCGGGGUAUCAUCAGAUUCGGGUGAAGGAAGAAGACAUUCCUAAAACUGCAUUCAGGACUCGCUAUGGACACUUUGAGUAUUUGGUGAUGCCUUUUGGUGUCACCAAUGCACCAGCUAUUUUCAUGGACUACAUGAAUCGUAUAUUUCACCCCUUCUUAGACAAAUUUGUAGUGGUCUUCAUUGAUGACAUAUUGAUUUAUUCUAAGAGCCUGGAGGAACAUGAAGUUCACCUACGUCAAGUUUUGCAAGUCUUGAAGGACAAGAGAUUGUAUGCUAAUUUGGGGAAAUGUGAAUUCUGGUUGGAGGAGGUGAAAUUCUUGGGACACGUUAUUUCAAAGGAAGGUAUCGCUGUCGACCCAACUAAAGUAGAGGCUGUGGUGGCAUGGAAACAACCACAGACCGUCACAGAGAUUAGAAGUUUCUUGGGCUUGGCUGGAUAUUAUAGAAGAUUCAUUGAGGAUUUUGCCAAGAUUGCAGCGCCGUUGACACAACUCACAAGGAAGAAUCAUAUUUACGCAUGGACGGAGGAAUGUGAAAGGAGUUUUCAGAUGAUGAAAGAGAAGCUAACUACAUCACCGGUGUUGGUGUUACCACAACCAGAAGAACCAUAUGAAGUUUAUUGUGAUGCUUCUUUACAAGGGUUGGGUUGUGUACUUAUGCAGAACAAACAGGUGGUAGCAUAUGCUUCAAGACAGUUGAAGGUGCAUGAGAAACAUUAUCCCACGCAUGACAUGGAGUUGGCUGCAAUAGUUUUUGCACUAAAAAUUUGGAGGCACUAUCUGUAUGGGUGCAAUUUUGAUGUAUACAGUGACCAUAAAAGUUUGAAAUACUUGUUCGACCAGAAGGAGCUUAAUAUCCGACAGCGGAGAUGGAUGGAGUUCAUCAAGGAUUAUGAGUUCACGUUGCACUAUCACCCAGGAAAAGCCAAUGUGGUGGCUGAUGCCUUGAGUAGGAAGCGGGCCCAUUUGUCAUCCAUAACAAUGAAAGGAUUAGAGUUGUUAGAGAAUUUUCGCGACUUGGAUCUUAAUAUGGAUUAUUUGUCGGGAAAAGUACAAUGUGGAAUGAUCAUUGUAGAUAAUAAACUAAUGAAUGAGAUAAAAGCCCUUCAAGCGACCGAUGAGGCUAUUCAGGGGAGACGAAAAUUGGUUGAGACCGACAAGGCUCCCGAAAUUCAAAUGGAUCCAGAUAACAUUUUGUGGUGUAAUAAACGUAUUUGUGUGCCGGAUAAUGCAGAGUUGAGAAAAAACAUUUUGGAUGAGGCCCACAAGAGCAAACUGAGUAUUCACCCUGGUACUACAAAGAUGUAUAAAGACUUGAAGCAAAGAUUUUGGUGGCCAGGAAUGAAGAAACAAGUGGCGGAAUAUGUGGCGUCUUGCCUGACUUGCCAAAAGGCUAAGGUUGAACACCAAAAACCUGUUGGAUUGUUGCAGUCAUUAGAUGUACCAAUGUGGAAAUGGGAUAGUAUAUCUAUGGACUUUGUGGUGGCAUUACCUAAGACUCAGAAGAAAUUUGACUCCAUUUGGGUGAUUAUUGACAGGCUCACAAAAUCCGCACAUUUCAUACCUGUAAGGACUACUUACAAUGUAUCUAAGCUUGCAGAGAUUUACGUUGCGGAAAUUGUUAGAUUACACGGGAUACCAUCUAGCAUUGUGUCAGAUAGAGAUCCAAAGUUCACUUCUCGUUUGUGGGGAGCAUUUCAUGAGGCAUUGGGUACUAAAUUGAGAUUGAGUUCCGCUUACCACCCUCAAACCGAUGGCCAAACUGAAAGGAUUAUUCAGACCUUAGAAGAUUUGCUAAGAGCUUGUACAUUAGAUAACAAAGGAAGUUGGGAUGAUCUAUUGCCUCUUGUCGAAUUUACCUAUAAUAAUAGCUAUCAUGCAAGCAUCGGUAUGUCCCCGUAUGAGGCUUUGUAUGGACGAAAACUUAAUUGUAGGGCCAGAGCUGGUGCAACAGACUACAGAGAAGGUGCGUAUUGAGAUUGAGUUCUGCUUACCACCCUCAAACCGAUGGCCAAACUGAAAGGACUAUUCAGACCUUAGAAGAUUUGCUAAGAGCUUGUACAUUAGAUAACAGAGGAAGUUGGGAUGAUCUAUUGCCUCUUGUCGAAUUUACCUAUAAUAAUAGCUAUCAUGCAAGCAUCGGUAUGGCCCCGUACGAGGCUUUGUAUGGGCGCAAGUGUCAAACUCCCUUGUGUUGGUAUCAGGAUGGCGAAAACUUAAUCGUAGGGCCAGAGCUGGUGCAACAGACUACAGAGAAGGUGCGUCAGAUCCAAGAGCGGAUGAGAACAGCACAUCGCAGGCAGAAGAGUUAUGCUGAUCGACAUAGGAGACCCUUGGAGUUUCAGGAGGACGAACAUGUAUUCUUGAGAGUGACGUCUACUACUGGAGUUGGUAGGGCAUUGAAGUCUAAAAAGCUUACUCCGAAGUUUAUUGGACCAUAUCAAAUUCUUCGACGUGUGGGUCCAGUGGCGUAUCAAAUUGCUUUACCACCGAAUUUAGCUAAUUUACAUGAUGUGUUCCAUGUAUCACAAUUGAAGAAGUACAUGGCAGAUCCAUCCCAUAUUAUUGCGCCAGAUGAUAUUCAAUUGAAGGAGAAUUUUACCUUCGAGGUCCCACCGAUAAGCAUCGCCGACAGAACUACCAAACAUUUGAGGGGAAAGGAAAUUCCAUUGGUUAAGGUGAUUUGAAACCAUACGACUCGGGAUGCUACUUGGGAGUUGGAAGAUAAGAUAAGAGAGCUUUACCCAGACCUUUUAGAGACCUCUUAGUUUCGAGGACGAAACUAUUUUAAGGGGGUAAGUAUUGCAGCACCCUUUUUUUUAAUUAAUUAAUUUAAAAUCAUUAGUUUUGUUUAUCCUUUUAUUAAUUUAGUGUGACGAUAGUAAGAUAAUUAUUCUUUGAAUGUUUAAUUAUUUGAUAAAGUAUUUUCAUAUUAAAUAAUUUAUUAUUUGGAUUUUUAUUAUUGACUAAGUAAAAUUCGUAGAAAUAUUUGUCUUAGAGUGAACAAUGACCAAGCCAAUUUUGACUAAGUCAAAAUUGAAUCACCCACACUACUAUUUUUAUAACUAUAUUUUAUAAAAUUUAGUUUAUAUUGUGUCCAUUCAAAUGUGUAACUAGCAAGAAUAAAUACAUGAAUGCCAAUUAAUUCUUAACGGUUGGUCAUUGAAUGGAAUUAUUCCAAUUUAAUUCACUAUUCAUGUGUGCAAUUAAACUCAAUGAAGAGAAUUAUUCAUUCUCUCUGAUCAGCUUUAUGCCUCCUUUAUUAGUCACAUACACCUCUCCUUCUUAGGACACGAUUAAACUUACAGUAGAGGAAAAUAAGUCAUAAUCACUCACACGCAUUACCAACACCACAUUUAUCACAAAUAUUUUCUAAGCCACUCAAACAACCAUCGUUACAUUCCCUAGCUUUUUGAUCGAAGCUAUAAACUUUUAUUCAUCUUGGUGAGAUUUUCGAGGGCUAUAUAGUGGUACGUGGAAGGAAAGCGUCCAAGUUAAGGGCUUUUUCCCCAUGCAGAGUUAGGUUAGAUAUUAAAUUAGCGAUUCGUAUGAUAUUGAUAUGAUGUCUGGAUGUAUUAAAAGAAAAAUGUCGAUUUUAUUUUUGUCGUAAAGAAAUUAACUAUCAUGCUUUGAUGGUUUCUUUUGAGUAAUAUCUCUAUUUUGAUGAAAUUAAUUAUAUAAUUAUAUUUUAUUACCAUACCUUCAUCAAUAUGUUUGUUGUGAAAACGUUCAAUGUCAUACAUGUUUUAGAGUACUUAAUUAUAAAGUUAUAAUUUUUAUAAUGAUGUAGUCAUUAACAUGUUUAUUACGAUGUAUUUAAUUUUAAUCCUUGAUUCUUGAGUAUUUAAAUUUUAAAACUUGACUUUUAUGAACAAUAUAUGUGUCUUGAUGAAAUUGAUGAAAAGUUUAUUUUUCAUUUACCAAUAUGAGGAAAUUGAUUUUUGAAUGCAUUAAUGAAUAGUUUUCUUUGUGGUUGCCUAAGUGGCUGGUUAUUUGUGUAUGAUUUUUCUUUGUGGUUGCCUAAGUGGCUGGUUAUUUGUGUAUGAUUUUUCUUUGUGGUUGCCUAAGUGGCUAGUGAUUUGUACAUUUCGAACAUCAUUAUCAUUGUCAUGACAUACCAUAUGCAUCUUUGUGGACGCCUUAGUGGCUGGGUUAAUUUUCUCCAUUGGUAUGGGUGACUUCUAUGUGGACGCCUUAGUGGCUGGCUAUAUCCGGAUCAUAUAUGUUGAGGACAUGCAUAAAUUGCAUAUAUUUUAUUGUCAUUGUUAUUUUUAUAUAAUUAUUUUUUCUAAGGUGAGUUAUUACUUGUUAUUUAGAGACAUCUCAUAAUUUUUGAUACACCUUAUGAGUUAUAAAAAUCAAUUUCUCUAAAUCUUUUAUUACAAAAAGAUUUUAUAUUUAUAUUUUAUGGUUGUUAACUUAUUAUUUGGUCUAAUUUUGCCGUGGGAUGAACUGACCCCUUACACCAACAUUUAAGUACUAACGAUCUUGAAGGGUUGCAUGAAUGACGUUUGCUUGGCGCACACGCGUGGGAAAAAUGGGUACUUUAAUAAAAUAAUAAUAAUAAUAAUAAUGUUUGUAGUGAUAAAACCGUUGUGAUACAAUUUUUAAGUUUAUUUAUUUUUCAUCGUUGAUUUUUAAUAGAAAUGCGGAGGCGGGGUCCUUCUGCUAGAAAAAACUUGAAUUAUUUUAUUUUUAAGCGAACAUUUUCUACAAUUAGUAAAUUGUCUUUACAAAUAAUAAUAUCCGAUAAAUCGCAUUGUGGUAUUUUUUAAAAUAAAAUCAAACUAUUUACUAGAAAAUUUUAUUUAUUAUAUGAUGAACUACUUAAAAAAAAAAUUAAGUCGUUUUUGAAAGAAAAUAAAUAUUUUUAAGUAAUAUCUGGGAUCAAAAUCCAGGGCGUUACAAUAUUCAACCGAUUCAUAAAUAAACUGAGUUAUAACCAUAUGAUUUUAACUAGAUAUUUAAAAUGAAUUUGGAUCUGAUUUUAGAUUUGGGCCUCAUAACCAGAUUUUUUGCACAACCCUAGUUGGAGGUUUGGAGGAUUUGAGGAAGUUUUUUACUUGCGCUGAGGUGAUUCAAUUGCAAACAAAUUGUUGUUGAAAAUGUCACUAAUAAGUGAAGUUAAGAAUGGCUCCCUCUUUUUCUCAAAUAUUGUCUAAUUCCUUUCAACUCCUAACACCAAUAGUUUUGCAUUGCUCUUUACUCUUAUGUGCUUGGUGACACGUUACGAUGUCUUAUUGAUGAAAUCUAGUUAACUAAUCUCGAUUAUAUUAUAAAUAGGAGAAUAAAUUUAAAUCAAAUAGUAAAUACAAAAAAGAUACCUCAUAUAUAUAUAAUAAGUUUAUACAUAUAAGUGUUUGUGACUUCAUACGAAUGUCACAUGAACAUGUGAACUCAAAACAACAAUGUAGAUUAAAAUAAGACCACCUACUUGCGACCAUUAAGAAAAUAAUGUACUCACCACUAGUCAAAUUACAAAAACGAUGUAUGUAACAAAACAAGUUUGUCGGUUGCCACUUUCACCUGAAAUGAAAAACUCUAGAAAAAAAUGGGGAUGAUAAAAAGAAACUUUUGACUACUUAGAAUGAGGUUGAUCUCUCUAGGCCGAGACAUUACCCCAUGAUCGUGUUUCCCAUGUGGUACUUAUAUUAGUAGUUUUGCUUAGAAUUUGGGGACUUCUAGAAAUCCUCUCUAAUAAUAGGUUUUUAAGGUAAAGUUUUUAGUUAGAUAUUUGUGCUUUUGUUCGUCACGGUUUCCUUGGGUUAUGUCCUAGUCCUAAACUUUUUAUUUUUUUUUAAAUAUAUUUUUAAUAGAGUUAUGUCCUAGUCCUAAAUCUUUUUAAUUUCUAUUAUUUUUAUUUUUCUUUAUUUUCUCUUUUUUUUUUUCUUCCAAAUUUCUUUUGUAAAUCCAAAGAUCAUAAAUGAUUUUUCUAUAUAUUAUUAAAUGUCUCGGUGAAAUGUAUUUAAAUAUCAAAUAAAAUAAUAUUAUAAGUCCCUAAUUACAUACAUUUAUUGAAAAAUUUACUUGUCUCUAAAUAUAAAUCUUUGUACAAAUUACUGUUGAGGCAAAAACCUUUUUGAUGCAUGUUUUAAUGACAAUAAACUUUAUUUAAUAAAUGAUUAAGUUUUAUGAAUGUUGAUCUACUAAUGAGUGCACUAGAGUUUUAUUUAAGGAAAAUGAAUUUCAUAAUCAAACAAGCAAAGAUCAUUUGAAAGAAGCAAUAUCAAAUUUGAGAAAACAGAAAAAGAGAAUAUUCAGGUCAUUAAACAUAAAAUCGAAGAACAUUCUUGACAGCAGUCUGAAAAAAGAAGAUCAUUCUGGACAACAGUCUGAAAAACGAAGAUGUUAUGGUUUGAUAGCAUUAAUCCAGUAACAUUAUGCUUUACAAAGAACAAAGUCUUCUUUAAUUCAAGAUCGAUUUGGGAUACGAAAAUACAACAAUCUACAUUGCAAAUCACAAGUAUUCAUUUCAAAGGAACAUAAUUAUAUACUCAAGAUAACUUCAGACAUAUUCUUUCCAUGAGAUCUGUUGAAUAUGUGAAAAUGAGAGACAUAUGGUGAAACCGUGUGUCUGAACUACACAACGGAGUCUGUUUUAUAUAGGCUCAAGACAAUAAAUACAAAAAUAAAUAUGGGAGAUAUUAUCCUUAUUUACAUGAUAUGUAAUAAAUAUAAAUAUAUUUUCAACACCCCCCUCAAGCUGGAGCAUAUAAAUCAUAUGCACCAAGCUUGUUACAUAUAUAACUGAUUUCGAGGACCUCUCAAGGACUUAGUGAAUACAUCUGCUAAUUGAUCAUUGGAAUUAACAAAGCUAGUGGUGAUGUCGCCUGAUUCGAUCUUCUCCCUUACAAAGUGACAAUCUAUCUCAAUAUGCUUGAUCCUCUCAUGAAAAACCAAAUUAGAGGCAAUGCGCAAUGCUGCUUGAUUAUCAUAUAUUAAUGUCAUUUGUGUUGCCUCUUCAAAUUGAAGCUCUUUGAGUAGCAGUUUCAACCAAAUGAGCUCACAAGUCACUAAUGCCAUAGCCUUGUAUUCAACUUCAACGCUAGAUCUUGCAACUACACUUUGUUUCUUACUCUUCCAAGAUAUUAAGUUUUCUCCAACAAGUACACUGCCCAGAAGUGGAUCGCAUAUCAAUGGGUGAGUCUGCCCAAUCGACAUCUAAAUAACCAGCUAUCUGAGCAUGUCCUCUGUUUUCAUAAAUUAGACAUUUUCUUGGAGCACCUUUAAUGUAUUUCAAGAUUAGUAUCACAACAUCACAAUGUUCUUGACAAGGAGAGUUUAAGAAUUGGCUUACCACAAUGAUUGCAAAAGAAAUGUCUGAACGAGUGACUGUGAGGUAGUUUAAUUUACCAGUCAAUCUUCUGUAUCUCCCUGAAUCUGAAAAUGGCUCCCCAUGAUUAGGUAGAAGUUUGACAUUUGGAUCCAUAGGAGUGUCAACCGACCUGACAUUCAAUAAACCUGUCUCUUCAAGAAUAUCCAUGACAUAUUUCCUUUGUGAAAUUUAUAAGGCGUCCUUAGAUUAGGCUACCUCAAUACCGAAGAAGUAGCGGAGCUUGCCAAGAUCUUUAGUUUGAAACUGAUGAGAUAAAUGUUGUAUCAACUGGAGUAUGCCCUACUGAUCACUACCAGUUAUGAAAAUAUCAUCUACAUAGACAAUCAAGUAAAUGCACCAUUGGAUUGAGUGGCGAUAGAAAAAAGAAUGAUCAACUUCACUUCGAAUCAUGCCAAAUUUUUGCAAUAUUGUGCUAAAUCUACCAAACCAAACUCGAGGAGACUAUUUAAGACCAUAGAGAGACCUCUAAAUUCGACAAACCAUGGUAGAGGACUCCCCCUGAGCAACAAACCCAUGUGGUUGCUCAAGUUGGUGCAAAGACCAGUGUCUAAUGGCUGCAAUAUAGAGGAGUAGUUUAAUAGAGACUAUCUUAGCCACAGUGGAGGAAGUAUCACUGUAAUCGAGGCCAAAAAUUUGAGUGUACCCUUUUUCCACCAAACAACCUUUAAAACGAUCAAUCUUACCAUUAAAUCCAACUUUCAUCGUAUAAAGCCAACAACAUCCUACUAAAAACUUUCCAGAUGGUAAAAGAACCAAUUUCUAUGUACCACUACUCUUAAGUGCACACAUCUCGUCAACCAUUGCUUGUCUCCAUUCUAGGUGAGAUAAAACUUCACCUGGACAUUUAGGAAUAAAAAUAGAAGACAAGGAAUACAAACAAGUAUAAUGCAAAGGAGAAAGAUGAUGAUAACUCAAACCAAUGUUAUGAGGGGAUGGGUUACGAGUAGGACGUAUACCUUUACGAAUAGCUAUAGGAAUAUCAAGGGUCAGAUCCGAUAAAGAAGGAGGUGGUGGUGAAGGAGCAUCUGGAAUGACCUCGAUAUCAAGAACGAGUGUAGGGACAUGUACAACCGAUGGUGGUUAACGAUGACAAUAUGUCUGAAGAGGUUGUACAGUUGGAGGAUCAACAAGAUGAGUCUUAAGUGGGACAAUGGGAGGGGCCACCAAAGGUUUCUCAGGUGGGGCAUACAUAAUAGGCUCUAGUGGUAAAAGAGAAGGUGAAAUAGACUUUGGUAGGUCUAGAGGAAUAGUUGUAGACAAAGGAUCAGGAAGCGACUCAUAGUAUGUAACAAACUCAAAAAAUGUGACAUAAGCCGAUAUGAGAUAUCGUCGAAGAUUAGGAGAAUAACAACGAUAACUUUUUGGAACCACUGAUAACCAAGAAAAACACAUUUUUGUGAUCGAGUUGAAAGUUUGUCAAGACCAGGAGUGAGAUUGUGGACAAAACAUGUAGAUCUAAACACCUAAGGAGGAAGUGAGUGAAGAGGGGUACCAGGGAAGAGGAUCGAGUGAGGGACUUUGUUAUCAAGAGCAGACGAAGGCAUGUGAUUUAUAAGAUACCACGCCAUUAGAACAACAUUACCCCAAAAGCAAGAUGGUACAUUAUCAUGAAGAAGGAGAGUACGAGUGGUUUCAAUAAGGUGCCGACUUUUGGGUAUGGCUACCCUAUUUUGUUGAGGUGUUUGAGCACAAGAUGUUUGAUGAAGAAUGCCGUUAGAGGUCAUAAGAUUUUGAAAUUGAUGGGACAAAUAUUCACGGGCAUUAUCAUUGCGCAAAGUGUGAAUGGAUACACGAAAUUGACUUUUAAUUUCCUUAUAAAAUUGUUCAAAAAUAGAAAAUAAUUCAGACCUAUUUUUCAUUAAAAAUAACCACGUACAACGGGAAAAAUCAUCGAUAAAGAUAACAAAAUAUCUAGACUCAAGAGUGAAAAUAUUACGAGAGGGACCCCAAACAUCUAAGUGAACUAAAACAAAUAGGGAUGAAGCUCGUUUGUUAGCUCGAUUAGGGAAAAGACUACGAGUGUAUUUCCCUAACUGACACGACUCACAAUUUAUGCUAGAUAUUUGGCUAGAUUAGGUACUAAUUGUUGAAGUUUGGGAAGACUCAGAUGACCUAACUGAGCAUGUAUAGUAAGAGGAGAGUAUGUGGUAGGGCAUGCUGUUGAUGGGUUUGAAAGAUAAUAAAGGCCAUUAGACUCUCAUCCGACACCAAAUUGUCGUUCUGAUAUUCGAUCUUGCAAAGUAACAUUGCAAUUAGUAGAUGUGACAACAUAAUCAUGAGAAUGAGUCAAUUGACUGAUAGAAAUUAAAUUAAAUGGACAUCCAGACACGUAAAGGACAUAUGUAACUAAUAGAGUAGGGAGAAUUUAGAGACCGUGUUUGAGAACCAUUGGCUAAGAUUAUCCUAGGUAAAUAACGAGAUGUUGUGAGAGAGGAGAAAAUAGUCUUAUUACCAGUAAUGUAAUCAGAUGCACCAGAAUCGAGAAUCCAUGGGCUAUGAGAAGGUGAAAUGCAAACAGGUGAAUUACCACAUUGUACUGCCGAAACAGCGGAACUCGAGUUCUGAAAAUACUCUACCCACCGAAGAAAAUCUUCAUAAGUAGCCAUAAUCAAUAAACAAUUACCUAAAACCAACAACGAAACAGUGGUGGAAGAGGCUUUUUUUCUUUUUUUUUUUUGCGAUGAACAGUGGACUUAUUUGCUGAAAAAAUGAAUGAAAAGUGACAAAGAAAGGGUAAACCAGAAUUGGGACACGAUUUACCGAAAAAAAUCUCACCAAUGAACAAUGGGUCCCUGGGUAAUCACGAUAUAGGGUUAUCUCUCUUAAUAGAAUAAGAUAUAGGGUUAUCUCUUUUAAUAGAAUAAGAUAUAGGGUUAUCUCUCUUAACAGAUACUAUGUUGAAUAAGAGAAAAUGAGAGAAUAUGGUGAAAUUGUGUGUCUGAACUACACAAUGGAGUUUGUUUUGUAUAGGCUCAAGGCGAUAAAUACAAAAAUAAAUAUGAGAGAUAUAUUAUCCUUAUUUACAUGAAAUGUAAUAAAUACAAAUAUAUAUUCAACAAGAUCAACAAAAAGCAAAGCAAUGCGUCAAGAUUAAAAAACAAGACUAAUCUCCAAAGUUGAUGGCUAAAGUAAGCAAGUACAAACUAAACAUAAAAGAUAAAGUCACUGCAUCACUGACACACAAACAAAAUAGAAAAGUGGGGAACGCAACAGUUGUCAGAAUUGUUAAAAUCCAACAAUCACUCAAAACAGAAACAAAGAACGUUACAUGUUUUCACAUCUUUAGUCCAACAAUAUUUUGGUUACAAAGAGAAAAAUCUAUUGUAAUUUAAGAUCGAUUUGAGCUUUGAAAUUACAUCUAUCUACACUAAAAAACAUCAGUAUUCAUUACAAAAGAAUUUAAUAAUCUACACAAGAUUGAUUUAGAUAGAUUCGAUCAUAGAGGAUCCACAAAGGCAAAGCAAAACAUCAAGAUCAAUCUCCAAAUUGAUGAGCUAUGACCAAGGACAUCCAUGACAACAAGGACACACAUACCAAAUCCAACAAUCACUCAAAACAGAAAUAAAGAACGUUCUCCGUUUUCACAACUUUAAUCCAAGAAUAUUCUGGUUACAAAUCAAAAAAUCUAUUGUAAUUUAAGAUCGAUCUGAGCUUUGAAAGUACAUGUAUCUACACUAAAAAACAUCAGUAUUCAUUACAAAGGAAUUUAAUAAUCUACGCAAGAUUGUUUUAGAUAGAUUCAAUCAUAAAGGAUCAACAAAGGCAAAGCAAAACAUCAAGAUAAAUCUCCAAAUUGAUGAGCUAUGAGCAAGGACAACCAUGACAACAAUGACACUACUGCUGCUUUAGUAGAAAGCACAUCAUGUUUAUGAGAUAAAGGACUGACACGUAACAUCUGUCAAAGUUCAACACUCAUACAAAAUAGAAACGAAGAAUGUUCUUGUUUUUUCAAAUGAACAUUGUGGUUUUAAUUCUCUUUUAAAGACAUAAUUAAAAUAUAUAAUUUUCAAGACCAAAGCCCAACGGUUGAAAGCAGCCUCAAGAUUGAUCUCCAAAUUGAUGAGUUGUGAGCAAGGACACAAGUAAACUGUACUUACAAUAUUCAGCAGAAAGUUCUGCUUAAAUCUGACUCAAAAUAGUGUCAACUGACAUGUGACAAUUCAUUCACUCGCUUUUUCACGUUUUCCAUGAGACCCAAAAGCAAGAAUGUUCUUCGUUUGUCACGGACGAUCUGGACUAUAAUAUAAACACAUGUUUAAUUGCUUUAAAAUAUAUCUGACACUUGGGGAAAGUGUGCCCAACGACUAUAUUCAUUUUGAAAUGAAUAUUCAAAGCUUUUUAUUAUCUAUAAAUUGAUGUUCAAUUGGAAGAUGAAGGCAAUAGUUCAAUUUACAAAUCUACCAAGACUUGUUCAAGUAACAAGUCAAAAAACUCUUCAAGCAAACUCCAGCUCUCUUCACUAUAUAUUUGGAUCAUUAUUUACUGUGUUUGGCUUUCAUUUAUCUCAAACAAGUGUUGAGAAGUAUCAAGAUCCCAAAUAUUUUAUCAUACACAUCAUUUGUAACUCAAGUCUAUCUUUUAUAUUAGAUUGAAUGUGUUUGUAAAAAUCUUUUCAAGGCUGAAAGGUGAAGAUUGUAACACUUAGUGAAAAAUCUCACAGUUGUGAGAACUUGAAGUUACCCGGGUUGGAUGAACCAUAAUAUUUCUCUGUGUGAUAUCUCUCCAUUAUCUCUAUUUAUUUUUAGUCUUUUGAUUAUCAAAUCAAAAUAGAUAAGUUAAAUUGUGUGUUUUUCGCUAACCAAGAACAUUCUUCGUUUUCCAUUUUCAUAACCAAGACUAAUCUUGAGUUAAAUUCUUUAAGUUUUUACAAAAUAUUUUAAAAAGGUGAAAUCACAAUUCAAACCCCUCUUUCUUGUGAUUGAUAUUGCUACUUCAAUUGGCAUCAGAGCACAACCUCUUAAUUUGAGAACCUAACAAGUGUUAGAGGAAAUACUAAUAAUUGCACUUGAGUUUUGUUUAAGGAACAUGAAUUGCAUAAGUGAACAAGUAAGAAGCCAUUCACUUCAUCAAAGUGCAUAAGCAUCCACUUAAUAAUGAAAUAAUCUCAAAAGGAAUGUAUCAUAUAUCAACCAUUCAAGAGAAUGGUUAUUACAUCUUCAAGAUAGUAUCUUCGUGAAAAAGAUAAUCAAAUAUAUUCAUACAUCAAUCAAUGAUCACACUAUCACUACGCCAAAAACAACAUUUACCAGUGCACUUUUUUCAGAGCGCUUGUUAACUAAAAGCGCUGUUGUAGGAUCAUAUAGGGUAUUAAUGUCUACAUCGCUUUUGAUGAAAGCGCUGUUGUAUGGUCACAUAGUGUGACACCCUAAACCCCAAAAUAAUAUAUAUAAUAAUUUAUAUUAUAUUUCUAUAAAAUUUGCAGCAGAUAAAUAAAAAUAUGUUUCCAAGAAAAUAAAAACUUUUAUUUUUAACUUAUGAUAUGACAUUUCUUAAAAAUCAAAAGGAACACUUUAAACUUAUUUUCUCCAUUAAAAUAGUGUAAUCUCAAUAAGCUUGAAAUAAGCUUGAUAUAAGUAUUAAAAACUUAUUAGUACUUCUAAGAUUUUCAUACAAAAAUUGGUUUCAAAUUAAAUAAGUAAAAUACAAUUUAAGCCCUUAUUCCAAGUAUCACCUAUCAGAGCGUGAUUCCUUCCAAACUUGAACUUCAAGAUUCAUUAAACUGUAAUAACUGCAAUUUUGCAAACGCAGGGCCAAGCCAGUCAAACACAAACUACGAAGGAGGUGAGUUUCGAAAUCACGAUGACAAUAUAAUACAAGUAAGAAGUGUUGGACUUUAGUCCUUGAAUCCUAAUUUUGACACAAUUAACAAACAUACAAUGUUCAUACAUCAUAUGAUAAAUCUAACAUUUUAAUUGAGCAAGAUUUCAGGAACAACAAUACAAUCCUACACACUUGAUACAAAUUGCUUGGAACACAAGAAAUCAACAAAAGUUGAUCAUUGACUGAGUAAAUCGAUUGGGAAAUCGAUUUCAUAACAAGGGUGUAAGGAAACAUAACUGUUUGUGAUUGUAUAAUCGAUUAAGCAAUCGACUGACACUAUUAAAAAUGAAAAUUGCACAAGUCAGUGGCACCCUGUUUUACAGGCUAAUCGAUUGGCAAAUCGAUUGUACAUAUCACAAAGUAAAACUGAUUGAAACCAAUCGACUGGCAAAUCGAUUGAUCAAGUCACAGUGAGAAUCCAAUUUCUAGGGUAAUCGAUUGGCAAAUCGAUUAGACCUGUUUUAUAACUUUAAUGAAUCGAUUGGCAAAUCAAUUUAUUAGUUUUUUUUUCAGAAACUAUAUAAACUGUUAUUCAAUCUUUCUCUCAUUUUUUAAAAAAAAAACAAUUCAUGGAAAGUGAUAAACACUCAUAAACUCUCAUUAACACAAUACAACACGUUGUUAACAUUUUGAUAUUGCUUUUUCAGAUCAAAAGCCAAAAAGAUUAUCCAUAAUCAUUGAGAGAGCUGAAAAAGUAUUCUUGAGAGAAAAGACAAUGUUCUCAUAAUCCAUCAUUGAAUAACCAGAUUCGUGAGAAGACACAUUGUUCAAGAUUGAAGACUUCUUUUACUACUUCUUUUAUUCUAUUUGAAAUAAAUACUUUGUAAAGAAAACGACUGCUAGAAAUCCAGCUAGAAACUGGUGGCGAUCUUCUUGGGUGAGAGGCCUCAUCAAGAAGGAGUCGUACUUUGAUUUUGUGUGAGUCUGCUGAUUGACUACAAGGAUCAAGGGGUGAGCAAUAGGAAAGAGAUUGCGAGAGAUAGAUAGGUUUCGAGGAAACUGGACAAUCUGUAAACAAUUCACAAUUCUUUCUAUUGGAGAAAAAGCUGAAAUCCAGUUGGAUUGUUAGGACUGAAUGUAGGUUGUCUCGUUGACAACUGAACCAGGAUAAAUCUUGGUGCAUUCUAUCCUUUAUCUUUUUACUUUUAAUUGCUAAUAGUGUAUGCUGCAUUAUAAUUCCGCUGUGUAUGUAAUAUUACUUUAAUUUGAUUAAAGACUGAUAUAUUCUGAUUAUUUCGAGGUCAUAAUAAUCAACAAGAAGAACACGCAAACAAUAAUAAUAUUACUGUAUCAUUACACAAACAUUCCAUCAAGAAAAUAUCACAUUAAAAAGUCAAAAUCACUCAAGGAAAAUCAAUAAAUUUCAAAAUAACAUCAAAUCGUCUAAGAGAAACUAUCACCACUCAUGAUACAUAUUAAUCACAACAAAACAAUCACAAUAAAAUGCAAUGCUAUGCAUGAGCUUAGACUCUACUUCACAAUGUGGUACCAUUCUAACUCUGAAGUACUUGGUUAGGAGGCUUGAUACUAUGCCACCAUUCCGGUGGACGGGCAAUUCAAAUUGGCCCUGUCCUCAUAGAUUCCCUCAACUCAACCCGAGACACAUAUACGUGACAGUCGAGGUAAACGUGUGUUGCGUGGUAGCUCCCGACAUUUGGAGUGCUACCUCCAAGUCACCUAGGAAUUCCCCACCAGAAUACCUCCAAGGUCUAACAAUCUUUCCUUAAGGCUUGACAACAGACCGCCACAAUCAGGCUCAUUCAGUUGUACUUCCCCGGAAUCACUAGGCUUGUCAGACCCUACCUAUAUAAUGACAAAAUAGUCUUCACUUCGCAAAUUCUCAAUAUUUAUUUUCUCCCCUCGUUGGCCUAUGAUACUCUAUUAAGACCGUCAUCUCAAACACAAAUUGGAAUCACAAAUAUUUCAUCAACUAUGGGGUUACUUCAAUAUUCUUAUCACAAAUUCACAACAUUACUAUAAUUAAUUAUAUCUCAUCACAUAAACUCAUCACAAAUUUAUAGCAUCACUAUCAUCAAUCAUACAUCAUCACAUAUGCUUAUCACAAAUUUUAUCAUCAUUAUUAUUAUUAAUUAUACAUCAUCAUAAUCACAUAAACUUAUUAAAAUGAAUUCACUUUUUAUUAUCACAUCACAUAAACACGUCUAAUCAAACGUAUACAUAAAAUUCAUUCGACAUCCAAUAUCACAAUAAUAUCAAAUAUCUCACAUUUAAUAAAGAUAAAUCAAACAUCACAAUAAUAUCAAAUAUCUCACAUUUAAUAAAAACAAAUCAAACAUCACAAUAAUAUCAAAUACCACAUAUUUAACGAAGUUUAAUAAAUCAACACCUUAUAAAUAUUUCUAUUCCAUAUUUUAAUAUCACAAUUCCCAUAUUUUUACAUUAAUCGAUUUAUCACUCAAAGGGCUACUGCCGCACGUUGCAAGCCCCGAAUGAAUCGUUGGGAAAUACAGUUUUCCCGUUCAUCUCACAUUAUAUUAGACUCAUGAAUUCAAACACUCUCUCACCCUUUACCUUAUUUCGACGCUUUCAAACACGAGUACGAUUCCACAAACAAACAAACUUUGUUUUUUGACUUUUUUCCUUCAAUCGAUCUAACUCGACAGUUUAUGGGUAAACGUCAAAAAUAAAUUAUGAGAAAAUACUCUAAAAAAUAAAUUUCAAAAUUUCGUCAAGGAAAAUUACCAUAAAUCAGAAAACCAAUCAUUGGGUAAUAUAGCCACUUUUCACACGGUCGUUUUGGCGUUGACUUUACUCAAAUCGGGCUUACGGUGAAGGAGAACUGUGCAAAAUAACGAAUUCUACAAACAGAGAAGUCGGGGAGUUUAGAGAUAAAUUGGGGUUGUUCAAAAUCUGGAAAAUUAUGUUUAAUUGACGAGUUAAAUGAAUGAAAUAACAUACUCAAAUUUGAGCGAAAAUGGAGAAAGUUUUCUGGAAUAGUUAUCGAUUACCGAUGUCAAACGAUAAGUUAUUGUUGUGUUUUCUCUUUGGUUUUAUGGCUGCCCUUCCAACUCCCUUCCCCUUUUUUGUUUGUUUUAUUUUAUUAACAAUUAGGGUUCAUACAUGAAUCAAACCCAUUGGUUUUAUUUAUGUUUUUGUUUUACUAUUAUUAUUUUUAUUUUGCUAAAACAAAAUUAAUAAUUAUUUAAUCUCCUUUUUAAUAUUCUUCCAAAUACAGUUUUUCAAAUAUUACUAAUAUUUUAUAAAUUAGAGUAAUUAAAAUAAUCAAUAUAAAAAAACAUAUUACUAAUAAUUGAAACUGUCACAUUCAAAAUAAUCUCUACAAUUAUACUUAUUUAUCAAAAUACACACAUUAUAAUAAUACCAGCAUGUUAGAAAAUAGUCAAAAUUAUAAAGUAAAUAAAUAUAACAUCAAUGUUUUAUAUUAAUUACUAAAUCACAAUAAAUAUAUAUAAAAUCACAAUGUCAUAACAAGUACAUAAAAAUAAACGAAAUAAAACACAAUAUCAAUUUUAUCUCAAAAUAAUUAUUUAUAAAAAAAUAACUAAAAAUAGAAAAUAGUUAUAAAUAAUUGAAAUAUAUCAGUCAAACACACAUAAAAGUAUUACAUUAAUUGGGUACACGUAUAUACACGUUAAAUCGCAUAAAAUAUUUUUCUUUAAAAUAUAUAUUACACUAGAAUACUAUUAUUUUUUAAAAAAAAUAUAUCAAAUAAUAAAAUAUAAUAUAUUAUUUGUAUAACUCAUGUAAUCUAGUAUUUAUAAAACUAUCACAUCAUAGAAAUCACCUAUAUAACAAAAAUUAGUCAGAAAAUUUAUCAUCAUAUAUUCUAAAAUAAUUUUAACUUUAAAAUUGACAACAAUAGUAAAAGUGAUCCUUUAUAAAUUGAGAAAAAUGUCAGGGAUGAGUUUCACUUCGAAUCCAACCUUGGCGUCUAAUUUGAUCCUAGUCAUUGAAUUCCUUUAUUGAAUUAUUACCAAAUUCUCUUUAUUAUUCUUGCCCUAAUGUCUUAGUGACAGAACCUUUAAUUCCAAAGUAACCACUAAUUCCUUAGUAGAUUUAAGAUUAGAAUUAAGCAUUAUCGUAUAGAAAUUCUCUUGUAAAUUAUUGCUUUGCAACUAAUUUAAUUGGUUUCAUGACCUGCACCUAUGUCUAGACUAUAAAUUCAUGAAUUUCUCAUCUCAAGCAUUCGUAAAGUCCAUUUCCGUUUUAAAAUACAAAUCGUAGAACAUUUUAAUGUUGAUCAAGCAAUAAAAAGCAUUAAGCACAUAAACGACAAAAAUAAUUCAAUAAACUCAUUCAUAUAACUAGAAAUCAAAUCAUAAAAAUAAGGGUUUCAUCUUGUUACACUCAUCCCUAACAAAUAGGAUUUAGUUACUCAUGACACAAAUAAAAGAGAUAGAGAUUAGAGAAGAAUUACAAGAAGGAUUCAUGAAUGAUUCUUGAUAAAACUGCUCCAAUGAUGUUAGAAACGACCUUCUUUGAGUUUCUAUGCUAGGGCACAAGUCUCCCAACUUCCCAAGAGUCAAAAACAUCCAUAAAACAGUGAAAAAUUGCAUUUUUAUGAAUGUUGAUGCGCGUCGCGCGCCCCAUGCGCAGAAAACACGCUCCAGGCGCGCCUGGACAGGGUUACUGGUCCAAAAAUGCGCCCCAGGCGCAGAAAACGUGCUUCAGGCGCGCCUGGACAGUGCUGAACGGCUGGAAACGCGCCUCAGGCGCGUCUUGUGCGCUUCAAGCGGACAACAUCUGCUGUCCGACAUAUAUUGUAAUUUUCUCCUCUUUAGAUUCUGAAUUUGCUUCCGGUGUCUUCAUGAAAGAUGUAGCUAUGGAUCAUAGCUUUCAUUUGAACUUGGGUUGACUCCAAUUGGACAUCUACAACUCCAGAUAUGACUGAAAUACUCUACAUAGAUCAUGUUGAUUUCUCACCAAAAUUCAGCACUGCACUAAAACAAAACGCAAUGUAAAAUUACGAAAAAUUUCUACUUAAUCAAUGAAAUAAAAACAUAAAACAUUUUCUUAACUCAAAGAACAAAAAUCAACAAAAUAUAUCAAAUAAAUCCUUAAUUUAACUAAUGAUUGAAGAUAAAUAAGACUAAAACAGUGGGAAAAUAUGCAUAUUUUGAAGACUCAUCACAACCCCAAACUUAAUCUAUUGCUUGUCCCCAAGCAAUAAUUAAUUUCAGAUUUGGUACAGUUAAAAGAACACUUAAAUUCAAUGUCUCAAAUCAAAUCAAACUCAAUUCUCAAAGUUCUUGCUACUGCAGAAUAUUCAUCAUGCUCUAUGGUUGUUUUCAAAAAAACAAGAUUUGUACACCUUAGCAUUCAUUCAUCAAAUUCAACUCUCUUUUCACACAAUCUCACCAAAAUUUCUCUCACGUGUUUAAAAGGGUUAUGAAUUUAUCGCUUAAAUCCUAGAACAUGCAUCAUGCUACCAUAAGCUUGAAAAAAUUCUAGUUUGCAAUCAAAAUGCAGUAAACACAUACAUUUUUGGAUGACUUUCAGGUUGUAAUGCAACUUAGGUAAGGGUAGGAAAUUUUAGGAUAGUAGGUUUUACUACUUGGAGUUAGGCAUACAUUUCCAACUUAUUCUACCAUUUUUGUUUUCUUCACCUUUUUAUUCUGGAAAUUCUCAAACAUUGGCAAAAGAACCAAGAAGAUAUUAUUUACCAAAGUAUAUAGACUGAUUUUUUUUUCAAUUCUUUUUGUGAGAAUCACCACCCCAAACUUAAAAUGUUGCUAUCCCAUGAACAACCCCAAACUUAUAACUUUAUCAAGACAAUUUUUUUUUCUCUACCUAACUCCAAGUAAGGUGAUUUAAUUAAAUUCAAGUAUUUGACUUGUAAUGUGGCUAGUAACCGAAAUAAAAAGACAAGGCUCAAAAGGGCUAGCAAAGGGUAAAAUUUUCAUAGGGUAGUUAGAAAGGCUCAAACGACCAAACAAAAUUGCCUCGAUGUAUGCAUAAAUUACAAGGGAUGCAAGUCAGAAUUAGUGCAAGUUCUAGAGGGAAAACACAUGUCUGGAUAAUCACACAACAAAGAAUUUAAGUGUUUAGACUCAAAAGCUCACAACUAGGGUAAUAAGAGAGAGUAUGAACAAUCAAAAUAAUGCCAAACAUGCUUUUAAAAAGUUAAAAUUGUAUUUUUGAAAAAUUGAUGGCAUAUUAUCCUUCUACAACCAUUUAGUAAUCAAGAAUGUAUGCAUUAGGAAGGCUUGUCGGCUUGAGCAAUAAUAUAAUCUAAGAAAUGAAAUUUAACUUUCGAAAUCCCAAACAGAAACUUUAAGAUCAAGUGCAAGUCAUUACAACUGUUUCAUCAUAGUACAUAUUUAGUGAAAGGAAAAAAAAUAUAAAGAAAAGAAAAUCAAAAUAGACUAACAUAAAACAAAGAAAACGAGAAAAAGAAAAGAAACAGAACAAACAACAGAAAAAAAAAAGGAAAGAAAACUUCUUUCAGUUUAGUAAUUCAAGGAUUCUCAUUUAGAUCAUCCGCUCCUGUUCCGCUAUGGUCGCGAGUAUACUGGUGAGGCGCAAAUAGAUCAACAUAAAACAUGCCUCCUGGUGUCUGUUGAGAAGAAGCGAAGGCUCGAUAUAGAUUGGUCAUCCCCAGUUCUAUUCUGGCUUGUCCAUCUCGCUGAUCAAUCAUCAAUCGUUCCAUCAUAGUUUCCAGUCUGCCACAUCUUUCCUCGGUGGAGAGCUGUGAUGGAUGUGGAGGGUGGUGAUGUUGCUCAGUGUUUUCCUCUACUGGUGGGGCAUCAGGGUCGUCUACCAGAAUCAUGGAGUGUUUUUCUAUCCACUUAGCAGUGAUUGAAGUAGCAGGUUUCACCAUUUCCUCACCAUGUUUAGGUAACACUCUCACCUACUCACAUAGUUUGCUUAUCAGAGAAGCAUGAUGGAAGUAGCCUAUUGAAGGAUCAAGAGUUGCUGUCCUCCAAAGAUCAUCAGCUAGUAGUGCACCAACGUUGAUUCUGUCGCCUUUUAUGAUGGAAAGUAGUAAGCAUGCUCUAUGAAAUGUUAUAUCUGACACAUUGGAACAUGGUAGUAGCGUGUGAUGAACAAAGGUGCUCCAUGCUUUUGCAAUUGGGUUGAGAUCUAUUGAACGCAGUUUCCUAACCGAGCCAUCCCUAUUUCGAAACCAAUUUGUGCCUGAUCUGCAUAAAAUGCGUAGGAUCUCCUGAGUGUCUACUUUUCUGCUGUGGUCCACCAUAUCUUGAAAAUGGCAGUCCUGAUAAUUCGGCAGACCAAAAAUUGCAUUGAUGACUUGGGGCGUGAAGGGUACCAUUUUCCCCCUCACAUAACUCACAAAUUGAUCGUGUGGAACUGGGUCGUCACACUUCAGAUCAAAGGCAUUGGAGAAGAAUUCCACUGCUAAUGACUUGCUUGUUGUGGUGACGAAUGUGGUUAGCUUCUCCCAUCCUCUUGCCACAAUCAUCGCUUGGAUGUCAACAAAUUCAUCUGCUUCCAACUGAAAGUUUUUCUCACUCACAAACUUCUUGACUGUAGGGAGUUUGACAUGAAACUCUUGUGUUGCCAUGGUCUUGAAUAAGAAUGUAUUGUGCGGUUGAGAGGAGGAUGUAAUUGUGACCUUAGUUCGUUUUGCUUUUUGUUGGGUUGCCAUUAGGUCCUGCAAAACAAGUAUUCACACCCAGGGUUCAAAAUAUUCCAAGUUAGAUAUAAUUAAUUUAAGCAUGGUCCCCCUUGGAAAAAUAACAACUUAAAUCGCCCUGGGUUUUUCCAACAAAAUUCUAAAUGAUAAUAGUGCAUAUACAUUGGAUGUCAUUUUAACAAACAGUUGGAGUGUAAUUGUGACCUUAGUUCGUUUUGCUUUUUGUUGGGUUGCCAUUAGGUCCUGCAAAACAAGUAUUCACACCCAGGGUUCAAAAUAUUCCAAGUUAGAUAUAAUUAAUUUAAGCAUGGUCCCCCUUGGAAAAAUAACAACUUAAAUCGCCCUGGGUUUUUCCAACAAAAUUCUAAAUGAUAAUAGUGCAUAUACAUUGGAUGUCAUUUUAACAAACAGUUGGAGUGCAAUAUAUAUUUUGUGGUACUUAAGGUGCAUAAGUGGUUGUGUCAUUUUAACAAACAGUUGGAAUGCAGUAUAUAUUUUGUGGUACUUAAGGUGGAAAAGUAAACUCUUAAAUGGCCCUGGGUUUAUCCAACAAAAUUCUAAAUGAUAAUAGUGCAUAUACAUUGGAUGUCAUUUUAACAAACAGUUGGAGUGCAAUAUAUAUUUUGUGGUACUUAAGGUGCAGAAGUGGUUGUGUAAUUUUAACAAACAGUUGGAAUGCAAUAUAUAUUUUGUGGUACUUAAGGUGGAAAAGUGAUUGUGUCAUUUUAACAAACAGUUGGAGUGCAGUCAUAAGAUACAUGAACAAACCACAUACAUGCAACAUUAACACACAUUCAAUCUCAGAAAACAAACAUGCAUGUAUGAACAAUUUUAAAUACUAGCACAAAUUCGAAUUUAAAGAACCCACAUGCAUCAAUGAACAAGAAAGAGUUGAUAUUAGAAAUUAGGGGAAACUUACUUGAGGAUGAAAGAAUGUAGGAUAGAAGAGGAAAACUUACUUGAGAUUGUAUGAAGAAAGGAAAACUGACCUUUGAUGAUAAUGGAGGAUGGUUUGGAGAGUGAUAAUGAAGGAUGAGAGUUUUUUUGUGAGAAUAUGGAGGUUUUAAAACCCAACACCGUGAAAAGCGCUUUAGGCGCUCAGGACGCGCUUCAGGCACGCGUUCACAGUGACAAUUACUGUGAAAAGCGCUUCAGGUGCUCAGGGCACGCUUCAGGCGCGCGUUCACAGUGACAUACCAUGCGAAAAGUGCUUCAAGCGCUGUGGGCGCGCUUCAGGCGCAUGCUUACAGAAGCAUCAGUGUGAAAUGCGCUUCAAGCGCUCUAGGGGCACCUCACACGCGCAUUCUGUCAUUUUGAACUGUAAAAUCGCUUCUCAACACAUCUUUUUGAUUCCUUGCUCAUACCAAACAUCAAGAACUAAUAGAACUAGCAAUUAGAGACUAAAAUUGGAACUAAAUGGAGUAAAAUGAAUCUGAAAUGCAAUAAAUAAAUACGGUGCAAAGUGUAAGACCCAUAGUUUUAAAUUCUAAUUUAUGUAUUUUAGUGUAUUUUGGUAUUAAACUCUAAGGCUUUUUAGCCAAGUUAUUGAUAUUUUGUGAGUUUAAUGCCCAAAAAUUGAAAAGAAUGAAAAGGAAAGGAAAGAAAGUAGAAGAAAGGAAAAACAAAGGAAAAGGAAAAGGAAAUAAAAGGAAAAAGGAAAGAAAAUGUUUCCUCUCCCUGUUGCUCGCAAACCCAUUUUUGUUCAUUAUUCUUCUUCAUCUUCUUUGCUUCAGCCAAGUUAUUGAUAUUUUGUGAGUUUAAUGCCCAAAAAUAUCUUUUGAUGCCCCGAUUAAAAUUAUCCGUCGAUAAAUAAAUUAGAUUAAGUACGGUGAAUCUUUUGUCGAAAGAUAAUUUAUUUAUGUUACGAAGAAUUUAAUUCUGGGCAGUUUUGUUAAAAAUAUCUCGGGUUGUUGAAAAUUGUAUCUGUCAAUUGCCAAGGCUUGGUGGGUUAGAAAACAAAGAUUUCUCAGCUUCAUUCUUCUUGUUUGAUUCGAAAAUGAAGAAAAAUGGUGUUAGGGGUUUCAAAACCGUCAAACACAAACCCUCACAUUUCUUCUAGAUCUAAGCUUUGUUUCGCGAAGAGAUAGAAGGGAAAGCUGCUCACCUCUCCGCUACGGUGCUAGAGAGUCAACUUUGUAAGCGACGACGUGAACGAAGUUUUUACCGGAAUAAAUCGCGGUAACGUAAUUGCUCGUUAAAGCUAUCAUUAAGGUAAGGGCUCCUUCCAAACUUUUAGCUUGCAUUUAGGGACUUAUUUGUGGUUGUGUGGAAAAUAAAUUUGUUGGGUUUGAAGUGUAGAUUUGGGGAAAAUAAAUUUAUUGCUUUUAUGGGUGAAAGUUUGGAGUUGGGUUUUUUGUGAAAUUGAUGAGUGUUUUCGUGAAAAAGGAAUUUGAUUCAUCUAUGUGUGUUUUGAGGAAAUGAAAUUUGAUGUGUUUGAGUGGUGGGUUGUGAUGUUUUGUNNNNNNNNNNNNNNNNNNNNNNNNNNNNNNNNNNNNNNNNNNNNNNNNNNNNNNNNNNNNNNNNNNNNNNNNNNNNNNNNNNNNNNNNNNNNNNNNNNNNNNNNNNNNNNNNNNNNNNNNNNNNNNNNNNNNNNNNNNNNNNNNNNNNNNNNNNNNNNNNNNNNNNNNNNNNNNNNNNNNNNNNNNNNNNNNNNNNNNNNNNNNNNNNNNNNNNNNNNNNNNNNNNNNNNNNNNNNNNNNNNNNNNNNNNNNNNNNNNNNNNNNNNNNNNNNNNNNNNNNNNNNNNNNNNNNNNNNNNNNNNNNNNNNNNNNNNNNNNNNNNNNNNNNNNNNNNNNNNNNNNNNNNNNNNNNNNNNNNNNNNNNNNNNNNNNNNNNNNNNNNNNNNNNNNNNNNNNNNNNNNNNNNNNNNNNNNNNNNNNNNNNNNNNNNNNNNNNNNNNNNNNNNNNNNNNNNNNNNNNNNNNNNNNNNNNNNNNNNNNNNNNNNNNNNNNNNNNNNNNNNNNNNNNNNNNNNNNNNNNNNNNNNNNNNNNNNNNNNNNNNNNNNNNNNNNNNNNNNNNNNNNNNNNNNNNNNNNNNNNNNNNNNNNNNNNNNNNNNNNNNNNNNNNNNNNNNNNNNNNNNNNNNNNNNNNNNNNNNNNNNNNNNNNNNNNNNNNNNNNNNNNNNNNNNNNNNNNNNNNNNNNNNNNNNNNNNNNNNNNNNNNNNNNNNNNNNNNNNNNNNNNNNNNNNNNNNNNNNNNNNNNNNNNNNNNNNNNNNNNNNNNNNNNNNNNNNNNNNNNNNNNNNNNNNNNNNNNNNNNNNNNNNNNNNNNNNNNNNNNNNNNNNNNNNNNNNNNNNNNACAACUAUCUGAUUGUAUCCCGAAUAGCCAUCUAGGAAGUAGUAAUAUUCAUGUCCGGCUAGCUGCUCCAACAUUUGAUCAAUGAAAGGGAGUGGGAAAUUGAUCUUUCCAGUAGCGUUGUUCAACCUUCUAUAGUCAAUACACACUCUCCAUCCUGUAACCGUUCGUGUAGGAAUUAGCUCGUUCUUUUCAUUUGUGAUGACGGUCGUUCCACCCUUUUUUGGUACAACUUGGAAGGGACUCACCCAAGGGUUGUCUGAAAUGGGGUAAAUGAGACUGGCUUCUAGGAGCUUUACCACUUCUUUCCUAAUCACUUCUUUCAUUUCCAGAUUCAAUCUCCUUUGGGGUUGUACUACCGGUUUGUGAUUGUCCUCCAUUAGGAUUUUGUGCAUACAAAAAGUCGGACUUAUUCCCUUCAAGUCCUCAAUGGACCAACCGACAGCACCCUUAUGCUUCCGCAGAAUUCUCAACAACUUUACUUCUUGUAACUCACUCAAGCUUGCACUAAUUAUGAAUGGAUUCUUAUCUUCUUCACCUAGGAAUACAUAUUUCAAAUGAAGAGGCAACUGCUUGAGUUCAAUCAGUGGUGUCUUUUUCUCUGAGGGCUUAUCUUCAUUCCCUUUCAACUCCUCCCAUCUUGUAGGAAAACGGGGGGAAUAGGAUGGUGAUGCUUCCAACAUGGCCAGCCAAAACCUCUUUCAUCUUUGGAUCUUCACUUUCUUUGACAACAUCUGGGGGUAGGCAUAACACUUUUUCUAACAGCAAACUGGGUGUUUGAUGCUCUAUUUCUUCGUUGACUAUUUCAUCUAAGAUCUCGAUUCGAUCGCACCCUUCUCUUUCUUUUGAGUGUUCCAUGGCUUUCAGAAUGUUAAAAGUGACUGUUUCCUCGUUUACUUUUAAGGUUAAGGUGCCAUCUGCUACAUCAAUCAUAGCUCGCCCUGUUGCUAAGAAUGGUCUCCCCAAAAUCAAAGGAAUGUCAUUGUCUUCCUCCAUGUCUAGUACCACGAAAUCCACUGGAAAAAUUAACUUGUCCACUUUAACCAACACAUCUUCCACUACUCCAUAGGGGUGUUUCAUUGAGCUGUGUGUCUUUGACUUUUCCAAUGCCCAAUUUUUUGUAUAUGGAAAAGGGCAUAAGACUCACACUAGCCCCAAGAUCACACAACGCCUUCCCAAAAUUUCUAUUUCCAAUGGCGCAUGGGAUUGAGAAGCUUCCAGGAUCCUUGAGUUUCAGCGGCAGUUUUCUCUGUAGUAUAACACUACAUUCUUCGGUAAGCAUCACUGUUUCACCGCCGAUUUUUCUUUUCUUCGAUAGGAUCUCCUUCAUGAACUUGGCAUAUGUUGGCAUCUGUUCUAGUGCCUCUGCAAAAGGAAUGUUAAUCUGUAAUUUUUUAAAAACAUAAGGAACUUACCGAAUUGUUUUUCUGUUUCUUCCUUUUUUAAUCUUUGAGGAAACGAAAGUCGAAUUUCUGGUUUUGGCAGUGAUUCCCCUUUUUGUACCACAGGUUCGUCCUCUUUUUCAAGAGUGAUGUGCUCCUCUACUAAGGUCGGUGUGACUGUUUCCUCUAAGUGGGUUGAAAUUGAAGUACUUACACUUUGUUUGGCUUUAAGCGGUACUUGUUCACUUACCUUGCCAUUCCUUGUUGUCACGACAUUGACAUUAUUUCGCGGAUUCGGAACCGUGUCACUAGGCAAAUUUCCAGUCGUUCUUUGUGCCAUUUGUUGAGCAAGUUGACCCACUUGAGUUUCCAGAUUCUUUAUGGACGCAUAGUGAUUUUUCUAGAUGGCUCUUGACUCUUCAGUGAAAGAACUUGUGGUUGUCACUAAUUUCUCCAUAGCACUCUCCCAAGCAGCCUUUCUAGGUGGGAAUUGGUUUGUUUGAGCUCCUUGUUGACCCUAAGAACCACCUUGCUGAUCUCUCCAAGAAAAAUUUGGAUGAUUUCUGCAACCAGGGUUGUACGUACUAGAGUAGGGGUUAUUCUGCCUCCCGUUAUUACUAACAAAAUUCACCUGUUCUAGUUCUUCUAACUCAUUGUCAUCCAAAGUUUCACAAGCUCCAGUUUUAUGUGCUCCUCCACAAAGGUUACAGGUAGUCUGCUUUAGUAAUUUGAUAGGAGCAACUUGGGGUUGUAUAUUUAGAGUUGCUAUCCCCUUCUUUAUCUCAGUGGCGAUAACCUCUUCUAUCUAUUUUGAGAAUAACCUGCCUGGGGCCAAUCCAUCCAUAACAUUCAACUCCAAUACACCACUUGUUGAUCCACCACCUCUGUCAUACAACAUCAUUUGUUCAUUUCAUGCCAUGAUCUCAAUAAUCUUUCGUGCUUCUGUUGCUGUCUUGUAAUUGAAAGAACCACCUACUGUGGCAUCCAACAUAAUUUUAGUGCUCGGCUCAAACCAUUGCAGAAUAUUUGCAUUUGGGCAGUGUCGUCAUAAGCAUGAUUAGGACAUCCUGCUAGUAAGUUUCUAAAUCUCCUGUAAGUGUCACAGAGAGAUUUUCCCUCUUUCUGUUUGUAACUAGAAAUAUCUAUUCCAAGAACUUAUCUUCAAGAUCAUCCCAUGGGGUGAUGCUGUCGGCAGGAAAGGAAUUAAGCCACUCCUUAGCAUCUUCUGUCAAUGAAAAUGGAAACAGUUUCAUUCUCUUGCCUUCCUCAGACAAACCAUCCACCUUCACUGUUUCACAUAAUUCAAAGAAAUUUGUGAGAUGUCUAUUGGCAUCUUCGUUAUGUCUACCGGCAAAAUGAAUCCCCUUCAACUCUCGAUAUAGAGUGGGACUUAAUUCAAACUUGUUGACUGUAACCGGUUGGUUAUGGAUGGGCAAUCGAUCACGAUUUCUAUUUCGAAUCCCAUAUUCGCCGAGAGUACGUUCUGGUAGUGGUGGAUCGGCCAUCUCAGUAAUUAUGAUGGAAUCACCCAAAACCUCUUCUUCCAUUACUAAGUGUCUUUCCCUUUGUCUCCUUUCUCGAGCCGCCUUUCGAUGUGCUUUCACUGUUUUUUCGAUUUAUGGAUCAAAGAUAAGUUCAGCUGAGGACUGGCCUCACAUACAAGGUUAAACAAAUUAUGAGUAAUGAACAAUUAAAGAAAGAUAAAAAACUUGGUUAAAAUUAAAGAGUUUUAAACUAGAAUUUUUUUUAAUUUUUUUUCUUAUUAGAAAUAAAAUAAAACAAGAAAUUUUAUUGCAGAGCAAAAAAUUUCAAUUCAAUAAAUAAAUUAAAUUCAAUAGUGAUAUGGCAAUCCCCGGCAACAGCGACAAAAACUUGAUAGCGUUUCAGCAAGUGUACUGAAUCAUUGCAAGUAAUAAUAAAACGGUAGUACCGAGUGUCAAACUCAAGGAUUGUGUUUUACUAUUGAAUUAUAUUUAGUUACUAAAAUUGAAUAAAAAUGUCAGGGAUGAGUUUCACUUCGAAUCCAACCUUGGCGUCUAAUUUGAUCCUAAUUAUUGAAUUCCUUUAUUGAAUUAUUACAGAAUUCUCUUUAUUAUUGUUGCCCUAAUGUCUUAGUCACAUAAUCUUUAAUUCCAAAGUAACCCAUAAUUCCUUAGUAGAUUUAAGAUUAGAAUUAUGCAUUACCGUAUAGAAAUUCUGUUGUAAAUUAUUGCUUUGCAACAAGUUUAAUUGGUUUCAUGACCUGCACCUAUGUCUAGACUACAAAUUCAUGAAUUUCUCAUCUCAAGCAUCCGUAAAGUCCACUUCCGUUUCAAAAUACAAAUCGUAGAACAUUUUAAUGUUGAUCAAGCAAUAAAAAGCAUUAAGCACAGAGAUGAAAAAAAUAAUUCAAUAAACUCAUUCAUAUAACUAGAAAUCAAAUCAUAAAAAUAAGGGUUUCAUCUUGUUACACUCAUCCCUAACAAAUACGGUUUAGUUACUCAUGACAGAGAUACAAGAGAUAGAGAUUAGAGAAGAAUUACAAGAAGGAUUCAUGAAUGAUUCUUGAUAAAACUGCUCCAAUGAUGUUAGAAAUGACCGUCUUUGAGUUUCUAUGCUAGGGCACAAGUCUCCCAACUUCCCAAGAGUCAAAAACAUCCAUAAAACAGUGAAAAAUUGCAUUUUUAUGAAUGUUGAUGCGCGUCGCGCGCCCCAUGGUCAUGUUGAUUUCUCACCAAAAUUCAGCACUGCACUAAAACAAAAUGCAAUGUAAAAUUACGAAAAAUUCCUACUUAAUCAAUGAAAUAAAAACAAAGAACAUUUUCUUAACUCAAAUAACAAAAAUCAACAAAAUAUAUCAAAUAAAUCCUUAAUUUAACUAAUGAUUGAAGAUAAAUAAGACUAAAACAGUGGGAAAAUAUGCUUAUGAUGAAGAGUCAUCAUACACAUAACGCUUUCACAUAAUGUUUACAGCGCUUUUCGAGCGCUUUGGAUAUAAACUCUGUAAAAUAUAGCGUUCUCACAUAAUGUUUACAGUGUUUCUUAGAGUUCGUUGUAUACAAGCGUUGUAAAAUAUAGCACUUCCAAAUUAAGUUUACAGCGCUUUGUAUAUAAGCGCUGUAAAAUAUAGCGCUUUCACAUAAUUACAGGGUCUUUUAGAGCGCUUUAUUUAUAAGCCCUAUAAAAUGGUGCAUAUUUGAUAAAAAUGAUUCCCUUUAAAUAAAUAAAAACAUAUUUAAUACGUUUUCUCCCUAACCCUACAAUCCUCUUCUACUGUGCGAACCCUCCUAUACUGUGCGUCGUCUUCUCGCUGAACCCUCCUUUACUACUCCUCUAUUGUGUGCCCAUUUCUACUGAGUGAUUGUUGUCUCAGGUACUAUAUUUAUUAAUUUGUUGUUGUUAGUAAAAUUGAUAAAUUGUUACCUGAUAAAUCAUAUAAAAUGUUACCUGAUAGUAGAUGACAUAACCUUGAUAAAUCAUAUAAAUUAUUACCUGAUAAAUCAGAUAAAUUGUUACCUGAUAAGUCAAAUAAAUUAAUACUUUAUAAGUCAUAUAAAAUCUAUUCUUUUUUGAAAUCUGUUUGAUCUGUUCUGUUUUGAAAUCAGACUUGUAUGCAUAACCUUGGACCUUGGUUUCCAUUUUCCAAUAUUAGACUAUAUAUACUAUAGAUUGGUAUAGUGUUAUCAAUAGCUUAUCAUUUGUGUAACACUGCAUUCAGAUUGGUUAUAUAAAAUGGACCGAAAAUGAAUGUCUGCCAAUCGAUUGUCAAAAGAGUAUGAAAAUGUAGUGAAUGAGUUUGUUGAGUUUGCAGUGAAGAACGCAAAAGACCCAAAUCGAAUCAUUUGUCCUUGUUUAAAAUAUUGUUUUGGAAAAUGUGUUAAAGCAGAUCAAUUGGAAGGACAUUUAGUAUGGCAAGAAAUUGAUCAAAGCUAUACAUGUUGGAUAAGACACAGUGAGAAAUAAAAAGGAAAACACUAAUUUUGAGAAUGGUUCGACAUAUGCUUCAAAUGAUUUCGACACGGAUACAUAUGAGCGGGAUCGGGUUGAGGAGAUUGCAAAAGCAGUUGAAGAAGAUCUUCGAGAUUGUCCUAAAAUGUUUGAGAGUUUGUUGAGUGAUGUAGAGAAACCAUUAUAUAAUGGUUGUACUAAAUUCACAAGACUGUUUGCGAUAUUAAAGUUGUAGAACUUAAAAGAGAUUAAUGGAUGGUCUGAUAAAAGCUUCACAAAAUUAUUUACACUCCUAAAAGACAUGUUGCCAGAUAAUAAUUAACUUCCCAGUCGAACCCUCGAGGCUAAACGAGUUUUGUGCUAUAUUGGCAUGAGUUAUGAAAGGAUUCAUGCGUGCCCUAACGAUUGUAUUUUAUUUGGAAACGAAUAUGAAUUACUAAAGGGGUGCUCGAAAUGUGAUGUCUCUCGAUAUAAGAAGAAAUAAUCUACUCCAACAAAAGUCGUGUGGUCUUUUCCUAUAAUACCAAGAUUUAGGCGCAUAUAUCACAAUGAAGAAGAUUCAAAACACUUGACAUGGCAUGCAUAUGAAAUAAUUAGAGAUGGAAAGUUUCAACACCCUGCAGAUUCUCCACAAUGGACAAAAAUUAAUCACGAGUAUCCUUAUUUCGGGAGAGAGUCAAGAAAUCCACGACUUGCACUUUCUACUGAUGGAAUGAAUCCACAUGAUCUUCAAACACUCUCACAACACGUGGCAUGUGAUUUUGUUGAUUUAUAACCUACCUCCAUGGUUAUCUAUGAAGCUUAAGUUUAUGAUAUUGUUUCUAUUAAUUUUUGGACCCAAACAAUCGGGGAAUGAUAUCAACGAACACUUGAGUCCUUUAAUUGAAGAUUUAAAAAAUAUGUGGGAGACAUGUGUGGAAGUUUAUGAUGGGUAUAAGAAAUAAUGUUUCAAUUUGAGGGCUAUGUUGUUCGAUACAAUUAAUGAUUUUCUAGCAUAUGGUAAUUUAUCAAGAUAUAGCAUUAAAGGUCAAUGUGCAUGUCCUAUAUGUGAAGAGAGUACAAAUUGGAUGCGGUUGAAACAUUGUAAGAAGAACGUAUUUCUUGGACAUCGUAGAUUUUUACCUUUUAGUUAUCAUUAUCGUGGGUGGAGAAAUGCAUUCAAUCUUAAAUCAGAGGAAGGUACUGCUCCUUUAGCACCGACUAGAUAUCAAAUAUUUGAAAAAGUGCAAGGUUUGACCAAUAAAUUUGACAAACUUUUGUGGGAGAGCUUGUCAAAACUGGGUGGAAGAAAAAGUCAAUUUUCUUUGAAUUUCCAUAUUGGAAGUCAUUGUAUAUAAGACAAUUUCUCGAUGUGAUGCAUAUUGAAAAAAAUGUAUUUGAUAUUGUUAUUGAUACGUUACUCAAUGUGUCAGGAAAGUCUAAGGAUGGCAUCAAUGCAAGAUUGAACUUGGUCGAUAUGGGAAUAAGAAAUGAAUUAGGCCCCGUAAAGAAAGGAAAUCGCACAUUUCUACCUCCAGCCGCUCAUACUCUAUUUAGAAAGGAAAAAAAAUUAUGUAAAUUUCUACACGAAGUUAAAGUUCUAGAACGACACUCUUCAAACAUUAAACAUUUAGUUUGUAUGAAAGACCUCAAGUUAAAAGGUUUGAAGACCCAUGAUUGUCAUGUUCUAAUGGAGCAUUUGCUAUCAAUAGGUAUACAUUCUAUUUUACCUGAAAAAGUUCAACGAGCCAUAACUAAAUUAUGUUUCUUCUUCAAGGAAAUUUGUAGUAAAGUGAUCGAUCCUCAGAAAUUACCAAACUUGCAGAAGGAAAUUGUUGUUACUUUGUGUGAGCUUGAAAUGUAUUUCCCACCCUCAUUUUUUGAUAUAAUGGUUCACCUUAUUGUUCAUCUUCUUAAGGAGACACAAUUUUGUGGGUCAACUUAUAUGAGAUGGAUGUAUUCGAUAAAACGAUAUAUGAAAAUAUUAAAAGGGUACGUAAAAAGUAGAAGUCGACUAGAAGGUUGUAUUGCUGAAUUUUCUACUGAAUAUCUUUCCAAUGUUGAAUCCAUAGGGCUUCCCAUGUCUCUUCAUUCGGGAAGAAUAACAGGAGAAUGGAUAAUUGAAAAGAGAGUAAUGACUUUAUCAAGGACAAAAUGGGAGAAGACACAAUUAUAUGUUAUGCACAAUGAUGAUGAUGUUCAAUCUUAUGUUACAAUACACAUGGAUCAACUAUCUAGUUUGUAGAUGCAUAGGAAUCAAAAUUGGAUAACACGAGAGCACAAUUGAAGUUUUAUAACAUGACUAAAAAAUCACAUUAACUCAAAGUUUGAUAUAGACCCCGGUUCAAUUUUCAUUGAGAUUGAGGUGGCUAGCAAAUGAUCCGAUUUUACAUGUAUUUUCUUACACCGGUUAUGUAAUUAACGGCUACACAUUUAAUACCAAAGAACAAUAUGAUAAAACCACUAUGCAAAAUAGCGGAGUCACUCUCAUAGUUGAAGCGAUGCAUAUCUCAAGUGCAAAAGACAAAACCUCAAUAUAUGCAAAUCUAUCAUAUUUUGGGGGUUAUUGAGCACAUAUGGAGUUAGAUUACACAAUGUUUCGUGUUCCCAUAUUUGGUUGCAAAUGGGUCGAUAAUAAUAAUGGCGUUCGGAAUGAUGAGUCAAGGUUCUUGCUUGUCGAUUUUAAUAGGGUGAAAUACAAAGACGAGCCUUUUAUUUUAGCAUCGCAAGCUCAACAAGUGUUUUAUGUCACUGAUCCUGCUGAUGAUAAAUGGUCCAUUGUCCUAUCGACCAAUAAAAUAAGUGAUGAUAACAAUAACGAUGAAGAUGUUGGUAAUGAUCUUUCCUUUGCAACAUCACAACCACGUGAAAUUUAUUCAACUGAUGAUGGUUUAUAUCUUAGAGAUGAUCAAGAUGAGGGAAUUUGGAUCAAUCCAUCGUUUUGUAUUGUUAAGGGACAAACAAAUGUGAAUCCCACCAGGAAUAGAAGAAGGGCAUCUUAAGGUGUUUGAGAGUUUUAUAUAGGCCAUGUAAUUUGAACUCAUCAUAUAAUUUAUACUAAGUUCAUGUAACCUGAAUUGCCAUAACUAAUUUCAUGUAAUUUAUACUUAGCAAUCUGUUUGACAUGCCAGAACUGAGCAUUUAGCAUUUAGCUUGAACUGUAUUUGAUUUUAUGCUUAUACUGAUUUUCUGCUUAUAUUGAAAUUGAACUAACUUGAACUCGAAAAAGCUAUGUUUGGCGGUGAAUUUUUCUUGAACUUGAAAUGAUCCCAAUCUAAACUGAUCGUGUAAUUUAGCAUUGAAAGAAAAAAAAUCCAAAUAUAGGUAUUUUGCAUAAACUUAACUUAAAUUGUAAUUUAGCAAUUAGCAUUGAUAUAUACGUAUUUAGCAUUUUACAGAAACUGAACUGAAAUUGUAAUUUAGCAUAUUUAACUUGAACUGAAUUGAACAUAACUUGUAAUUUUACUGCGCUUUUUGUCCAUAAGCACUGUAAAAGACUUUUAAAAAUUAAAUUACAAAUCAUUUACAGCGUUUUUUAUCUAUAAGCGUUGUAAAAUACUUUUAAAAUUAAAUUAUAAAUUAUUUACAACACUUGUUCUAUAAGCGCUUUAAAAGGCUUUUAAAAAUUAAAUUACAAAUUAUUUACAGUGUUUUUUGUCCAUAAGCGCUAUAAAAGGCUUUUAAAAAUUAAAUUACAAAUAAUUUACAUCGCUUGUUCUAUAAGCAUUGUAAACUUCUCAUAUAGAGCCUUUUAUAUAGUCUUUUAAAGCGCUUUUUAUAUAGUCUUUUAAAGCGCUUUUUGUAGAAGCGCUAUAAUACGUUAGGUCUUUUAAAGCGCUUUUUGGACAAGCACGGUUAAAUGGUUUUUAAGUUAACUGAUAAUAAAAAAUCGCUUCGUUUUCCUAUUCAUUACAUACUCUCCCUAAGAACUUGGUAAUGCGAAACCUCCUCAUUUUCCUCUUCAUUACUUACUCUCCAUUUUCUUUACACUCCAUACGAACCCUACUAACCCUCUUCUCCCUAAUGUGAACCCUCUUUACUACUAUCCAUACAAAUCCUCUCUAUACGAACCCUACUGAUACUCUUCUAACUAGUGCACCCUUUUCUCGUUGUUCCCUGCCAUUUCUACUUAAACAAAGUCGUAACCCUAAACUCAGUGAUUGUUGUUGUCAGGUAUAGUAUUUAUUAAUUUGUUGUUGUCACUAAACUGAAUGUUGAACUUAUACAGCUAUUUAGACUAUUUGAUGUUAAACUUGUUGAACUUAUACUGAACUUAUAAUUAUACUGUGUGAAAUGUAUAGAUAAAUGGAUUCCAAUAAUGAUUUAAAUCGUCAAAAUGAUGAAGUUGUCAAUACUAAGAGUUGUGAAAAUGAAGUUAAACGCGGGGAAACUAUUAUACAAAAGGUCAUCCAAGCAAGAAAUAAUGGAAUUAAAUUUGAGGUAUACUGUUUAGAUUUUUUUUUUUAUCUUUUCUGAAAACAUGCACUUACUCUAUGAGUUUAUUAGAUGGGAUGGAAUCAAAGUGGCCAACCAAUUGAGUCCAACAGUUCAAUGAUGGUAAGUUACAUUGGUGUAGUUGUUCGUCAAAAUAUCCCAAUAACAAUUGAUGAUUGGAGAGAUAAAGCUUUGAAGGAUGAUAAAGAUAUACUGUGGAAUGAUAUACAAGAAACUUUUUUACUCCACUUUUUUGUUACUUAGAAUUUUUUCCAUUGAAAUACUUUUACUCAAACUCUAUCUUUAUUUGGGUUGCAAUCUGUAAGACCCAUAAUUUUAAAGUACCAUUUAUGUAUUUUUGGUGUAUUUUGGAUUUUGGCUCGGAGGCUUUUAAGCCAAAGUUAAUAAUAUUUUGGAGUUUUAUAAUCAAAAAGAUAUUUUGAUGCCAAUUAAAAUUUCUCGUCGAUAAAUAAAUUGAAAUUAACUGCGGUAAAUACUUUACGGUUAAUUUAAGGCGUUUCGGGUGAAANNNNNNNNNNNNNNNNNNNNNNNNNNNNNNNNNNNNNNNNNNNNNNNNNNNNNNNNNNNNNNNNNNNNNNNNNNNNNNNNNNNNNNNNNNNNNNNNNNNNNNNNNNNNNNNNNNNNNNNNNNNNNNNNNNNNNNNNNNNNNNNNNNNNNNNNNNNNNNNNNNNNNNNNNNNNNNNNNNNNNNNNNNNNNNNNNNNNNNNNNNNNNNNNNNNNNNNNNNNNNNNNNNNNNNNNNNNNNNNNNNNNNNNNNNNNNNNNNNNNNNNNNNNNNNNNNNNNNNNNNNNNNNNNNNNNNNNNNNNNNNNNNNNNNNNNNNNNNNNCUCGCGGUACCGGAAACGCACGUUAAAGCUAACAUUAAGGUAAGGGCUCCUUCCAAACUUUUAGUUUGCAUUUAGGGACUUAUCUGUGGUUGUCUGGGAAGGAAUUUGUUAGGGUUUAAUGUAUCGAUUUGGGGAAAAACGAAUCUAAUGAGUUAUGGGUAAAACCUUAGAGUUAGGUUUUGGGAUGUAUUUGGGUGUUAUGUUGUGUUGAUUUGUGUUCGUCGUAUUUGGCGUGUUCAUACUUGAUGUUUGUUGAUUGAUGUGUUUUGGUGUGAAUUAUGGAUUGAAUGUGAGAGUAUAUUUGAGUUUGUUUCUGUGGAAUUUGAAAACCAUUAGAGUUAAACGAGUAUUAAAAAUGGGGAAUCUUUUAAUACCUCGGUUUACUUAAUGUGCGUUUGAGGAAAAUGUUUAAGUUAACUGGACGUUAAGAAUGGGGAAUCUCUUAAUGUCUCGGUUACUUAAUGCUUGUUUUUGAAAAUCGUUUCAGUAAAUGAGAAUUAAGAAUGGGGAAUCUCUUAAUGUCUUGUUUACUGAAUGUUUUGUAUGGAAAUCGUUUAAGUCACAAGUAUAUUAAGAAUGGGGAAUCUCUUAAUAUGUCUGUUUGCUUAACGUUUUGUUUUGAAAAUCAUUAAGAUAAAUCAGUAUUAAGAAUGGGGAAUCUCUUAAUGACUUAUUUAUUUAAUGUUGUUUUGAAAAUCGCUUAAGUCAACUGGGCGUUAAGAAUGGGGAAUCUCUUAAUGUCUUGGUUACUUAAUGUUGGUUGUGAAGGUCGUUUAAGUUAAAUGGGUAUUAAAAAUGGGGAAUCUUUUAAUAUCUGCAUUUGCUUAACGAUUGUUGUGGAUGGAGUCUGUGUAUGCUCAUGCAUUUCAUUUUGGUAAAUUGUGUUGACCCGUGAUAGGUGACACCUUGGUAAACUGUACUGACCCGUGAUAGGUGGUACGUUUACGAUUUACAUUUUNNNNNNNNNNNNNNNNNNNNNNNNNNNNNNNNNNNNNNNNNNNNNNNNNNNNNNNNNNNNNNNNNNNNNNNNNNNNNNNNNNNNNNNNNNNNNNNNNNNNNNNNNNNNNNNNNNNNNNNNNNNNNNNNNNNNNNNNNNNNNNNNNNNNNNNNNNNNNNNNNNNNNNNNNNNNNNNNNNNNNNNNNNNNNNNNNNNNNNNNNNNNNNNNNNNNNNNNNNNNNNNNNNNNNNNNNNNNNNNNNNNNNNNNNNNNNNNNNNNNNNNNNNNNNNNNNNNNNNNNNNNNNNNNNNNNNNNNNNNNNNNNNNNNNNNNNNNNNNNNNNNNNNNNNNNNNNNNNNNNNNNNNNNNNNNNNNNNNNNNNNNNNNNNNNNNNNNNNNNNNNNNNNNNNNNNNNNNNNNNNNNNNNNNNNNNNNNNNNNNNNNNNNNNNNNNNNNNNNNNNNNNNNNNNNNNNNNNNNNNNNNNNNNNNNNNNNNNNNNNNNNNNNNNNNNNNNNNNNNNNNNNNNNNNNNNNNNNNNNNNNNNNNNNNNNNNNNNNNNNNNNNNNNNNNNNNNNNNNNNNNNNNNNNNNNNNNNNNNNNNNNNNNNNNNNNNNNNNNNNNNNNNNNNNNNNNNNNNNNNNNNNNNNNNNNNNNNNNNNNNNNNNNNNNNNNNNNNNNNNNNNNNNNNNNNNNNNNNNNNNNNNNNNNNNNNNNNNNNNNNNNNNNNNNNNNNNNNNNNNNNNNNNNNNNNNNNNNNNNNACUAAAAACCUUCAGGAAAUCGAUUUGGAAAUCGAUUGGUAUUAAGUCAGGGGCUUAGUCAUCCUGUCAAUCGAUUGCCAAAUCGAUUGAUUCAGCCCAGGAUUCUGUUUUCAUUAAAAACCUUCACCCCAAUCGAUUUCCCAAUCGAUUGGCUCAGUGAAAAUCCUCAGUUUGAGUUAGAUGAUUGAUUACUCAUUAACUUAUCCAUGUCUUGUUUUGUUAUGUGUUAAUUAGGAGAUUGAGAACUUCAUUUUACUUUCAUUUUUAAUUGGCAAAGUAUUGUAUGAACUUUUCGCAUAUUGGAAAUCCUGUUAAGGUGCAUGCUUAGUUGAAAAGUUAUUUUGAGCAUUUAAAAACUUAAUUGCUAUGUGUUAACUGUUAUUUUUUGGUUGGUGACCCUUUACAACUAUUGUGGAAAUCUGGGCUUUGCCCUCAGAUGAGAGUCAGGACGGUCCUACCGGUUCGUACCCUACGGACGGGAAUGGAGAUGGGAACGCGUGACUGCAGUUACGUUAGGAGGAUCUCACGGGGCGCGUGGAGAUACUCAGGGUGUAUAGCUUUUUGGUAGGAUGAUCAGAUUAGGAUGAUGUAUAGGGACUAGGUGUCCUUCUUUUUGGUUUGGAGUAUUUUUAGUUUGGAAAAUUGUACUUAUACUAAUAUUGUCAGUUUGACAUCUCAUUUGAAUGGGUUACUUGUACCAUUUGUUGCUGUGUAAAUGGUUUGGAUUUAUAAUUGGAGAAACUUUUCCGCUGUUUGUAAAUAAUAAUGACUCAAUUAUUUAUCCAAAGACAUUUCUUUAUUUAUUUCUCUGUUUCAGUUUAAUUACUUUUGAAAAAAAAAAAAAUACACCAUCGCUUUGAAAAACGGGGUGUUACAUUAUGGUAUCAGAGCAUAGGUUUGGUUUUCUUUGGAGGCUGUGGAACCUUGGUUAUAGAUUGUAGGUCGACCUAUAAGUUGGGAAUUGUUAUCUGAUCAUGUGUCGGUUUAGGUGACUUGAGUUGUCAAGUCCAAUAUAAUUAUUAUGCGUUGUUAUAGUCGGACGUUAGUUUGGAAUUAUUUGAAGUAGUGUUAAGACUCUACUUGAUGAUGGUUUUAUAGGAAACCAUGCCGCCAAGAAGGAAUGACGCUCCGAGAGACAACGCUAAUAGGAAUGAUCAAAUGGCAGAGGCUAUGAAUAACAUGGCUGCUUCUGUCGCCGCACAGACUGCUGCCAAGACUCAACGGGAUCUUGAAAAGAGGGGAAGAGAGAUCCGUGCUGCAGAGUCAAGAGGGUUAGAAGACUUCCGUCGUUACAAUCCUCCUAAGUUCAAAGGGGAUGAGGGUUCAGAGAAGGCGGAUCAAUGGAUCCAAGAAGUGGAGAAAAUCUUUGACAUGAUAAAGUGUCAGGCGGGAGUGAAGGUCAGCUAUGCCACUUAUAUGCUGUUGGGGGAUGCUGAGUACUGGUGGAGGAGUGCAAGGUUAUUGAUGGGAGCAGCCCACGAGGAGGUGAACUGGGAAUCGUUCAAAAGAAAGUUUUUAGACAAAUACUUUCCGAUGAGUACCAGGACUAAGUUGGGUGACGACUUUCUGAAACUUCACCAGGGGAGCAUGACUGUGGGCGAGUAUGCUGCUAAAUUUGAAUCACUAUCGAGGCACUUCAGGUUCUUCCGGGAAGAAAUUGAUGAACCAUUCAUGUGUCAUCGUUUCCAAGACGGAUUGAAGUAUGAGAUUCAAGAUUCCGUCUUACCCUUGGGAAUUCAACGUUUCCAAGCGCUGGUGGAGAAAUGUAGAGAAGUGGAAGAUAUGAAGAACAAGAGGGCUAGCCGAGUAGGGAAUUUUAAUUCGGGAGGCCCUAGUCGGGCGAAUUAUCAGAACAAGGGGAAGCAAGUUGCUAAACCUUAUAAUCGACAAUAAGAGGGCUAGCCGAGGAGGGAAUUUUAAUUCGGGAGGCCCUAGUCGGGUGAAUUAUCAGAACAAGGGGAAACAAGUUGCUAAACCCUAUGAUCGACCACGAACUAACAGCGGUGGGCAGAAUCGCCCGGGGAACCAGAAUUUCGAGAGACAACUGGGACGAGUGGUCCGAUGUUUCCGUUGUGGGGAAGAGGGACAUUAUGCUAAUGCUUGUACCCCUAACACUCUCACCUGCUACACUUGCCAGAAGCCAGGACACAUGGCGAAGGAUUGCACGGCUCCAAAGGUGGAACCAGUUGUGAAUGCAGCUAGGGCUACCCGUCCUACUGCUAGAGGGCACAUUUAUUGUGUGAGUGCUGAAGAGGGGAAUCCAACUGGUAAUCUGAUUCAGCGUGACUGUGAGAUUGCAGGUAACACUCUAACUGCACUCUUUGAUUCGGGGCAACCCAUUCCUUCAUUGCUAUGGAUUGUGUGAAUCGCUUGAAGUUAUCUGUGUCUGCCUUACCUUUUGAUUUGGUUGUUUCCACACCUGCUAAGACUUUGACAGUGAAUUCUGCAUGUUUACAUUGUCAAAUGACUAUUCAGAAUAGGGAUUUCUUGGUUAAUUUAAUUUUUUUACCGCUACAAUCACUCGAGGUCAUCCUCGGUAUGGAUUGGAUGUCUUACCAUUAUGUGAUCUUGGAUUGUGCUCGUAAAUUGGUUCUUUUCCCCGAACCAGGAGUUGUUAAAUAUUUAACUGCUAACAAACUCCGAGUGUCGCUAAGUGAAGGGACUGAUGAGUUUUUGUCGCUGGCUAAUGUGGAGGCGAAGAUAAAUGUGAACAUAGAGGAUGUGAUGCUUGUCAAUGAGUAUCGGGAUGUGUUUCCGACGGAAAUCCCAGGAUUGCCACUGGUAAGAGAAGUGGAAUUCUUCAUUGAUUUGCACCCAGGAACGGGACCUAUUUCAAUGGCACCUUAUCGAAUGUCGCCAUUGGAAUUAAAUGAGCUCAAAAGCCAAAUUGAAACCAAGUGUAUCACCAUGGGGUGCUCCAGUUUUGCUAGUUAAGAAGAAGGACGGAAGCUCGCGCGUAUGUGUGGAUUAUAGACAGCUUAACAAGGCAACUAUUAAGAAUCGUUAUCCCUUGCCACGAAUCGAUGAUUUGAUGGAUCAAUUGAGAGGGGCCGCGAUAUUUUCGAAGAUUGACUUGAAGUCGGGUUACCAUCAGAUUCGAGUAAGGGAAGGAGACAUUCAGAAAACAGNNNNNNNNNNNNNNNNNNNNNNNNNNNNNNNNNNNNNNNNNNNNNNNNNNNNNNNNNNNNNNNNNNNNNNNNNNNNNNNNNNNNNNNNNNNNNNNNNNNNNNNNNNNNNNNNNNNNNNNNNNNNNGCGGUUCUUGCUUGGAGACAGCCUCAGACUGUCACUGACAUACGAAGUUUUGUGGGACUGGCAGGGUACUACAGGAGGUUUAUCGGAGGUUUUGCUAAGAUUGUGGCUCCACUGACACAACUUACCAGAAAAGAUCAACCGUUCGCAUGGACGGAGAAGUGUGAAGAAAACUUCCAGUUACUAAAGAGAAAAUUGACGACCUCACCUGUAUUGGUAUUACCGCAAUCAGAAGAACCCUAUGAAGUUUAUUGUGAUGCAUCUCACCAAGGGUUAGGAUGUGUUCUGAUGCAACACAAGAAAGCUGUGGCUUAUGCCUCAAGACAAUUGAAGAUUCAUGAGAGAAACUAUCCUACCCAUGAUUUGGAGCUUGCCGCAGUUGUUUUCGCAUUGAAGAUCUGGAGGCACUAUUUAUAUGGGUGCACAUUCACCGUGUUCAGUGACCAUAAAAGCUUGAAAUAUUUGUUUGAUCAGAAGGAGUUGAACAUGCGCCAGAGACGAUGGAUGGAGACUCUCAAGGACUUUGAUUUCACACUGCAGUACCACCCUGGGAAGGCCAAUGUAGUGGCUGAUGCAUUGAGCAGAAGAAGUGUAUCGGUGUCUUCAAUAAUUAUGGCUAGACAACAAGAGUUGUGGGAAGCUUUUAGAGACUUGCACUUGAACGUAGAAGCUUUUAGAGACCUACACUUGAACGUAGAGUUUGCACCGGGAAUUUUGAAAUUCGGAAUGAUUAAGAUCUCGAGUGGACUACUUGAGGACAUUGCAAAUUCUCAAGAUGACGUCUUAAUUCAAGAGAAGAGGAAUAUAAUAGUGCAAGGGAAGACGACUGAGUUCAAGAUUGGGGCAGAUAAUAUUUUGCGGUGUAAUGGUAGGAUUUGUGUACCAGCCAUUACAGAUAUGCGGAAAACGAUUUUAGAAGAGGCGCAUAAGAGUAAGCUGAGUAUUCAUCCUGGGGCAACAAAGAUGUAUCAGGAUUUGAGGCAGAAUUAUUGGUGGCCAGGAAUGAAGAAACAUGUGGCGGAAUAUGUAUCCACUUGUCUAACUUGUCAGAAAGCGAAGGUGGAACAUCAGCGACCUGUUGGGAUGUUGCAACCUUUGGAUAUACCUGAAUGGAAGUGGGACAACAUUUCCAUGGAUUUUAUAACCGGAUUGCCAAAGACAAGGAAGAAGAAUGAUUCUAUAUGGGUGAUAGUGUACCGACUGACUAAAUCUGCUCACUUUGUGCCGGUAAGGACCACCUAUAAGGUAGAUCAGCUAACAGAGAUUUACAUUGCUGAAAUUAUGAGGUUACACGGGGUACCAUCGAGCAUUGUAUCAGACCGUGAUCCGAAGUUCACAUCACAUUUAUGGGGAGCAUUGCACGAAGCAUUGGGAACGAAGCUACGAUUGAGUUCAGCUUACCAUCCACAAACGGACGGACAGACUGAAAGGACGAAUCAGUCCUUGGAAGAUCUGUUGAGAGCAUGUGUACUAGAUGAUAGGGGAAGCUGGGAUGAUGUACUUCCGUUGAUUGAGUUCACUUACAACAAUAGUUUCCACGCGACGGUGAAAAUAUGAUUGUCGGACCAGAGAUGGUGCAACAGACCACAGCUAAGGUAAGGAAGAUCAAGGAGAAAAUGAAGACUUCACAAGAUCGUCAGAAGAGUUACGCGGACAAGCGUCGCAGACUUUUGGAAUUCGAACAGGGUGACCAUGUAUUUCUGAGAGUCACACCUACUACUGGAGUAGGUAGAGCCUUGAAAUCGAAGAAGUUGACUCCGAAAUUCAUUGGACCAUAUCAGAUUUCUGCACGAAUUGGGCCGGUUGCUUAUCGGAUUGCAUUACCUCCGAUACUGUCCAAUAUUCAUGACGUGUUUCACGUUAAAGCUAACGUUGAGGUAAGGGCUCCUUCCAAACUUCUAGCUUGCAUUAGGGACUUAUCUGUAGUUGUGUGGGAAGGAAUUUGUUAGGGUUAAAUGUAUCGAUUUGGGGAAAAACGAAACUAGUGCGUUAUGGGUAAAAACCUUAGAGUUAGGUUUUGUUUAUAGUGAUGAAUGUUUCGUGGUAAAUGAAUUUGAAUGUCAUUGUGUAUGAUUAUGGGUAAAUGAAAUUUGAUGUAUCUGGGUGUUAUGUUGCGUGAUUUGUGUUCGUUGUAUUUGGUGUGUUCGUACUUGAUGUUUGUUAAUUGGUGUGGUUGUUGUGAAUUAUGGUUUGAAUGUGAAAGUAUGUUUGAAUUUGUUUCUGUGGAAUUUGAAAACCAUUAGAGUUAAACGAGUAUUAAAAAUGGGGAAUCUUUUAAUACCUCGGUUUACUUAAUGUGUAUUUGAGGAAAAUGUUUAAGUUAACUGGGCGUUGAGAAUGGGGAAUCUCUUAAUGUCUCGGUUACUUAACUAUCGUUUUUGAAAAUCGUUUCGGUAAAUGAGUAUUAAGAAUGGGGAAUCUCUUAAUGACUCGUUUACUGAAUGUUUUGCGAGAAAAUCGUUUAAGUCAAAAGUAUAUUAAGAAUGGGGAAUCUCUUAAUGACUCGUUUACUGAAUGUUUUGCGAGAAAAUCGUUUAAGUCAAAAGUAUAUUAAGAAUGGGGAAUCUCUUAAUGACUCGUUUACUGAAUGUUUUGCGAGAAAAUCGUUUAAGUCAAAAGUAUAUUAAGAAUGGGGAAUCUCUUAAUAUGACUGUUUGCUUAACGUUUUGUUUUGAAAAUCAUUAAGUUAAAUCGGUAUUAAGAACGGGGAAUCUCUUAAUGACUUAUUUAAUUAAUGUUGUUUGAAAGUCGUUUCGGUAAAUGAGUAUUAAGAAUGGGGAAUCUCUUAAUAUGACUGUUUGCUUAACGUUUUGUUUUGAAAAUCAUUAAGUUAAAUCGGUAUUAAGAACGGGGAAUCUCUUAAUGACUUAUUUAAUUAAUGUUGUUUGAAAGUCGUUUAAGUUAAAUGGGUAUUAAAAAUGGGGAAUCUUUUAAUAUCUGCAUUUGCUUAACGAUUGUUGUGAAUGGAGUCUGUGUAUGCUCAUGCAUUUCAUUUGGUAAAUUGUGUCGACCCGUGAUAGGUGACACCUUGGUAAACUGUGCUGACCCGUGAUAGGUGGUACGUUUACGAUUUACUUUUUGGUAAAUCGUGUUGACCCGUGAUAGGUGACACCUUGGUAAACUGUACUGACCCGUGAUAGGUGGUACGUUUACGAUUUACUAUUUAGUAAUUCGUGUUGACCCGUGAUAGGUGACACCUUGGUAAACUGUACUGACCCGUGAUAGGUGGUACGUUUACGAUUUACUAUUUAGUAAUUCGUGUUGACCCGUGAUAGGUGACACCUUGGUAAACUGUACUGACCCGUGAUAGGUUGUACGUUUACGAUUUACUAUUUAGUAAUUCGUGUUGACCCGUGAUAGGUGACACCUUGGUAAACUGUACUGACCCGUGAUAGGUGGUACGUUUACGAUUUACGUUUUUGGUAAAUUGUGUUGACCCGUGAUAGGUGACACCUCGGUAAACUGUACUGACCCGUGAUAGGUGGUACGUUUACGAUUUACGUUUUUGGUGAAUUGUGCUGACCCGUGAUAGGUGGCACCUCGGUAAACAGUACUGGUCUGUGAUAGGCGGUACGUUUACGAUUCCCGCUUUUUCUUUUAGUAAAUCGUGUUGACCCGUGAUAGGUGACACCAUGGUAACUGUACUGACCCGUGAUAGGUGGUACAUUUACGAUUUACAUUUUUGGUGGAUUGUGCUGACCCGUGAUAGGUGGCACCUCGGUAAACAGUACUGGUCUGUGAUAGGCGGUACGUUUACGAUUCCCGCUUUUUCUUUUAGUAAAUCGUGUUGACCCGUGAUAGGUGACACCAUGGUAACUGUACUGACCCGUGAUAGGUGGUACAUUUACGAUUUCCGCUUUUUCUUUUAGUAAAUCGUGUUGACCCGUGAUAGGUGACACCAUGGUAACUGUACUGACCCGUGAUAGGUGGUACAUUUACGAUUUCCGCUUUUUCUUUUAGUAAAUCGUGUUGACCCGUGAUAGGUGACACCUCGGUAAACUGUACUGACCCGUGAUAGGUGGUACGUUUAUGAUUUACGCAUUUUAGUAAAUCGUGCUGACCCGUGAUAGGUGGCACCUCGGUAAUUGGUACUUUGGCCUGCGAUAGGCGGUACAAUUAUGAUUUACGGCCCUUCGAGGAGGGUUUUGGUUUGGAAUUCCGAGUCCAUGCAUUUUGGCAUAUACGCAUUGCAUUAGGGUGCUUGGCACGCGAGUCGUAAUUGAUUUGAGUUUAUGAUUGAGUGAUUUGAAUUUUGAUUUAUCGUGGUAAUUAUGUUGAAGGUGCUAAGUGUUAUGUGUUGGUUAUUGGGUGUAAGUAUGAUGGUUGUCGAGAUCCCAAUUGCCGUGGUAAUUGCGUUGAAAAUGCUAAGUGUCGAGAUCCCAAUUGUCGUGGUAAUCGCGUAGGAAUCGCUAAGUGUUAGGUUGUGAACUUGAUUAGGAAUGACUUGGGUUAAUUCAUGAAUUUUUGGAAAAAUGAUGAGGGAAAUCGAUUUCCCAAUCGAUUGGAUGGAAGUCAGGGACUUGGCCAAAUGGACAAAAUCGAUUAGACAAAUGAUUUUGUAAUCAGUUUUCNNNNNNNNNNNNNNNNNNNNNNNNNNNNNNNNNNNNNNNAGGAAAUCGAUUUGGAAAUCGAUUGGUAUUAAGUCAGGGGCUUAGUCAUCCUGUCAAUCGAUUGCCAAAUCGAUUGAUUCAGCCCAGGAUUCUGUUUUCAUUAAAAACCUUCACCCCAAUCGAUUUCCCAAUCGAUUGGCUCAGUGAAAAUCCUCAGUUUGAGUUAGAUGAUUGAUUACUCAUUAACUUAUCCAUGUCUUGAUUUGUUAUGUGUUAAUUAGGAGAUUGAGAACUUCAUUUUACUUUCAUUUUUAAUUGGCAAAGUAUUGUAUGAACUUUCGCAUAUUGGAAAUCCUGUUAAGGUGCAUGCUUAGUUGAAAAGUUAUUUUAAGCAUUUAAAAACUUGAUUGCUAUGUGUUAACUGUUAUUUUUUGGUUGGUGACCCUUUACAACUAUUGUGGAAAUCUGGGCUUUGCCCUCAGAUGAGAGUCAGGACGGUCCUACCGGUUCGUACCCUACGGACGGGAAUGCAGAUGGGACAGCGUGACUGCAGUUACGUUAGGAGGAUCUCACGGGGCGCGUGGAGAUACUCAGGGUGUAUAGCUUUUUGGUAGGAUGAUCAGAUUAGGAUGAUGUAUAGGGACUAGGUGUCCUUCUUUUUGGUUUGGAGUAUUUUUAGUUUGGAAAACUGUACUUAUACUAAUAUUGUCAGUUUGACAUCUCAUUUGAAUGGGUUCCUUGUACCAUUUGUUGCUGUGUAAAUGGUUUGGAUUUAUAACUGGAGAAACUUUUCUGCUGUUUGUAAAUUAUAAUGACUCAAUUAUUUAUCCAAAGGCAUUUCUUUAUUUAUUUCUCUAUUUCAGUUUAAUUACUUUUGAAAAAAAAAAAUACACCCUCGCUUUGAAAAACGGGGUGUUACACAAUCAGCUUUUAACGAUGAUGUGCAAAAAAAUAAUGUGCUUAGAGUUUUCGGAAAAAUACAGAGGAUUUAGAUCUCAUAUAUCAUAUUGCUACUUAGAAGAUUGUGAUGGAAAUUUGAAUGUUGAAGCUCUAAAAUAUACAAACACUACAUAUCAAAUGAAGAGUGGAGCACUUUUGUAGCUAAACGUGCAGACCCCGCUUUUGUGGUAAUAUUAAUUUAUUACCAUUUGUGUUUUAUUCAUAAUCAUAGCGUAUUUUUUACAUGAUCGAUAAUAUUUUUUUUAUAUAGAGUAUAAGUAUGGCAAAUCGCGAGAGAGCAACAAAUCCAAUGCAUCCAUACAAAAAAUUGCAUUUGGGGUAUGCACAUUUAGAGCAAAAAAUUGUAAGUAAUCAUCACUUUUAUACAAUGUAGUAGAUUAUAAACUAUAGUUUUUAACUAAUAUUUUAUUUAUAUCUUAACGAAUAGAUUCAAGAGACAAAAUCCGAUCAACCAUUAGAUCGUCAUAUUUUAUGGAAGGAGACUCGUUUGAAUAAGGAUGGAAUAGUUGAUAAUGAAAAUGUUAUCACUUUAAUAAUUUUUUAACAUUAUCUUUUAAAAAUGAUAUUGAACUUAUCUUUUUAAUACUACAUGUAUUUUAGGAGAAUCUAGAACAAUGUUUUAAAAAUCCAGAGGAGAAUAAACAAGUUAGUUGUAGGGACAUACUUGAUAAGGUAUUUAAUGUUCCUGAAUAUUUUGGCCGUGUGAGGGGUACAUGAUUUGGCAUAACUCCAAAAUGUUAUUUUUCACAUGAGAAGCGCACAAAUUCAUCUAAUGAGGAAGUGCUAGAUAAGCUGAAAAUCCUAACAGAGCAAGUUGCAUUUUUGGUGAAAAAGAAUAAGGAAAAGCAACUUCCAGAGUGUCAGCUUGAAAUACAACUAGAUAGUGAAAAUGAUAGUUGCAACAUUGACCGUAAAAGUCCUCCAGAGGGAAUUAAUUACUUAGUGAAAUAAGAAAUUUAUUCAACCUAAUUGUUUCACAUACUUAUGUAUUAACCAUUGACUUAGGGUGUCUCAUCUUGUGUGCUAUAUUUAUCCUCCCUUACUCAUCGCAUGGUUGGAAAAGGAACAUUGUACAAUACCUUGGGAGAAGUAUUACACCAUAAUCUGAUCCCUAUCGGCCAUGUUAAAGUUUCACCUGUGAUUGCUUUAGAACCACUUGCACCAUUGCCUAUACCCGACAAUGAUGGAGAUAUGAAGUUUUUGGGAGAAGCAAUAUCUAGUUACGUAGCAUGGCCCAAAAAUUUUGUUGGCAUAGAUACAAUAUAUUUAAUCGAUAUGUAUGUGUAAUUGUAUGCUUAUGAUUGAUUAUGUUUCAUUGUUGAUUUUUCCGCUGUUAACUUUAAUUUCACAUUUAUUUAGAUUCUUACAAAGUCUAAAAGGAAUGAUAAAAAGAUUCCUCACAAAGAGUCAAUCACUUCACUAGAAAAUGUUUGAUUUAAGACCCUUAGUUUUAAAUUCUAAUUUAUGUAUUUUGGUAUUGAACUUUAAGGCUUUUUAGCCAAGUUAUUGAUAUUUUGUGAGUUUAAUGCCCAAAAAUAUCUUUUGAUGCCCCAAUUAAAAUUAUUCGUCGGUAAAUAAAUUAGAUUAAGUAAGGUGAGUCUUUUGUCGAAGAAUAAUUUAUUUAUGUUACGAAGAAUUUAAUACCGAGCAGUUUUGUUAAAAACAUCUCGGGUUGCUGAAAAUUUUAUCUAUCAAUUGAGUUGCGACGAGAGUAGAUAUUUUUAUCAAAAUAGUUUGAUUUAAUUAAUAUAUAUAUAUAUAUAUAUAUAUAUAUAUAUAUGAAAAAGAAAGAAAAGGAAAAAAGAAAGGAAACAAAAGAAAAAACAAACAUAACCUUUCUUCCUCUCCUUACUGCCUCGCGAAAUCCAUUAUUCAUUCUUCUUCUUUUGCUUCCUUUUUGCUUUCUUUUGCUUCAAGAAAAGAAACCCAAGGCUUGGUGGGUGAGAAAGAAAAGAGCUCCCAACAUUCUUCUUCUUCUUCUUCUUUGAUUCGAAAACGAAGAAAAACGGUGUUAGGGGUUUUCAAAACCGUCAAACACAAAUCUUCGCUUUUCUUCGACUUUUGAGCUUCAUUUUGAGAAAUUAUAGAAGAGAAAGUUGCUUAUCUCCCCGCUACGAUGCUAGUGAGCCAACUUGGGAAGGGACGACGUGAGCGGAGAUUUUAUUUGAAUUAAUCACGGUGUCGUAAUCGCUUGUUAAAGCUAUCGUUAAGGUAAGGGAUCCUUCCAAAUUUUUAGCUUACAUAUAGGAUGCUAUAUGUGUAAUUGUGGAGUUGGAAUUUUGGUGAAAUGGAUGUGUGAUUUUGUGGAAAAGGAAUUUAAUUCAUUUAUGUAUGUUUUUGAGGAAAUUAAAUAUGAUGUGUUUGAGGUGUGGUUUGUGAAAAUUAAUUUGGCGUGAUUUAUGUUUGAAAGUGUGGAAAUAUUUGGGUGAUUGAUGAUUGAGAUUGGUGUGGUUUUUGUGGAAUUUGAAUUGAUCGAAUUUAAUCAGAAUUGUGGAUUAAAUUUGAUGUGUGGUGGUGGAAAAUAUAUGUUUGAGUAUACUCUGUGUUGAAUUUGAAAAUCAUUAGUGUUAAAUGAGUAUUAAAAANNNNNNNNNNNNNNNNNNNNNNNNNNNNNNNNNNNNNNNNNNGUCAGAGUAUGUUCAUGCAUUUCAUAGUACAUGGUGACCGCGAUGGUUCCAUGGUGAUAGUGGUGGCCGUGAUGGGCCACGAGAUGAUGCCAUGUGAUUUGUUGGUUCAUCCUAUCCUUACAGGGAUUAUCGCGUCAUUUUGAUAUGUGAGAGAUUGCACUCUAGAAUGUGUUGAUCUAUGAGCGAUUGCACUCUAGAAAACAGUGUAAGGUCUGUGAUAGACGACACUUUAGUAAAUCGUGCGGGCCCGUGAUGGGUGGCACCUUGGUAAUUAGUACAAGGCCUUGAUAGGCGGUACAGUUACGAUUUACGCCCCUUCGAGGAGGGUUUUUGAUUGGAGUUCCAGAAAUUCAUGCAUUUUGGCAUAUACGCAUUGGAUUAGGGUGCUUGGCACGCAAGUCAUGUUUGAUAUAAUGUGAUAAUUGCGUGUGUAUACUCAGUUGUUGUUGUGAUUGUGCCGUAAUUGGUAAGUGUGAUUGUUUUGGAUUUGUUUGUAAGUGUUGAUUGAUUGCGAAACCAUUUCGAAACUAAAUUCUGCAUUUUUCUACAGUUGUAUUCGAAUACAAUAAGGUUGUAGUCGAAUAUAGUUGUCCUGAUUUUGCUACUGACAUCUGAAACAACAUUGUAUUCAAAUACAAUAAGGUUGUAGUAGAAUACAGUUGUCCUGAUUUUUCUGUAUUCGAAUACAAGGAUGUUGUAUUCAAAUACAGUUGUGUUGAUUUUUCUAUUAACUUGUGAAUUAGCACUGUAUUCGAAUACAAGGAUGAUGUAUUCAAAUACGACAGUGCAGUUUUGUUAAAAACUUUAUUUUUCAACUUGUUUAUGAAUGUUUCACAUAUGAAAACCCUUUCAAGGAGUAUGCUGAUGAAAGGUUAUUUUGUGCAUUAAAAAUUUAAAUGCUAAGUGAUAUUUGUUAAUUUCGGUUGGUGACCUUUACAAUUAUUGUGGAAAUCUGGGCUUUGCCCUCAAAUAAGAACCAAGAUCGUCCUACCAGUUAGUACCCUAGAUAUGGACACGUAGUUAGACAUACUUGACCGGCCCUGUGUCAGAAGGAUCAUGCGGGGCGCGUGGAGAUCACCUGAGUUGUAUAGUUUUUUGAAGCAUGAUCAGAUUAUAUGGUUGUAUUAGGGAUACAUGUCUUUCUUUUGUGGAUGUAUUUAUUUCAAUUUAGAAGAUUGUACCUAUACCUCAUAUUGUCAACUAGACUUUUAUUUUGAUGGGUCAAAGUACCACUUUUUGAUGUGACAGUGUUUUUGUACAGGUGUCUGCCGAGAAUACCCCAGGGGUAUGAGCUAUGUCUGAUAGGCCUCAUAGCCCGGGUGUAUUUUGCUAUUUAAAUACUUUGGAUUUUUGUUUCGAAAACUAUUUCCGCUGCUUGUAAAUAUUUGUUGACUUUUGUCUUUAUGUUACGACUUAAACAUUUCAUCCAAAAGUAUUUCUUUCUUAAUAUUUGAAAUUCAAUUUUUGUAUUGUUUUUUUUUAAAAAAAACGGGCUGUUACAUUUGACAUAUACAUCAAUUGUAUACGAAAUGAUUAGCUUACUGUAAUAACUAACAAACUGAUCAACCUCAUUUUUAUAGAUUCAAGCAAAACCUUCUGAAAGUGUUAAGAAAGUUGAUUCAAAAAAUAAAUUUGCUGCACCGCAAAUGCAGGUUCAUGGUAAACUAUUUAUUCAAUCACUAAUUUAUUUAGUUGGUUCUCCUAAAAUAAAUAUGCCAAAAAUCAACAUGCUUCUCCUAAUCCUAAAUAUGUUUCUCCUAAAUCUGCCAGAAAUCCGCUGCACCGCUAAUGUAGGUUUGUGGUAAAAAUAAAUAUGCCAAAAUUCAAAAACAGGAUUGUGGAAAAUCAGUUGCUGCUCCUAAAAUAAGUCAACCACGUCUUCCUCGAUUUGAGUCGUGUCUUGACAUACAAGUAAAAAUGAAUAUGGAGGGCAAUGAUGCACGUAUCAUACACAUGGAGAAAGAUAUUUUCGGAGAUGAGUACGAAGGAUUACUUGAUAAAGAGCACAUAUAUGAACUUCUCAAUAACAAUGAGCUGAGUGCUACUGUCAUCAGAUUUACAUUAGAUAAUGUAAAAUACUUUAUUUAAGAUAAAAAUUACUUUUAAUUGCAUCACUGCCACAUUUAUUGGUAAUUAAUCUAAUUUUAUAUUUUCAUUGAAAGUAUUUGUAUGAAAAGUUGGUUUGCAUGUGCAAAUUGACAUAUAGAUUUUCAUUCUUAUCUCCCCAUAAGAUAUCCAUAUUUAAACAUGAUCCAAUUAACAUAAAAAAAAUAUGUCGUUGAUAUACUUUUGGAAAAUAAAAAGAAGGAUAAGUUGUUUCUAGUGCCAUAUAAUUUAGGGUAAUUAGACAUUUUUUAUCUAUUUUUUUUUUUUUAAUUUAUGAUACUUUGUCAGUUGUGUAAACAGAUUUGCCAACCAAAUUUUUGUUGUUGUAGGCAACAUUGGGUGUGGUUUGCCAUCAUUGCCACCUCUGAAAUUAUGUACUAUUUGUAUCCAAUGCAUGGACAUUAUAACAAUGACUCGGAUAUAAAUAAUAACUUCGAUACGUAAAUAAUAUUCAUUUAUUUCUUACAUAUAUAAAUAAUGUGUUUGACAAUUGAAUAAUAAUCACAUUUAUUUGAUAGUGCUUUACAAGUUUUAUGCGCUCAAAGGGGUGCUACUGUGUCGAAGUAUUAGUCAAACAACAUCACAUGGAUUCCAAUAAAGGUUUGAAAUUAUUGUUAUAGAACUUAAUUAUAUGCCUUUAAAAUUUCAUUUACAAUCAAUGCAUAAAUAUUUAUUGGUGUACAUGUUUUAUUUUAUAGUGCCCUUGCCAAACUAUCAACAUAGACUGCGAAUACUAUAUAUUGCGAUUCAUAAAGGAGAUUGUUGAUAUGAAUCAAAAUAUAAUUUCAUAAAUGGUACGUUAUUUUCAUUAUAUUUUGAUUUUCAUAUAUAUAUAUAUAUAUAUAUAUAUAUAUAUAUAUAUAUAUAUUUGAUUCUAACUUAUUUAUGUUUAAAUAUUAUAUCGCAUAGUACUUUGACAACUCCAAUUCAAUAUACUUUGAAAAUGAUCUAACUGAAAUAAAGGAAGACUGGUGCCACAUUGUAAACUAUUAUUGUAUAUUUUUGUGUGAACUGAUCAAUAUUCUAAUUAGUUUAUUUUAUUUUUUUUACAGUAAGGUAAAGUAAGAAAUUGAUGGGAAAUUGACAUGCUGGAAAUUGCUACUGGCAUGAUAUUGUUGCUGUGAAUAUGUAAUUGAUAUUGUGAAUAUGUUGCUACUGAUGUUGAUAAUAGUAUUGAUGUAAUUGAACUUGUUGUUGUGAAUAUAUAGUACUGAUGUAAUUGAACUUGUUGUGAAUAUACAGUACUGAUGUAAUUGAACUUGUUGCUGUGAAUACUUAUUGUGAUUAUGUUUGAAUUAAAAAAUUGCAAUUGUGUCAAUAUGUGCUUGAUGAAUAUGAUUUUGGAAUAAAAUUGAAAUCUCAUUUAAAGACAACGCUUUUUAAAAAAAUGCCAUUAAAUACCUGUUUAUACAAACCAACAUUUUACAUUGUUUUUUAGAAUAGAUAAACAACACAUUUUAAAAUAUGCCUACUACAACGUUUUUUUGAAAAAAAAAAUGUUGUAAAAUUAGUAUAAGAAUGCAGCUAUUACAACGCUUCUUUAAGAAAAAUGUUGUAAAACUAGUCUAAGAACCGUUUAAAAUUAUUUAUUAGAGUAUAAUUUAAUUAAGUUACGAAAAAAUUUAUCUGUCAUUUGAGUCGCGACGAGGGUAGAUAUUUUUAUUAUAUUAGAUUGAGAAGUGAGUGAUGUGAUGUGUGUAAGAAUAUAUAUAUAUAUAUAUUUAUUUUAUAUGUGUAAGAGUGUUUAGAUGUUAUAAUGAUAAUUUUAUAGUAUACCUAAUUAUUUAAUAAUAUAUUUAUAUAUAUAUAUGCACGUGAGCCUGCCAGGGAAAGGAGUUUUUCCUUCAAUUCCUCAUCACCUCCCUUCUUCUUUCUCUGUUUUAAAAAAAUGAUAAUGUUGGUGUUAGGAAGGAAAGUUACUCCCCUCUACAAACGGUGCUUGUGAGCUAAUUUAUUUGAGGUGAAACACUUACUUCUUCCUCCUUUUUCUUAAAUUCGUAAACUUUAUACUGUGGGGGGUAUGAGUGAAAUUUUUGAGUUCUUAACAAAUCCUUUGUUGUUGUGUUGUUGUUGUUGUUGUUGUUGUUGUUGUUGUUGUUGAUGAUUUUGUUAGUAAUGUUUAAAAAAAAAUUUGAUUUUUGAUAUAUUUGAGUUAUGUAAUGAGUUAUUUUCAAAUAAAUGAGUUUGAACUGAAGUUGAAGUUUUACAAAAAAAAAAAAAAACUUAGAGUUGUUAAAGUUGUGAAUAGUUCAAAUUUGAACUAAGUUAAAGAGUUUGAGCAAAAAAGUUAGAUUGCAAUUAAAAUGUUUAGAGUUAAAAAUGUUACUAUUUUAAUUACUCUUGGAUUGAGUUUAAAAAGAAAAAAGUUUAGAGUACUUUAUUAACUCAAAUUUUUGGUACUUUAAUAAUUGAGUGUGUGUAUUUUUGAUUUGGAAAAUAUUUGUUUUAUUUAGUUUUAACUAAAUAAUGUAGAUUAUUUGGUUUUAAAAGAUUGGUGUGUGAAAAAUAUAUAAUUUUGAAAUUUUGUUGUGCUUGGAUAAAUUUUAGUUGUUGAACAAAUUGUUAUAAAUAUUUAUAUUUAUGUAGUUAGCUCCUUGAGUCUCGACAAGGAAUCGAGACCGUUGGCACCGAGUUAGCGGUGAGAAGAACUCUGAUAUAUUAACGUUGUUGUGGUGAUUAAAGAAAAAUGAUUUUUCUUAGUUUAUGCAUUUCCAAAAAUAGUUGUUAUGAUUGAUGAUCGGGAAUGUAUACAUGUGGUUAUGAAAUUUUUGAACUUGUGAUUUAAGGAAAGUUAGUGAAUUGUUAUUUCAAGUUUUUAUAUGCAUACUUUAAAUUUUUUUAAAAAAGUUUGCAUGAUUGUAAUUAAAGUUCCAAGUUUAUUAAGUGAAGGAGUUUAUUAACAUGGUGGGAAUUGUACAUUUUCUGACAAGUAGUUGAUUAAUCUCUUGUGGUGUGUAAGAGGACUGGACGUACCCUUGGUUAUAAGGGGAACCAGGAUAAAUCUUAUCGUGUUCAUUUACUUACUGCACUUGUUAUUAAGCCUUGUUCUUAAACUCAGAAAAUCUGAUUACCAUAUCACUAAAAACAAGAAAAUUUACUAACACCUAAUUCACCCCCCCCUCUUAGGCGUACUUCUAAACUAACAAUUGGCAUCAGAGCAGGUUAAGGUAACUUAUUCCUCGAUCAAUUACUCAUGGCUUCCGCACAACCUGUCUUUAGAGAUGGUGGUAGCAGUACCAAGCCACCAUGUUUUGUUGGAGAGCACUACGAUUUUUGGAAAAUCCGUAUGCAAGCAUAUCUCGAAGCACAAGGAGAUGACAUAUGGGAUGCCGUUGAAAAUGGUCCUCAUAUUCCAAAAACUGUCAUCAAUAACAAAGAAGAAAUAAAAAUAAAAAAUUCUUGGACGGAUGAGGAUAAGAGAAAAGUGCUUUUCGAUAAAAAGGCUAAGAACAUAUUACAAUCUGCACUAGGAAUGGAUGAGUUUUUCCGCAUAUCUCACUGUAAAACAGCAAAAGAAAUAUGGGAUACGUUGGAAGUAACUCACGAAGGCACCAUUGAAGUAAAAAGAUCCAAACUCAACACACUAUCACAAGAAUAUGAGUUAUUUCGCAUGCAGCCCGGAGAAUCUAUUUUAGAUUUACAGAAAAGGUUCUCCCAUUUAACCAAUCAUUUGACAGCACUUGGAAAAAUCUUCACAAAUGAUGAACUAAAUCUAAAAGUACUAAGGUCAUUGACAAGGGCAUGGCAACCAAAAGUUACAGCAAUAUCAGAAAAGAAAAGCCUAUCCAAGAUGUCUCUUUCUGCACUAUUUGGAAAACUUCAAGAGCAUGAAAUCGAACUCGGAAGGCUAGAACAAAAUGAAAGUCAAGAAAAGAAGAACAAAAAUAUUGCGUUAAAGACUGAAUCAAGAGAACAAAGCAAAGAGAAUGAUUCAGAUGAAGAUGAAAAUAUUAUCCUUCUUGUUAAGAAAUUUGGUAAAUUUCUUAAAAACGACAGAACAUUCAAAAAGAAAAGCUUCAAGAAGAAAGAUAAUUCUACAUCAAAUCAAAAUUUCACUUGCUUCGAAUGUGGAAAACAAGGACAUAUUAAAGCAGACUGCCCAAAUAUUGCUAAGAAGAAUUUCAACAGAAAGAAAGACUUCAAGAAAGCAUACAUAGCUUGGGAAGACAAUGAAGUAAGUUCAUCUUCAGAAACAGAAAGUGAAGAAUGCGCCAAUGUUGCAUUAAUGGCCUCGCAUCAAUCAGAUGAUGAAGAGGUUAGUAAUAUAGACUCUCCUCUUUAUAAUAAGACUAAUACUGAAUUAAUUAUAGAAUACAAUGAUGCUCAAAACGCAAUAAAAGAAUUACUCAUUGAAUGUAAAAAUCUAUGUAAACUAGUAUCAACACAAAAGAAACAAAUCUCAAGUUUACAAGAAAAAGUUGAUAUUAUGGAGAAAAAUUCUGAAAAACUAAAACAGAAUUCUGCAUGCAAUAAAUGUGAAUCCCUCUCUUUCGAAAUUGUUCAAUUAAAUAGAGUAAUUGAACGAUACGAAAAGGGACAAUUAGGAUUGGAAAAUGUUCUAAACAUGCAAAGAUACUCAAAUGAUAAAAGUGGUCUUGGAUACUCAAAAUUUGAUAAACCAAAUUUGAACAAAACUAUUUUUGUUAAAGCAGGUAGUCAAUCUAAUCAAGAUAAGAUUAUAGUUAUGAAAAAGGAUGAUCUUUAUAAUAAGAAAAUUAUUCAAAAUAAAUCUCAUACAUAUGUUACUAAUAGUAGAUUUAAUCCUACUUGUUCUUAUUGUGGUCUUCAUGGUCAUACACCUAAUACAUGUCAUAUUAGAAAUAUUAGUGUUCCAAAAGGUCAUUUCAUAUGGGUAAAGAAAGGUACUAACCAUCAAGGACCCAAAGCACAUUGGGUACCUAAUAAAGUUUGAUUUCAAUUUUGUAGGUAAGCAAACAAAAGACUUCAAACAUGUGGUACUUGGAUAGUGGCUGCUUUUAACACAUGACGGGGGAUAUAACAAAAUUUUCAGCUUUAACACUUGAGUCAAAGGGACAUGUAGUAUAUGGAGACAACAACAAAGGAAAAAUUUUAGGCAUUGGAAAAGUUGGUACAGCACCAUCUCCCUCAAUUGAAGAUGUCUUAUAUGUUGAAGGUCUAAAACAUAAUCUCAUAAGCAUCAGCCAGCUUUGUGACAAAGGAUACAAGAUAGUUUUUAAUAAAGAUGAGUGCGUCAUCCAAAAUGAAGCUACAAAUGAAACUCAGUUUGUUGGUAAGCGUUUCAAAAACAUUUUCAUACUUAAUUUUGAAGAUUUAUCCUUGAAAAUGAAAUGUCUUUUGGUAAGCGACAAUAAUGAUGCUUGGCUAUGGCAUAAGAGAUUUGCUCAUAUUCACAUGGAUCAUUUAAACAAAUUGGUCAAGCAUGAUCUUGUUGUAGGCUUACCAAAAAUAAAAUUUAUAAAGGAUAAAUUAUGUGACGCUUGUCAAAAGGGCAAACAAACAAAAAGUUCUUUCAAACCUAAAAAUGUUAUUUCAACUUCUAGACCGCUACAAUUGAUACAUAUGGAUUUGUUUGGUCCAUCAAGAACCAAAAGUCUUGGUGGAAACUCAUAUGGACUAGUUAUUGUUGAUGAUUACUCAAGGUUCACUUGGACCUUAUUUUUGGCAAAUAAAAAUGAAGCUUUUAAGGCAUUUAAAAACUAUGCCAAGCUAGUCCAAAAUGAACAAUCUAUCAAAAUUGUAUCAAUUAGAAGUGAUCAUGGAAGGGAAUUUCAAAAUACUUCGUUUGAAGAAUUUUGUGAAGAAAAUGGUAUUUUUCACAAUUUUUCUACACCAAGAACACCACAACAAAAUGGGGUCGUUGAGAGAAAGAAUAGAUCCUUAAUAGAGCUUGCUAGAACUAUGCUAAGCGACUCAAAUCUACCAAAAUACUUUUGGGCAGAUGCUGUAAACACAGCAUGCUAUGUUUCCAACCGGGUAAUUAUUAGGCCAAUUCUUAAGAAAACUCCAUAUGAACUUUACAAAGGUAGAAAACCCAAUAUCUCUCACUUUCACAUUUUUGGAUGUAAAUGUUUUGUGUUAAAUAAUGGUAAAGACAACCUUGGAAAAUUUGAUGAAAAAGCUGAUGAAGGUAUAUUUCUCGGUUACUCUUUAUCUAGUAAAGCAUUUAGAGUCUUUAAUAAAAGAACCUUAUUAGUUGAAGAAUCAAUGCAUGUAACCUUUGAUGAAACUAACCCCAUAAAAGAAGAAAAUAUUAUUUCUUGUGAUGAUGAUGAUGUUUUUGAAAGUAAUGAUCCAAGCAAAGAACUUCAACAAGAAAGUGGAGUCAAUAUUGAAAGGCAAAGUGAUGAUCUUCCUAAAGAAUGGAGAACCCAUAGAUAUCACCCUAUUGACAACAUCAUAGGUGAUAUAAAUAAAGGAGUCACAACAAGGUUAAAAUUGCAAGAUGCCUGCUUAAACAUGGCGUUUGUUUCUCAAAUCGAACCCUCCAAAAUUGGUGAAGCACUUAAAGAUGAUCAAUGGAUACUUGCCAUGCAAGAAGAACUCAAUCAAUUCGAAAGAAGCCAAGUUUGGGAACUUGUUCCUAAUCCUGGAAAUAAACACAUCAUUGGUACAAAAUGGGUGUUCAAAAAUAAACUAGAUGAGAAUGGCAUAGUUGUUCGCAACAAAGCUAGAUUGGUUGCUCAAGGAUACAAUCAAGAGGAAGGGAUAGACUUUGACGAAACAUUUGCUCCGGUAGCAAGACUAGAAGCCAUACGUCUACUAUUAGCAUAUGCUUGCUCCAUGAAUUUUGAGUUAUAUCAAAUGGACGUGAAAAGUGCAUUUCUCAAUGGGUACAUAAAUGAAGAAGUUUAUGUCAAGCAGCCCCCUGGAUUUGAAGAUUCCAAAAAUCCCUCACACGUUUACAAAUUGAAAAAGGCUCUUUAUGGUCUAAAACAAGCUCCAAGAGCUUGGUAUGACAGAUUAAGCACCUUUUUAUGUGAACGAGGAUUUGACAAAGGAGAAGUUGAUAAAACGUUAUUUGUCAAAAGAGAAAAUGGUCACACAUUAUUGGUUCAAAUUUAUGUUGAUGAUAUAAUAUUUGGAUCAACCAACAAGGACAUAUGUGAAGAAUUCUCUUCAAUAAUGCAAGGAGAAUUCGAAAUGUCCAUGAUGGGAAAAUUAAACUAUUUUCUUGGACUUCAUAUCAAGCAACUUGAGCACGGCAUCUUCAUCAAUCAAGCCAAAUAUUGUAAAGAAUUACUAAAGAAAUUUGAAAUGGAGAAUUGCAAAGAAAGUACAACUCCAAUGGGCUCCGGAACAUAUGUUGAUAAAGAUGCAUCAGGAAUUUCCAUCGACAUAUCCAAAUAUCGAGGUAUGAUUGGAUCAUUAUUAUAUCUAACGGCCAGCCGGCCAGAUAUCAUGUUUAGUGUUUGUUUGUGUGCAAGAUUUCAGGCAGAUCCGAAAGAAUCACAUCUAGUAGCUGUUAAAAGAAUUAUGAAGUAUCUGAAAGGAACAACAAAUGUAGGCCUAUGGUAUCCUAAGGGUAGCAUAUGUAGCCUAGUAGGAUACUCUGAUUCGGAUUAUGCGGGAUGCAAAACAGACCGUAAAAGCACCAGUGGCACAUGUCAUGUCUUAGGAAAUGCCCUUGUUUCAUGGUCUUGUAAAAAGCAAGCUUGUGUUGCACUUAGUACUGCUGAAGCUGAAUAUAUUGCAGCAGGAAGCUGUUGUGCCCAGAUUCUCUGGCUCAAACAGCAAUUACAUGACUAUGGAGUUGAUCUCGGAUGCAUUCCCUUAAGAUGUGAUAACACAAGCGCAAUAAACAUCUCAAAGAAUCCAAUCAUGCACUCCAGAACUAAACACAUCGAUAUCCGACAUCAUUUUCUACGGGAUCAUGUACUUAAAGGUAAUGUUGAGGUAACAUUUGUUGAUACACACAAUCAAUUGGCCGAUAUUUUUACAAAACCGUUACCUAAAGACUCAUUUUAUAAAAUCCGAAGAGAACUUGGUAUUUUGAGUGAAUUUGAUCUUUAACCAUUGCAUGAUAUACAUAGUUUGCCAUAUCUCUUAUGUCUUAUUGAUUAUUUCCUUUUGAUAUAUGAAUUUGUGUAUUACAUGAUGCAAUUUUCAUAAAAAAACUGAGUUUUUAAGCAAAACUGUACUUACGUAGUCGAAUACAACUGAUUGUAUUCGAAUACAAACUUUCCCAGAAUUCCUGUAUUCGAAUACAAAGGAUGUGUAGUCGAAUACACGUUCCCAGAAAAAUGUGUAUUCGAAUACAAGAAGGUGUAGUCGAAUACACCUUCGCGUUUUUGCCCAGAUAUAAAAGCUGCUACACAUAAGUUAGGGUUAUUUCAGUUGGUAUUCGAAUACAGCCUCAGUUCCUUCUCUCAUCUCUCUCAAACUCAUCCAUCCUCCUUCCACUUACUUACCCAUUCACUCAACCUAACAAAAUCCAUUACUCUUUACUUCCUUCUUGUCAUCCCUCUUCAAAUCUCUCACAACUCUCACAUUUUCUCUAAAACCCACUUUCACCAAAAAUACCCUUUCUCACCAUGGAUGCUCGCAAACGAGGACCACGCACCAAACAUGCCGCAGUAGGUCCCUCACGAAAACGAACCAAGACUCCCAACAUCACGGAUCUAUCCCGGCUUCUACACACACCGGAGGAAAUUGAUCGUUUUCGCACCUUCUACUCGGACAAGCGCCUUAUUAUCCCCAAAUACGGUACUUUGGACUCUUUUUCUGAUUUUAAAUUUCCUGCGUUGCUUAAAGCACAACAUGUUGAAGAGUUUAUAGGCUACAAUGGUCCAGUUUAUCCAGAUUUGGUUAGGGUUUUUUAUUGUAAUCUCAUACAAGAGGGCAAACUGCUAGUCUCGCGCGUUAAGGGUAAAGUUAUUCGUUUAAAUACCAAAACCAUUGGCGAAAUUCUGAAUAUUCCUUUUAAUGGUGAACAAUUUUGUCCAAACAAUUUAUGUGAAUGGGGUGAUAUUUCUAAGUAUGAUGCGUAUGUCUCUCUCUGUCGGUUUGAUCGCCGCACCAUGGAACAAAAGAGAGCUCAGGCAGGUUCCAAAUAUGCCCAGCAACGGUAUGGUGUGGGAAAUCUUACUGUUGAUUAUUGGCUUCUACACUAUUUCCUUAGCUACAUUUUGGUUCCGAAGGCUGGAAAUUACUCCCAAAUUUCGGAGUUUGAACUGCAAAUUAUGAAUUUCAUGUUUGAAGGUCGUCAACUUAAUUGGGCAUUUUUUGUGAAAUCUAUCAUGCUUGGAUCUCGCGAAGCAAUUGGCUUACCAUAUGCAAAGGAAGUUUCACGAAUUUUGGAACACUUUGGUGUGGACUUUGCUGAUGAGGUUAUGUUUACUCCCACCAAAGAAAAUCUGUUGGAUUUAGGUGUCUUGCCUAGCAUGAGGAUCGUAUGGAAUGAUGAGCUUGAAGCCUUUGUGCAUAAAGGUGAUCAUGGUCCACCUUCUGAAGAUGCACCGGCGGACACUGCUGGACCAUCCAACACUGCUGCUCAAGGAGAUGAAGAUGGCGAGGAAACUGCAUCUGAUGAUGAUUAUAUCUCCAAUCAAAUGAUCAUGACUCGCCUUGAUUCUUUCCAAACUUUCUUCCAAACUCAAUUCGACAAGUUGACCACCUCUAUCGACACUCGCUUCACCACCAUUGAAACUACUAUUGCUCGCAAUCAUGACGCACUAUCUCAAGACAUUAGUCAAUUAUCCGACAAACUUGAUCAUUUCCACAUUCCGACGGAAUUUGAUUAAGUCUUUAAAUUGUGUACUAAGUUCACUUUUUGUAUUCUGUGUUAUUGUAAUAUUUGCUUUAUGAACUCCUUUUGUCGUUUUAAUUCUGGUGUAUUUUGUAUUACUCGUUUCGGGACUUGUUAUGUAUUCACUUCUAUGAUAUUCUGACUUAAUUUCCAUUUCUGCUAUUCUUGUUCCCUUAUAUGCCUUUUGUGUAUGAUUUUGCUCGCAACGUGUAUGUCUCUUUUUCUUUUCUAUUCUUCUUCUUUUUGAUCAUGUCAAAAGGGGGAGAAAAUUUGGUGUUGUUGUUGCAUUUCAAACCUUGUAGGCACUCAAAAACAAUUUUCAAAUCAUCACAUACAACGGGGGAGUAUGCACCUAUUACGGGGGAGCAAAGAUUUCAACAUCACACUCUCUUCACAACAACAUUUUGUCAUAAUCAAAAAGGGGGAGAAUGUAAACUACAUGUUUUUGAUGACGACAAGACCACCAACUAUGGACAAUGCAGCAAGAUCAAAAAGAAGAUCAAACCAUCUUGAAUGAGCUUCCAAAUCCAAAUAAUAAAUGAGUAAAUAUAAAGGUAUAUGAUACAAAUCAAUAGUUCAAAUACUUGAGAACAAUUCAUAUUUACAUAUGCAUUUAACAUGUUUUCAAAAAUCAAAAACAACAUUAACAAAUCAUUUAAAAUCAUAUUUUUGACAAUUUGCAUAAGUGUAUUCGAAUACACCAUGUUGUAUUCGAAUACAACUUAAGUCAGAAGCAAAACGUUAAAUGGUGUAUUCGACUACACCCAUCUGUAAUCGAAUACAAGCUAAGUCAGUGGCCAAGUGUAUUCGACUACACCCAUCUGUAGUCGACUACAUGCUAAGUCAGUAGCCAAAUGUAUUCGACUACACUCAUAUGUAGUCGAAUACAAGUUAAGUCAGAGGCUAAAAUACAUUGAUCUGUAUUCGACUACACUGAUGUGUAUUCGAAUACAAGGUGUAAAAUUCGAAUUUUUUAAACGUUACAAAGAUGUGUAUUCGAAUACACAUAUACUGUAUUCGAAUACACCUGGAAACAUUACAAUUUUUCAGAUCUGGAAUGCCUCUAGAACAUUGUAAUUUUUCAUCAAACCUCUUGGAUCAAUGGCCACGAAUCUGAAAGCAUGUUUUAUGGAGUAUAAAUACCCCAUAACUUCAGAUCAAAAAUUAACGAUCCUUAAAUUAAUUUAUUUGAACAACUUUGAACAAAAUUCUGAUUUUUCUAAGUACUUGCAUUAGAUUUUCAUAUCAUUCUAAAAAGUUCUCAAGUACUUGAAUUACUAUUGAGUUGUUUAUCAAUAUACCACUUCUUAGAUUUAUUCAAACCUUAUUGUAUCAUUUGUACAAGUAAGAUAGUGGUGUGCUAUCUUAGAAAGAAUUGUUAGAAGUUUUGUAGCAAGAAUCCCAGGGUGGGAAUUGUACAUUUUCUGACAAGUAGUUGAUUAAUCUCUUGUGGUGUGCAAGAGGACUGGACGUACCCUUGGUUAUAAGGGGAACCAGGAUAAAUCUUAUCGUGUUCAUUUACUUACUGCACUUGUUAUUAAGCCUUGUUCUUAAACUCAGAAAAUCUGAUUACCAUAUCACUAAAAACAAGAAAAUUUACUAACACCUAAUUCCCCCCCCCCCCCUCUUAGGCGUACUUCUAAACUAACAUAAGCAUUGCAUUAGGGUGCUUGACACGUGAGUCAUGUUUGUUACAAUAUGAGAAUUAGAUGUACAUACUCUGUUAUUGUUUGUUAUCAUGUCGUAAUUGCUAAAUGUUAUUGCUUGUCUUUAUGACGUAAAUGUUAAAUGUUAUUCGUUAAUUUCGGUUGUUGACCCUUUACAUUAUUAUGGAAAUUGGGGUUUGCUCUCAGAUGAUACCCGAGUUCGUUCUACCGACUGUUACCUUAACGACGGAAACAUCAUUAGACUUCCCUGACCUACAUUCGCCGACUGCUUGGGUAUAUGACCCCAUCUCAAGCAGGACUACUUAUAUGGGGAGGGUAGUGAGGACAAGUAGUUAAGCUGGGACAUUAUAUCUCGUGGAGUUCACUCACGAGAGGAUCGACUAUCCAGUACCCUCAGGAUUGGUGCUCGAGAUGAAUGGAGCAUAUGAUUCCCCAGUUAGAGUUGAGGCAGAGGCCACCGUAGGAGCUAGGAAUAUAGUGGUUGGGCCGGGGAUUGGGGAUAAGGAUAAGGGGUCGAUGCUAGUGGAAAGAUAUAUUGCAGGACCGUGUAGGCGGGUCGAGCCAGAGUUUCCACUUUCGGUGAAUGAUCCUUUAUCGGCUGUCACUGAAGUAAUCGACUGUUUUGAGAUUCCAGCGCCGCUGAAGCCACAUAUCUCGUGGGUGGAUAUGACUUCUAAGGAGACUGAUCCUUCUAUGGGUGAUGAUGAGGAGGAAGUUACAUCGAGGAGAGAUAUUGCGUCAGAAGGAACUUGCGGAGUGUGUGGAGGUCACCCUUGCUAUUGUAGUUGCUUGUGGAUGAUCAGAUUAAUUUUUGUUGUAUAGGGACUUAGUGUAUUUCUUUUGGUUGUUGUACUUAUUUUGUUUUAGGAUGACUGUAUGUAUAACAUAUAUUGAGAGUUGACUAAUGUUUGGCGGGUCCAUGUUCGACUUUUUUUGACGUGACCAUGGGGGGAUAACAUUCUUGGAGCAGCACUUUUGUGCAGGUGUUUGCCGAGAAUACCCUAGGGGUAUGAGCGAUGUCUAAUAGGUCUUAUAGCCCUGGUGUAUUUUCUAUUUGUAUACUGUAGACUAUUGGCCCAAAAACUAUUUUAGCUUGUUUGUAUAUAUGAUCUAAUUAUUUAUGACUCUUGUUGUUUGUAUUAUGACAUGAUAUUUUAAUAAUUUAUUUUAAAAAAAUGCACUCGCUUUGUUAAAAAUUGAGGUGUUACACUGGAAAAUGCUAUUUUGGCGUAGUGUAUGCAAUAAAUCAGAAGCAAGAUCAGAUCUGAGAAACGAACAAUGUUCUAGUUAUUAAAUAUAAAAAAUGAAGAACAUUAAGGACAACAUUCUAAAAAACGAAGAUCAAUUUAGACAACAGUUUGAAAAACGAAGAUCAUUUUGGACAACAGUCUGAUAAAUGAAGAAUGUUCUCGUUUUGACAGCAUUAAUCCAAGAACAUUAUGGUUUAUUGAUAGUGUUUCAGCAAGUGUAAUGGAUCGUUGCAAGUAAUAAUUAAAACGGUAGUACCGAGUGUCGAACUAAAGGAUUGUUUUUUAUUAUUGAAUUAUAUUUAAUAACAAAAAUUGAACAAAAAGUUUCUGAUUUGAUUGAAAUAAUAUUUAAAACUAACAACGAUAAUAAAAUUGAUCAUUUGUAAUAAGAAAAAUGUCAGGGAUGCGUUUCACUUCGAAUCCAACCUUGGUGUCUUAUUUGAUCCUAGUUACUGAAUUCAUUUAUUGAAUUAUUACCGAAUUAUCUUUAUUAUUCUUGCCCUAAUGUCUUAGUGACAGUACCUUUAAUUCCAAAGUAACCCCUAAUUCCUUAGUGGAUUUAAGAUUAGAAUUAAGCAUUACUGUAUAGGAAUUCUCUUUUUAAACUAUUGCAUCUACAGCUAAUAUAAUUGGUUUCAUAACUUGCAUCUAUCCGUAGACUAUACAUUCUUGAAUUUCUCAUCUCAAACAUUCGUAAAGUCCACUUCCGUUUCAAAAUACGAAUCGUAGAACAUUUUAAUGUUGAUCAAGCAAUAAAAAUUAUUAAGCACAAAGAUGAGAAAAAUAAUUCAAUAAACUCAUUCAUAUAACUAGAAAUCAAAUCAGAAAAAUAAGGGUUUCAUCUUGUUACACUCAUCCCUAACAAACAAGGUUUAGUUACUCAUCACAGAGAUAAAAAAGAUAGAGAUUAGAGAAGGAUUACAAGAAAGAUUCAUGAAUGAUUCUUGAUAAAACUGCUCCAAUGGUGUUAGAAACGGUCGUAUUUGAGUUUUAUGCUAGGGCACAAGUCUUCAAACUCCCCAAUAGUCAAAAACAUGCCUAUAAAGUAAAAAAAAAAAAUGCACUUUAAUGAAUGGUUCCGUGUGACAUGCGCUUCAGGCGCGGAAUUUGCGCUUCAAGCGCAACUCAACAGAUUCAAAAGGGGGGAAAUGUGCCCCGGGCGCAGCUGUUGCGCUUCAGGCGCACAACAUCUUAUGUUUGAUGUUUUCUGCAUUUUUAUCCUCUUUUAAUUCUGAAUGGGGUUCCAGUGUCUACAUGAAAGUUAUAGUUAUAGAUCUUAGUUUUCAUUUUCACUUGGUUUGACUCCAAUUGGAUAUCUACAACUCCAUAUAUGGCCGAAAAACCACACAUAGUUCAUGUUGAUUUCUCACUAAAAUUCAGCACUGCACUAAAGCAAAGAAAAUACCCAAAACUACGAAAAAUCUCUACUUAACCAAGGAAAUAAGAACAUAAAUAUUUCAUUAAAUCAAAGAACUAAAACCAAUAAAAUAUAUCAAAUAACUCUUCAAAUUAGCUAAUGAUUAAAGAUAGAUAAGACUAAAAACAAUGAAACAUAUGCAUAUGAUGAAGAGUCAUCAUUUAUAAAGAACAAAGUCUUCUUUAAUUCAAGAUCGAUUUGGGUUAUGAAAAUAAAUCAAUCUACAUUACGAAUCACCAAUAUUUAUUACAAAGGAACAUAAUUAUAUACUCAAGAUCAUUUUGGACAGGUUAUUUCCAUAAGAUCAACAAAAAGCAAAGCAAUGCCUCAAGAAUAAAAAGCAAGAUUAAUCCCUAAAGUUGAUGGCUAAAAGUAAGCAAGUACAAACUGGACAGAAAUGAUAAAGUCACUGCAUCAUUGACACACGUACAUAACAAAAAAGCUUGGCAUGCAACAGUUUUCAAAAUUGUCAAAAUCCAGCAAUCACCCAAAAUGGAAACGAAGAACAUUCUCCGUUUUCACAACUUUAAUCAAAGAACUUAUGGGUUACAAAGAGAAAAACUGUUGUAGUUUAAGAUCGAUAUAAACUACGAAAGUACAUUUAUGUACACUAAAAAACAUCAGUAUUCAUUACAGAAGAAUUUAAUAAUCUACACAAGAUUGUUUUAGAUAGAUUCGAUCAAAGGGGAUCAACAAAGGCAAAGCAAAAUAUCAAGAUCAAUAUCCAAACUGAUGAGCUAUGAGAAAGGACAACGAUGACAACAUGGAUAUUGCUCUUGUAUCUUUUUGCAGAAAGCACAUCAUGUUUAUGACACUAAUGACUAACACGUAAUAGUUGUCAAAGUUUAGCACUCAUACAAAAUAGAAACAAAGAAUGUUCUUGUUUUUACAAAAGAAUAUUUUGGUUUUAAUUAUCUUUUAAAGACAUAAUUAAAACAUAUAAUUUUCCACAGUUUAAACCACAUGUUAAUGAGUAUCAAGACUGCUUAAAUCAUUGGUGAAACCAAUAAAUCGAGAUCAAUAACCAAAGGUUGAAAACAACCUCAAGAUUGAUCUCCAAAAUGAUGAGUUGUGAGCAAGGAUACAAGUACAUUGUACUUACAAUAUUCUGCAGAAAGUUCUACAUAAAUCUAAUUCAAAAUAGUGCCAACUAACUUGCGACAACUCAUUCACUCGUUCAUUCAUGUUUUCCAUGAGACCCCAAAGCUAAAAUGUUCUCCGUUUGUCAAGAACGUUAUGCACAACAAUAUAAACACAUGUUUAAUUGCUUUAAAAUAUAUCUGACACUUGGGAAGGGUGUCCAAUGACUAUAAUCAUUUUAAAAUGAAUAUUCAAAGCCUUUUAUCAUCUAUAAAUUAAAGAUCAAUUGGAAGAUGAAGAUUGUAACAUAUCAAGGUUGAUCUGGACUGGUGGUGUAAAAAUCAAGAACGUUCUUUGUUUUGAACACUUAGUGAACAAUCUCACAUUUAUGAGGAUUGGACGUAACCCGGGUUGGGUGAACUAUCUUAUAUCUCUGUGUGAUAUCUCUUCCCUUAUAUCUAUUUGUUUCUACUCUUUUGAUUAUCAAUUUAAAUAGAUAAGUUAAAUUGUGUGUUUUUCACUAACCAAGAUUGUUCUUCGUUUUCUAUUUUCAUAACCAAAAUUAAUCUUGAGUUAACUUCUUAAAGUUUUAAUAGUAAAUUUUAAAAAGGUGAAAUCACAAUUCAAACCCCUUUUUCUUGUGAUUGACUUUGCUACUUCAAUUGACAUCAGAGCACUGCCUCUAAAGUUGAGCACCUACCAAGUGCUAGAGGAAAAGAUUAAGGAAGAAGAAGUAAUGUCAGAAGACAACAUGUGCUUAGUGGAAAACAUUGAAAAUAAUGAGGUAAUCAUCUCUAAACUUUGUCCUUUAUGUGAAUAAAUGAUAAAAGAAUUUGACAAUCUUUUUGUAAUUCAAAUUUUCUUGCUCGAAAAUGUAGUUUAUUAAAAGAGAAAUUCCGUAAAGAAAAAGAAAUGCCCAAGCUAUGAAUGACGAACACAGAAAGGUCAUUCAAAGCAUGGAGCAGUCUGAUUUAGAAAUGUUUGAGUAACAUAAGAUUUUCAAUGAGAUACCCAUACAAAAUCAUCUUCUAGAAUGUUCUGAAACUAAGAAAGAAAAUACCUCUUUAAAAAUAGAAGUUCAUGAAUUAAAAAAGUACUUAACCAACUUGGUAAAUACCACUGAAACUUUUCAAAAGAACAUGAUAUCUGAAGAAGAGAUAUUUGACAAAAAUGUUUUACGAUUCAAAAAUUCUCAAAAAGAAAAGCUUUAUGAAAAUGUUUUUGUAUAUAAAAAAAGAAGACCGAGAAAUGUAAUAAAAAAUGCUUAUAUUGUAACAAAAUUGGACAUCUUGAUUCCAUAUGUUUUUUCAAAAAAAGGGAUAAAAAAAUUAAAGCAAAACGAUUUUCUAAAACCGAAGAAUGUUAUUGUCUCAUACCAGAACAUUCUCCAAGUACCAAUCUAUUAUCAUAAGAAAAAAUAUUCUAGAAAAAGAUACACUAACCAUCAAGGACCCAAAUAAAUAUGGGUACCAAAAUCAUUACUAACUUGUGAUGCAGGAACAUCGUCUAACAAUCAAGAAAGAACAUUGAUACAUGAACAACACAUGCUUAUUACACAUAAAUGGAAAAGUAUGGUGCCUCCUCUGAUUACAAAAAUUUGGAAUGUCUAUAACCUUUGGAAACACUAACAAAUCAAAGGUACAUGUAUCAUUAGUUGAAAUAAUUUUACUUAGAUUAGAGAUGUUUGAUAUGUGAAAGACAACUUUGUAAAAUUGAUUUUAAAGUUAUUUUUUAAAACCCCACAUGGCUGAUGUAAAAUAAACAUUCUCAUGUUUUAGUUUGUAAAAAAAAAAAAACUAUUUUGUUCAUAACGGAGAACGUUCUCCGUUUGAAUCUGUUUUGACAAACAGCCCCAGAUGAUUCUUCGUUUCUUCAUCAUGAAGAAGUUGAAAAAUCAGCUUUUCAAAUUGUACCUUCUAUCACUCAUCUAAAAGUAACGGUUAUCCAUGUCCAUUACUACCACAUCAUCUCCAACCAAAUCAUGUUUUUAAGAGUUUUAUAAAAGGAUUCUCAUUUCUAUAAGAAACGAUCAAGGGAAAUUUGAAACAUCAUUAUUCAAAUCAUUCUUUGAUGAAAAUGAUAUUUCACAUGAUUUGCUUGUCAAAGAACUUUCUGUAACACCCCGUUUUUCAAAGCGAGGGUAUAUUUUUUUUUUCAAAAGAAUUUAAAAUAAAGCAGAGAAAUAAAUAAAGAAAUGUCUUUGGAUAAAUAAUUGAGUCAUUAUAAUUUACAGGCAGCGGAAAAGUUACUCCUAUUAUAAAUCCAAACCAUUUACCCAACAACAAAUGGUACAUGUAACCCAUCGAAAAUAACAUGUCAAGCUGACAAUAUUAGUAUAGGUACAGUCUUCCAUUUUAAAAUAAAUGCAAUACAAAAGAAAGGCAUCUGAUCCCUCUAUGCCAACCUAAUCUGAUCAUUUUACAACACAACUAAACACCCUGACUAAUCUCCACGCGCCCCGUGAGAUUCUCCUAACGUAGCUGCAGUCAAGCGUUCCCAUCUCCAUUUCCGUCCGUAGGGUAAGAACCGGUAGGAUCGUCCUUUACAACCAAGCAUGCACCUUAGCAGGAUUUUCAAUAUGCGAAAAGUUCAUACAAUACUUUGCCAGUUAAAAUGAAAGUAAACUGAGGUUCUCAAUCCCCUAAUUAUAACAUAACAAAUCAAGACAUGGAUAGUUUCAUGAGCAAACAAUCAUACAACUAAAACUGAGGAUUUUCACUGAGCCAAUCGAUUAGGCAAUCGAUUGGGGUGAAGGAUUUUAAUGAAUUUUUGAAUGCUCAAAACAACUUUUCAACUAAGCAUGCACCUUAACAGGAUUUUCAAUAUGCGAAAAGUUCAUACAGUACAUUGCCAAUGAAAAUGAAGGUAAAAUGCAGUUCUCGAUCUCCUAAUUAACACAUAAUAAAACAAGACAUGGAUAGAUUCAUGAGCAAUUAAUCAUACAACUAAAACUGAGGAUUUUCACUGAGCCAAUCGAUUGGGCAAUCGAUUGGGGUGAAGAUUUUUAAUGAAAAUAGAAUCCUGGGCUGAAUCAAUCGAUUUGGCAAUCGAUUGACAGGAUAACGGAGCCCCUGACUUAAUACCAAUCGAUUUCCAAAUCGAUUUCCUGAAGGUUUUUAGUGAAAUUUUGAACUCUGGCUUGAUUCAAUCGAUUGGGCAAUCGAUUGACAGGAUAGCUGAGCCCCUGACUUAAUGGCCAAUCGAUUGGGCAAUCGAUUUCGUAAGGGAUUUUUCGAAAACUGAUUACAAAAUCGAUUGGCUAAUCGAUUUUGUUCAUUUGGCCAAGCCCCUGACUUCCAUCCAAUCGAUUGGGAAAUCGAUUUCCCUGAUCAUUUUUCCAAAAAUUCAUGAAUUAACCUAAGUCAUUCCUAAUCAAGUUCACAACUUAACACUUAGCAAUUUCUACGCGAUUACCACGGCAAUUGGGAUCUCGAUAACCAUCUUACUUACACACAAUAAUCAACACAUAACACUUAGCAUUUUCAACGCAAUUAACACGAUAAAUCAAAUUCAAAUCACUCAAUCAUAAAACUCAAUCAAACACGACUCGUGUGCCAAGCACCCUAAUGCAAUGCGUAUAUGCCAAAAUGCAUGGACUCGGAAUUCCAAACCAAAACCCUCCUCGAAGGGCCGUAAAUCAUAAUUGUACCGCCUAUCGCAGGCCAAAGUACCAAUUACCGAGGUGCCACCUAUCACGGGUCAGCACGAUUUACUAAAAUGCGUAAAUCAUAAACGUACCACCUAUCACGGGUCAGUACAGUUUACCGAGGUGUCACCUAUCACGGGUCAACACGAUUUACUAAAAGAAAAAGCGGGAAUCGUAAACGUACCGCCUAUCACAGACCAGUACUGUUUACCUAGGUGCCACCUAUCACGGGUCAGCACAAUUCACCAAAAAUGUAAAUCGUAAAUGUACCACCUAUCACGGGUCAGUACAGUUUACCAAGGUGUCACCUAUCACGGGUCAACACGAUUUACUAAAUAGUAACUCGUAAACGUACCACCUAUCACGGGUCAGUACAGUUUACCAAGGUGUCACCUAUCACGGGUCAACACGAAUUACUAAAUAGUAAAUCGUAAACGUACAACCUAUCACGGGUCAGUACAGUUUACCAAGGUGUCACCUAUCACGGGUCGACACAAUUUACCAAAUGAAAUGCAUGAGCAUACACAGACUCCAUUCACAACAAUCGUUAAGCAAAUGCAGAUAUUAAAAGAUUCCCCAUUUUUAAUACCCAUUUAACUUAAACGACUUUCAAACAACAUUAAUUAAAUAAGUCAUUAAGAGAUUCCCCGUUCUUAAUACCGAUUUAACUUAAUGAUUUUCAAAACAAAACGUUAAGCAAACAGUCAUAUUAAGAGAUUCCCCAUUCUUAAUAUACUUUUGACUUAAACGAUUUUCUCGCAAAACAUUCAGUAAACGAGUCAUUAAGAGAUUCCCCAUUCUUAAUACUCAUUUACCGAAACGAUUUUCAAAAACGAUAGUUAAGUAACCGAGACAUUAAGAGAUUCCCCAUUCUCAACGCCCAGUUAACUUAAACAUUUUCCUCAAAUACACAUUAAGUAAACCGAGGUAUUAAAAGAUUCCCCAUUUUUAAUACUCGUUUAACUCUAAUGGUUUUCAAAUUCCACAGAAACAAAUUCAAACAUACUUUCACAUUCAAACCAUAAUUCACAACAACCACACCAAUUAACAAACAUCAAGUACGAACACACCAAAUACAACGAACACAAAUCACGCAACAUAACACCCAGAUACAUCAAAUUUCAUUUACCCAUAAUCAUACACAAUGACAUUCAAAUUCAUUUACCACGAAACAUUCAUCACUAUAAACAAAACCUAACUCUAAGGUUUUUACCCAUAACGCACUAGUUUCGUUUUUCCCCAAAUCGAUACAUUUAACCCUAACAAAUUCCUUCCCACACAACUACAGAUAAGUCCCUAAUGCAAGCUAGAAGUUUGGAAGGAGCCCUUACCUCAACGUUAGCUUUAUCGUGCGUUUCCGGUACCGCGAGUAAUUCCGGUAAAUUUUCCGCUCGCAACGCCGCUUCCAAAUUAGUUCACUAGCACCGUAGCGUGGUGGUGAGCAACUUUCCCUUCUAUCUCUUCGAGAAAUGAGGUUUGGAUCUAGGAGAAACGGAGGGGUUUGUGUUUGGAUCUCAAAACCGUCUUUCUUUGUUUUCGAAUCAAAGAGGAAGAGUGGAGUUGCGAAAACCUUGAUCUAACUCACACCCAACCUUGGGUCACUAGCUUUGAAGAAAAUGAAGCAACGAAAACGAAAAAUGGAGAAGGAUGGAUUUUUGGUUUUCUUGCGUGAACCUGAGGAAGGAGAUGGAAAUUGGAAAUUUCCUUCCUUUCUUUUUCUUUCCUUUGUUUUUCCUUUCUUCCUUUUUCCUUCCUUCCUUUAUAUACUAUUUUCUUUUCCUUUUCCUUCCUUCUAGUUUUCCUUUUUUUUUUCCUCCAAACAAACAUAUAUAAAUAUAAUAAAUAUAACUUAACAAAUAUCUCAAAAUCUAGAUAUUUAUUAAAUUACCGUUUCACCCGAAACGCCUUAAAUUCUCCGUAAAGGAUUUUCCGCAGUUAAAUUCAAUUUAUUUAUCGACGAGAAAUUCUAAUUGGCAUCGAAAUACCUUUUUGAUUAUAAAACUCCAAAUUAUUAUUAACUUUGGCUUAAAAGCCUCCGAGCCAAAAUCCAAAAUACACCAAAAAUACAUAAAUGGUACUUUAAAAUUAUGGGUCUUACACUUUCCAACAAUAUGAAAUUGUAUUAAAAGAAUAUUAGUUACAAGAAAUUACUAGAACAAUUUUAAAUGAAUCAAGUGUUGAAAUAUAAUUUUAGGGAGAAGCCAUCAAAAUUUUUUGCUAUAUUUUUAAUCUUAGCUCUAUUAGAAAAUGUCUUUAACAUACCUUCAUAUGAUUUUUUGAAAUAUAAGAAAGAAAAAUAUAUCAUACUUUAACAUUUUUGAAUGUCAUUACUAUGCUUUGCUUGAUAAAGAAAGUAUGAGAAAAAUUUGUUUUAAAAUGUCAUCAAAGUAUAUAUUCUGAAUACUCUACAUUGUAUAAAUAUUAGAGAAUAUAAAAUCUCAAGGUCUAAGCUAUAGAUAAAAUUAUGCAUUUUAUGUUUGAUGAAUAUGUUGAUUUUCAUGAUAAAAGAUAGGAUGGUGAAGAAAAAUAAUUAUAAUGUUAAAUUUAGAUAAAUCACAAAGUUGAUAAUGUUUAAAUAUCAUCCAUGAAAACUCCAAAGUCUGAUCAUGGAGUGGCAAAAAAAAUCUAAGAGAAAGAUCAAUUCAAGCAAAAAGGUUCAUACCAGAACAUUCUCCACAAAAACAGAACGUUCUCCAAAAGAGCAGAAUGUUUUUGACAGUGAAUAUGUUUCAUCCAAUCAAAACUAAUGUUUCAUAUUAUGAUGAUAUUGUUGAAGAAUAUCAACAAGUUCUAAAAUUAGUUCAAACCAUUUGUUUUUGGCACUCCUACACUUACCUCACUUCUUACUUUUCCUCCAAAACAUCUCAUCGUGGUCAAAUUAUUGGAAGAACAAGUUGGAGGGAUUUGUUACUGAUACCAAAAUUGAGGCUGGAGGUAUAACUAUAGUAGUUGACAUGCCUCUGAACAAUCAUACAAGAAUUGUGUAUAUUGUCGAGGAUAUGGCAAAAAAGGGAAUUAUGUGCAACAAGUGCUUGACUAUGGUGAGGCUGUUGUCAUGCCUGGUUUAAUUAAUGUGCAUUUACAUCUUGAUGAACUUGGAAGAACUAACAACAUUUAAAGAAAUCAUCUUUGAGCAAUAUCACUAAAGGAGGUACACUUAGUCCCAAUUCUUAUGAUAUUUGCAUCAUGAUAAGAAUGAAUAUUUUGUAAUGAUAUUAUGUGAUUGAUUGGGUGCUCUUAAAAUUAAGAAUGCAUACUUUUUUUUUUAUGCAAGUAUGACUUUAAAGUUUAAUUGAUUACAUCACUCUUUGUCAUUACUUGUACAUGUAUAUGCCUAAUUCUUAUCCUAAAUCCAACAUGUUUUCACUCUUUGUUCUUACACUUUUUGUGAUGGUAUAAUCAAGUGUGAAAAUCUAGUUUGAUGUUCAAAAUUAUUGUCUUUAAUAAUUAGACAAAGGCUGAUUUGUCAAGUCUAAAUCAUUAAAUGUAUUUUUCACACUUUGCACAAUAACAUCUUUCAUAGUAUCAUGAUAAAAUGAAUUAACAUCAUUUUCUACAAAUUCACCUCUUUUCGUCCUUAAAAAUAUUUUCUAUAAUGAUCUCAAAUUGUUUUUGCAUAUAUUUACUAGUCUAUACAUUGCUUAAUGAUAGAGUAUAAUUUUUUGAAUAUGGCUUCUAAUGUGACUUUUGAUAAAGAUCCUUCUUCAACAUAUUUUAAAUAUAUAUCCUUGUUUAUGAUUUAUUUUUGAAGGAUUUCAACAAGAUAAUAUAUUUUGGUAUUCAUGAAAAUGAUUUGUGUUUCUUGUUGCUUUAAAACUCAAAACUAAUCCAAAAAGAUUAUGGCAUGAAGUCAAAACUUGAUAUUUGAGCAUUUUGAGGCAUAUUAAUAUAUAUCUUUGCAAAUGAGUCUUAUUUGUUGCUUAUUUCUUUUGUGAAAAUUGAUCUCAAGUGCUUAAAUAUAUUUUAAGCAUGAUAGAUAGAAAUAACAACAAUAAAAAACCUCAUGCACACUUACAAACGAAAGUAACCUUGAACAUGUGCCUUAUUGUUAAUUUAUGUUGUUGCAAAAUUGUUGUAACAAAACAAUUUUUUUUUAAUGUGAGCAAAUUUCUUGGCAUAUUUUUAUCCAUUAAACAAAAUUAUUCUUUGAAAAAUACAAACAUUAUUAGCAGAACAAUAUUUUGUAAAGACAGAAAUUAUAUUUGACAUGAUAUCAUAUUCAUCUUAUUUCUCUUCCAUGUAUGCGCUCAUUCUCUCUAGUUUGAAAAAUGGAAAAUGGAUGUAUUUAUAACAAGUAUGAUCAUGUUCAAAUUAAAAUGUUGCCUCUUGGAAAAUAGGAAAAAGAGAAAAGAGGCAUCUUACUUGUUUUAUAGAACUUUGAAUUAUUAAAGGAUAUUAAUUUCAUAAUAUUCAGGGGGAGUUUUUAAAAAAUAUUUUUUUUCUUAAAACCGAAGUAAACUCAUUUAAAAAAAAUGAGAAAAUAUAUAUUCAUUGAAAGAUUUUCAAGUGUGUUAAAAUGCUUGCAUAUAAUUAUGUCAUAUUUCUUUUGUUAUCAUUAUCCAUAUCUUGAUUGAGAUAUUGACUAAAAUAAUUUUUGAUCAUCAUACAUGCUAUGUUACUUGAUGUUACAUGCAAACUUGCAAGUUUGAUAUAUGAAUGCAAUGAUCAACCACAUGAUUUCUAUGUGAAGUAUACUCAUGCUAUUGCUCCCUACAUUUUUACUUCAAUUUUUAUUCCCCAACCUUUUUGAUAGAUGCCAAAAGGGGGAGAGAAAUAUAUAAUGGAUAUAGGAUGGAAGUAAUUAAUGAAGAAUGUUAAGAAUUAAUCUCUUGCAUAUAUUUAGGGAGAGUUUAAUUAGAAUAACAAGAAUUAAAAUCUUGCAUGUGUUUAAGGGGAGUUUAAUUACAUAUCUAUAAACAUUCUUCCAUUUUAUUUAUAUCCAUCCGUAAAACUUAUGAUUUAUUCAAAAGGUUUGUCAUUAUCAAAAAGGGGGAGAUUGUUGAUGCAAAAAUCUUUUUGAUGCAUGUGUUUAAUGACAACAAACUUUAUGUUAUGAAUAGUGAUCUACUAAUGAGUGCACUUAAAUUUUAUUUAAGGAAGAUGAAUUGCAUAAUCAAACAAGCAAGAUCAUUUGAAAGAAGCAAGAUCAAAUUUGAGAAAACAGAAAUGGAGAAUGUUCUGGUCAUUAAACAUAAAAACGAAGAACAUUCUUGACAUCAGUCUGAUAAAAGAAGAUCAAUCUGGACAACAAUCUAAAAAACAAAUAAUGUUAUGGUUUUGACAGAAUUAAUCAAAGAAUAUUCUAGUUUAUAAAGAACAAAGUCUUCUUUAAUUCAAGAUCGAUUUGGGCUACGAAAAUAACAUCAAUCUAUAUUGCAAAUCACCAGUAUUCAUUACAAAGGAACAUAAUUAUUUACUCAAGAUCAUUUUGGACAUAUUAUUCCCAUAAGAUCAACACAAAUCAAAACAAUGCAUCAAGAAUAAAAAACAAGACUAAUCCCCAAAGUUGAUGGCUAAAGUAAGCAAGUACAAACUGGACAUAAAUGAUAAAGUCACUGCAUCACUGACACACGAACAAAACAAAAAAGCUUGGCACACAACAGCUGUCAAAAUUGUCAAAAUCAAACAAUCAUUCAAAAUAGAAACGAAUAACGUUCUCCGUUUUCACAACUUUAAUCAAAGAAUAUUCUGGUUUACAAAGAGCAAAAUUUGUUGUAAUUUAAGAUCGAUCUGGGCUACAAAAGUACAUUUAUCUACAGUACAAAUCAUCUGUAAUAAUUACAGAGGAAUUUAAUAAUCUACACAAGAUUGUUUUGGAUAGACUCGAUAAAAUAGGAUCAACUAAGGCAAAGCAAAACAUCAAGAUCUAUCUCAGAAUUGAUGAGCUAUGAGCAAGGACACCCGUGACAGCAAGGACACCCGUGACAGCAAGGACACCCGUGACAGCAAGGACAUUACUGUUGCACCUUUUUGUAGAAAGCACAUCAUGUUUCUGAGAUAAAUGACUGACACACAAAAGUUAUCAAAAUCCAACACUCUUACAAAGCAGAAAACAAAGAAUGUUCUCAAAUAAGUGUAGAGAAGUUUCAAGAUCUCAAACACUUUUAACAUACACAUCAUUUGUAACUCAAGUAUAUCUUUUAUGUUAGAUUGAGUGUGUGUUUGUAAAAAUCCUUUUAAGACUGAAAGGUGAUUGUAAAAAUCAUUUAUAGGUUGAAAGGUCAAGAUUGUAAUAUAUCAAGCUUGAUCUGGACUGGUGGUGUAAAAACCAAGAACCAUCUCCGUUUAGAACCCUUAGUUAAAAAUCUCACGGUUGUGAGGAUUGAAUGUAACCCGGGUUGGGUGAACUAGGAUAUAUCUCUAUGUGAUAUCUCUUCCCUUAUCUCUAUUUAUUUCUAGUCUUUUGAUUAUCAAAUUAAAUAGAUAAGUUAAAUUGUGUGUUUUUCACUAACCAAAGAUGUUCUCAGUGUUCUAUUUUCAUAACCAAGAUUAAUUUUGAGUUAAAUUCUUUAAGUUUUAAACAGGAAAUUUAAAAAGAUGACAUGAAAAUUCAAACCCCUCUUUUUUGUGAUUUGUAAGACCCAUAAUUUUGAAGUACCAUUUAUGUAUUUUUGGUGUAUUUUGGAUUUUGGCUCGGAGGUUUUUAAGCCAAAGUUAAUAAUAUUUUGGAGUUUUAUAAUCAAAAAGAUAUUUCGAUGCCAAUUAGAAUUUCUCGUCGAUAAAUAAAUUGAAUUUAACUGCGGAAAAUCCUUUACGGAGAAUUUAAGGCGUUUCGGGUGAAACGGUAAUUUAAUAAAUAUCUAGAUUUUGAGAUAUUUGUUAAGUUAUAUUUAUUAUAUAUUUAUAUGUUUGCUUGGAGGGAAAAAGAAAGGAAAACUAGAAGGAAGGAAAAGGAAAAGAAAAUAGUAUAUAAAGGAAGGAAGGAAAAAGGAAGAAAGGAAAAGCAAAGGAAAGAAAAAGAAAGGAAGGAAAUUCCCAAAUUUCCAUCUCCUUGCGAGCGGAAAAUUUACCGGAAUUACUCGCGGUACCGGAAACGCGCGUUAAAGCUAACGUUGAGGUAAGGGCUCCUUCCAAACUUCUAGUUUGCAUUAGGGACUUAUCUGUGGUUGUGUGGGAAGGAAUUUGUUAGGGUUUAAUGUAUCGAUUUGGGGAAAAACGAAACUAAUGCGUUAUGGGUAAAACCUUAGAGUUAGGUUUUGUUUAUAUUGAUGAAUGGUUCGUGGUAAAUGAAUUUGAAGUCAUUGUGUAAGAUUUUGGGUAAAUGAAACUUGUGUGUUUUGAGUAGUGGAUUGUGUCGAUUUGUGUUCGUUGUUUUUGACAUGCUCUUAAUUGAUAUUGAUGAAAUUUGAUAUGUGUAUGGUUGGAUUUGUGAAUAAAUGAAUUGAUAUGUUUUGAUGUGAGAAUUUGUUGAGUUUGUGUUGUGUGAAAUUUGAAAACCAUUAAGUUAAAUGAGUAUUAAGAAUGGGGAAUCUCUUAAUGUCUCGGUUACUUAAUAUUUUGUUUUGAAAAUCGUUUAAGUUAACUGGGCGUUAAGAAUGGGGAAUCUCUUAAUGUCUCGUUUACUUAAUGUGCGUUUGUUUGUGAAAAAUCGUUUAAGUUAACUGGGCGUUAAGAAUGGGGAAUCUCUUAAUGUCUCGUUUACUUAAUGUGCGUUUGUUUGUGAAAAAUCGUUUAAGUUAACUGGGCGUUAAGAAUGGGGAAUCUCUUAAUGUCUCGGUUACUUAAUAUUUUGUUUUAAAGAAAAAUCGUUUAAGUUAACUGGGCGUUAAGAAUGGGGAAUCUCUUAAUGUCUCGGUUACUUAAUAUUUUGUUUUGAAAACCGUUUAAGUUAACUGGACGUUAAGGAGGGGGAAUCUCUUAAUGUCUCGGUUACUUAAUAUUUUGUUUUAAAGAAAAAUCGUUUAAGUUAACUGGGCGUUAAGAAUGGGGAAUCUCUUAAUGUCUCGGUUACUUAAUAUUUUGUUUUGAAAAUCGUUUAAGUUAACUGGGCGUUAAGAAUGGGGAAUCUCUUAAUGUCUCGGUUACUUAAUAUUUUGUUUUGAAAAUCGUUUAAGUUAACUGGGCGUUAAGAAUGGGGAAUCUCUUAAUGUCUCGGUUACUUAAUAUUUUGUUUUAAAGAAAAAUCGUUUAAGUUAACUGGGCGUUAAGAAUGGGGAAUCUCUUAAUGUCUCGGUUACUUAUUAUUUUGUUUGGAAAAUUGUUUAAGUUAACUGGGCGUUAAGAAUGGGGAAUCUCUUAAUGUCUCGGUUACUUAAUGUUCGUUUUUGAAAAUCGUUUCAGUAAAUGAGUAUUAAGAAUGGGGAAUCUCUUAAUGUCUCGGUUACUUAAUGUUCGUUUUUGAAAAUCGUUUCAGUAAAUGAGUAUUAAGAAUGGGGAAUCUCUUAAUGACUUAUUUACUGAAUGUUUUGUCUUGAAAAUCGUUAAGUUAAAUGAGAAUUAAGAAUGGGGAAUCUCUUAAUGUCUCGCUUUUUUAUGUGUGUUUCGGUAAAUCGUGCUGACCCGGGAUAGGUGGCACCUUGGUAAACAGUACGGGCCGUGAUAGGCAGUACGUUUACGAUUUACGUUUGGUAAGUCGUGCUGACCCGGGAUGGGUGGCACCUCGGUAAACAGUACGGACCCGUGAUAGGUAGUACGUUUACGACUUACGUUCCUGAGGGAAUUGUGUUUGGUAAGUUGUGCUGACCCGGGAUAGGUGGCACCUCGGUAAACAGUACGGACCCGUGAUAGGUAGUACGUUUACGACUUACGUUCCUGCGGGAAUUGCGUUUGUCCGUGAGAGACUGCGCAGGGGUUUGUCCGUGAGAGACUACGCCCUGGUUUAAGUUAGAUGAGAAUUAAGAACGGGGAAUCUCUUAAUGUCUCGUUUACUCGUGUAUGUUUUGGUAAGUUGUGCUGACCCGGGAUAGGUGGCACCUCGGUAAACGGUACGGACCCGUGAUAGGUAGUACGUUUACGACUUACGUUCCUGAGGGAAUUGUGUUUGUCCAUGAGAGACUACACCCUGUUGAUUUGUGAACUGUUGGUUCAUUUUGUUUGUGUAGUAAUGUGUUAUAAAUGCUAAGUGUUAUGUUUUGGAAUUUGGUGAUAACAUGUUUGAUUGCAAUACCAUUUCGAAAUCCAUGAUGUCGUAGUAAUUGUGUUAUCAGUGUUAAGUGUUAAGAAUUGGGAUUAUGCAUGAAUGUGAUUGAGUUAGUUUAUGAAUUUUUGAAAGAAUACACAGGUAAAUCGAUUUCCCAAUCGAUUGGAUAGUAAACAGGGACUUGGCCAAAUGGACAAAAUCGAUUAGCCAAUCGAUUUUGUAAUCAGUUUUUCGAAAAUCAUUUACGAAAUCGAUUGCCCAAUCGAUUGGCCAUUAAGUCAGGGGCUCAGCUAUCCUGUCAAUCGAUUGCCCAAUCGAUUGAAUCAAGCCAGAGUUCAAAAUUUCACUAAAAACCUUCAGGAAAUCGAUUUGGAAAUCGAUUGGUAUUAAGUCAGGGGCUCAGUACUCACUCAAUCGAUUUCCCAAUCGAUUGAUUUCAGCCCAGGAUUCUGUUUCAUCGAAAUCCUUCACCCCAAUCGAUUGCCUAAUCGAUUGGCUCAAUGAAAAUCCUCAGUUUUAGUUGUGUGACUGUUUGCUCAUGAAACUAUCCAUGUCUUGAUUUGUUAUGUUAUAAUUAGGGGAUUGAGAACCUCAUUUUACUUUCAUUUUAACUGGCAAAGUAUUGUAUGAACUUUUCGCAUAUUGAAAAUCCUGCUAAGGUGCAUGCUUAGUUAAAGUUAUUUUUAGCAUUCAAAAACUUAAAUGUUAUGUGUUAACUGUUAUUUUCGGUUGGUGACCUUUACAAUUAUUGUGGAAAUCUAGGCUUUGCCCUCAGAUGAGAGUCAGGACGAUCCUACCGGUUCUUACCCUACGGACGGAAAUGGAGAUGGGAACGCUUGACUGCAGCUACGUUAGGAGAAUCUCACGGGGCGCGUGGAGAUUAGUCAGGGUGUUUAGUUGUGUUGUAAAAUGAUCAGAUUAGGUUGGCAUAGAGGGAUCAGAUGCCUUUCUUUUGUAUUGCAUUUAUUUUAAAAUGGAAGACUGUACCUAUACUAAUAUUGUCAGCUUGACAUGUUAUUUUCGUUGGGUUACAUGUACCAUUUGUUGUUGGGUAAAUGGUUUGGAUUUAUAAUAGGAGUAACUUUUCCGCUGCCUGUAAAUUAUAAUGACUCAAUUAUUUAUCUAAAGGCAUUUCUUUAUUUAUUUCUCUGCUUUAUUUUAAAUUCUUUUGAAAAAAAAAAUAUACCCUCGCUUUGAAAAACGGGGUGUUACAUGAUUGACAUUGCUACUUCAAUUACUAGAAGCAUAUACUAUUUUUUUCUUUCAAAUAUGUCUUUUUCGCUAUUACUAAUUUAUCUUGGAAGGUAAAAAAUUAAUAUUAAAUACAUUUAUAUAUAAUGAACAAUUUAGUAAUAACAACACACAAAAUGUACACAUUAAAUCAAUAAUUUUUAAAUCAUUAAUAUAUGUAAAACACUCCUAUAGAUACUUAAAAAAGAUGUAAGGAGUAUUAAUUGUCAUUUAUUUUGUUCCAUAUAUUCUAACAAAAAAAUAAUUAUUUCAUAAUAUAAUAGACAAAAAUAAAUAAUGACUCUCUUUUACCAUAAAAAAUAUUAUAUUCUACUUUUUUUUACAAUAUUUUCUAAUAUAAUGUUAUAUGAAUUCUGACUAAUUUGAAAAUUUCAAAACUUCUAGAUGAAUUCUGAUUUCAGUCAUAAUAAACAAAAUUCAAACCCAACUAAAUUAAUCAACUCAUAGAAAAUUUCAAGUCAUUGACUACACAUAUUAUUACUAUUAAAAUGAUAAAUAUGUUAAAUGAGGAUAAACUAUAAUUGAAGGAAAAUUAAUUAUUUCGUAACAUAAUAGUAAAAAAAAAAUUAAUUAAUUAACUAAUUUUUAAACAUAAAGUCAAUAAUAAUAUAAUAUAUAACUGUUUUUCUUUUACCAUAAAAAAUAUCAUUUUUUCCAUCAAAGAGACAAUCAAAACACAUCAAAAUUAAUUGAUUCAUUUAUUAUUUUAACUUUUCGACUGUUUUUUUAUAUAUAAUUAUAGAAAAUUAUGACUCAUUGAAUAUAUCUAUUAAUAUUAAAAAGAUAUAUAUCAUAAAUGAAGAUAAAAAAUACUAACGUAAACAAUAAAAAUACAUUAAAAUUUGAAUCUUUUCAUUAUACAUAAUAUAAUCUUUCUUAUAAAAAAAAUUCUCUUAUAAAUAAGAUGAGAUAUUGCAUUUUGUUAUCAGUUCAACUCUCUCCUCUUGUGAACAACAAUGUAGAUUUCACUAUUUUUGAGUGUCUUGGCAGUUUUAAUAUUGGGAAUAUAUUCAGAAGUUAACAUUCCAGCACCAUGCAAGCGGAUUGAGUGUCCGAUAUAUGACGUCAUCGAAAAUGGAAAAGACUAUCAAAUCCGACGCUACAAUUCAUCUGUUUGGAUUUCCAAUCCUCCCAUUCGACAAUUUUCUAUUGUUACAGCUAAUGCAAAUGGUGUCGCAAGGUAACUUUUUUAAAUCCUAUUUUAAAACAAAUUAUUUUUUGUUUUACUAAUUUUUGCUGCGAGUGAUUGGAAUAGUUCAAACGUCUCACAUGUGAUGGUUGUAAAAUGAUCAUGAAUGUGAUUGUAAUUAAUUAAAAAAAUUCUCCUCCGCCAAUACUUUGGUUUUUGAAAAAGUAAUUAUUGGAUUGCCGAUUCAAAUAAUAAAAACUAAACAAAUAAAAACAAUUUUGAUCUAUAAAUGGAUGAAAAUUAUAAAAACAUUUUCUAAGUGUGUCUCUUGUUAACAAUUUUAUAGAUAUUCAUGAAAGAUAAAUUGAAGAUUGAUGACUAACCAACGAAAGACAUAUUUAAAGACUAAAUUAACCAAUUUAUAUACGUUUUUUAAUUUUGAUAUAUUCAAAAAUUAUUAUGAUAACGUCUCACAUAUAAAAACCAAAAUGGAAAUUUCUUCAUAACUAAACUUGAACAAUCUUUUACUUUUUUUCUCAGACUAUUUAGUUAUAUUCAAGGUAAUAACAACAACAAACAGAAAAUAGAGAUGGCAGGACCAGUGCUAUCUGAAGUGAUACCUAGUGAUGGCUCCUUUUUUAAAUAUUCAUAUAUUGUAAGCUUUUAUGUGCCUAAAAAGAACCAAGCAAAUCCACCACCUGCAAAGGGUCUUCAAGUUCAAAGAUGGAAAAAUGUGUAUGCAGCAAUUAGACAGUUUGGUGGACAUGUGAAUGACAAAAAUGUUGCGAAACAAGCUGCAGCAUUGAAGGAUAGUAUCAAUGGUACUAAAUGGCUAUCUGCUAUUGAAAAAAGUCAUAAAGCUUCCAAGUUCUCUGUGGCUCAGUAUAAUUCCCCUACUGAAUUAUUUAAUAGAGUGAAUGAGAUAUGGUUUUUGUUUGAUUUGUAAAAUUAUGCUAUGUCAAAUAUAAUAGACAAUAAAAUCAUUAUGAAAAAAUAUGGAUUUUUGUAGUUUUUGUUUUGCACCGAUUCUUUACUUUUAUGUUGGUGUUGGAGGUGUGAAGUAUUUGAGGAAGUUUUUUACUUGUGUUGAG